RNAcentral lists this long non-coding RNA (93949 nucleotides) under Ananas comosus (pineapple). RNAcentral's name for it is "long non-coding RNA (ACOM_LNC014442)". Lineage: Eukaryota; Viridiplantae; Streptophyta; Magnoliopsida; Poales; Bromeliaceae. The record is from RNAcentral.
UUUUUUUUUUUAUCUCUCACUCCAUAAUUUUAAGAAAACUUCAUAUUGGCAUCUCCCUUGAUAAGGGAGCGUGAGCAUAAGCAGUUUACUGAAACUGGGGAAUGAUACUCCCCAAAAUACACUCAAAAGAUGAUGCCCACAAACCACUCCAAAAGAAUAAUGAGCAACCAUCAAACAUUCCAAGUUUUUCUGCUUGAACGUUCCUUCCUAUACUCAAAUAAUCAAUAACAGUUAAUGCAUGCAAAUUGAUCAACAACAACAACAACAAAAAGGAAGACAGAAAGAAAAUAGUAAAAAGCCCAGCUUUUCUCACUUCCUCAGAUCCAAUUUCCACCCCAAGAAGCUGAAGCCUAUUCCUGUCUCCACCACCUGAGAAUGCACUCUGAAGCACCAGCCAGAUUUCAAAAGGGAUUAAGCUCAUCAACCCUUUCAGUGUUACAGAUGUAUAUGUUUGAUCCCAAAAUCAGAUUUUACAGUUGUUGGUGAGCUCUGUGCCUUUGAUGUCCAACUGGGUUCAACUCCCCUGAGAACUCGCCACUGCUUGACGCCGAGUGGCGGGGGCCGUAGUCGGUCAUUGGCUCGCUGUAUUCAUCGCUGUACUCGGGGCUUGCCAGUGCUAUCUUUCUGAUCCUCUUCAUGUUUGAGGCAUACGACCCAGAGUCGUAGUCGGAGCCUGAGCUAAAGAGCAUGCUUUGCCCUGGCCGCAUACCUUCGUUCAGGUCCUCGAGCGAAACGUCACCCUCUAAUGCUCGAACAAUCUACGCAUAAUCCAUUAUUUAUGCAUUUGUUAUUGUUUACAUGUUGAACUAUAAAUUCAUGUUGAUGCACAAGAAUGAGCUAAAAACUAAAAAGCCUGUGAGUGGUCAAAGGAUCAUAGAACACAGUUAGGGAUCUCUCUAUCGUGUAGAGAAUGCAAUGUCUAUCUAAGAACUUCAGUUCAUACCUGACUCAUUUUCGGGCGCCUCCUCGCAGAAUGGCGAACAGAUGCAGCAGCACUCGCUACCAUGCGUGCCAUCUCCAUCAGAUCGUAGUUUCCUUCUAACCUUGGGUCAGCCAACUCAUCAUAGUUUCCAUCAGCCAAAGCCCGUGAUAGAACCGGCCUCGCCUAUAUAUGUACCGAGCGAAUUGGCGUGAAUCAACAAUUCACAAGUAAGUAAAUUGUUCAGUAUUUCCUUAACCAAACUUGGAUCUUAAAUUUUCAUGAUCAGCAUAGUAUGCUUACCCAAUCUACCAAGCUAUCUUCCAUGAAUGUGUGAUUAUUAUCGACCGGACGUCGUCCGGUUAUUAGUUCGAGAAGCAUCACGCCGUAUGAGAAGACGUCGGAUUUUUCAGUUAACUUGCCACUCGAAGCAUAUUCAGGAGCCAAGUAACUGGAAUUUGAAUAAAAUGAUAAUUUCGUGUUAAAAUGAUGUGAUUGCAUUUGAGUUUAGAAUCAACUUAAAUUUUAAUUUUCUUUUUUUCUACUCCAUGAUGCAUUUGGCUCACCCAAAAGUUCCCAUGACACGUGUCGAAACGUGUGUGUGGUUGUCUGAUGACAACUUUGCCAAUCCGAAGUCCGCGACCUGCAACGAAUGAUUUAUUGGUAAAAUCUUUUUAGUGUAAGAAUUUAGUGUCUAAAUUCAUGUUUCGAUGGAAUUUAAUCUAUUUGUGAGAUGGUUUAGACAUAGUUGAUACUGCUAAAAGUUAUGCAUCUAAGCUUGCCACAGCAAAACAAAGAAAUAAAACAACAUUGACUCUCAAGUGAAACAAAAGGCAUUGAGAUAGAAUCUACAAAAUGACUCUGUCCCCUCAUGAAAAUGUUAGCAGUAACAACUCAAAGAAAAUUCCAAUUAGAAUCCUAGGUUUCUAGAAAAUUUGCAUCUGGAAAGAAGAAAAAUGUAAGUACUGAAUCUGAGAUUUGCAGUUCUGCAGUAACAACAUAUCCUCACAUGGAAAAGGAGAUGAAAAUGUCAGGGACAAAAACAUGUAGUCUGAUACUCUGAAUCCCUUACCAUGGCUUCAAAUUUGAAAUCCAGCAGAAUAUUCGCGGAUUUGAUAUCGCGGUGAAUGAUCCGAGGGUGACCUUCAUGUUAUAAGAAGUAUGAAACAGUUAAAAAUUGAUCCGAAAACAAACCGAAAACUUGGGAUAAUUAAAGCCACUCACAAUCUUCAUGCAAGUAGGCAAUGCCUCUGGCUGAUCCUAGAGCAAUCUUGAGCCUGGUAGGCCAAUCCAUAACUGGAAGCCCCCUCCCUGUCGAAUUCAAUCAGAAGAUUCAGCAAGUUUUGAUUUAAAUUCCAGCAAAUUGCUAUCACUGAUGUAAGAAUUAUCUGAAAUCGAAAGCAAGCUGACCGUGGAGGUGAUACUCGAGGGUCUUGUUAGGGACAAACUCAUAGACCAACAUCCGUUGCGAGCCGGCAAUGCAGUAUCCGACGAGCGAAACGAGGUGGCGGUGGUGCACCCGGCUGAUGAUAUCGACCUCGGCCUGAAACUCUCUCUCACCUUGACCGCUCCCCGACUUGAGUUGCUUCACUGCAACCUCCUUUCCGUUCGGCAGCACCCCUUUGUGUACAUAACCGAACCCUCCCUGGCCCAAGAGGUUCGCCUGCGAGAAGCCGCUGGUCGCUGACGCGAGCUCCUCGUAGGUGAAAGUGCUUUUGUUGAAACCGAGGGCAAUUGGGGGGGAGGGAGGGGGCAAGGGGGGGCUGUGGGGGCCCGAGUAGGCCGAGCUCAUGUCGCCGCUGUUCAUCAUCUGCGGGUGCCAUCCGCCUCCGGGGGGGCUCAGCGCGCCCGGCGGUGGCGGCACCUUACCUUGGUAUCCAUUGUGCCAUUGCGGUUGCGGCCCACUACUGUAGUAGCUUCCUCCUAUGCACAAGAACAUGAUUCAGCACCAAUUUUAGAUCCAUUCAAAACUAAGAGUGUUUGAGUUACCUUUGAACCCAGAGGGAUCUGCAUAGUACUGCAUUGCGUUGUGGGGCUUCUUCUUCUUCUUGGUACAACAAAGACAUGCUAUGAUCAUGAGAACAAACAGCACACCAACACCCACACAAAGGCCCACGACGAUCGGCACGUUGACAUCGGCUUUGCCGCCUCCUCUGGAGUCUGGAGACGAAUGCGAGGGGGUCGAUUUGGUCUCACUCUUCGAAGCAGGAGCCGGCGGGGGAGGCGGCAAUUUGGAAGAAGGCGUAGACGACUUGACGGGGGGCGGCGGUGCUGGCGGGGAGCCUUCCGUUUUGGCCGGCGCAGGAGUAGACUCAUNCGAGGGGGUCGAUUUGGUCUCACUCUUCGAAGCAGGAGCCGGCGGGGGAGGCGGCAAUUUGGAAGAAGGCGUAGACGACUUGACGGGGGGCGGCGGUGGGGACUUUUCGGGGGGCGGGGUGGCCGUCGGAGGAGGAGAAGAAGGGGUAGAGGAAGGAGGUGGAGAGGACUUCGGCGGCGGCGAGGACGGCGUCGAAGAAUUGCUCGGGGGAGGGGGCGACGUCGAAGAAUUGCUCAAGGGAGGGGGCGGCGGCGACGAAGAGUCCGGCGACGCGGCCUUCGACGAAUUCGAGGACAUGCUCAAAUGAUGAAACUGCAACCCAAAUUUCUUCUCUAGGUGAUCUUUGUGGACAAUGCUGCUGCUGCUGCUGCUGCUGAUGAACAACUCCUACAAACAAUACCAAAGCACAAACUAUCAGAGACAGUUUGAGACAAAAUUUCAAAAACAUCAACAGGUAAACAAUAACACCUUUUAAAACAUACAAUUACAUACAAAUUCUAAUGCAACACCAAGGAAAAGGAGCUGUUUUUAACGAAUGUGCUGCAUAAAAUUGAUGCCUUUUCACCUGACAACUCAAACUCAAGAACAAUUCCGAAGAUGGUGACGCGGAAUUGUAUAUAAAAGCGCGAAAGAAGAUCGAUAAACGCGAUUACAAUUCGCGAAAAGGCUCCUUUCUCCUUUUUUCUGUGGGGAUGGGUUCUUGGAGAAGGGCGGCGUAGAGAAAGAGAGAAGUUGCAGUUAGGCGUUUCGCACUCCGUCCUUCUCCGAGACACCACCACCUCUACAUUUCCCUUUGGGCUUGUUGUUGUUGUUGUUGUUUGUUGUUGUUAUUUGGGGUUUUUACUAUUUUUGUGGUGGUGCAUUAACUUUUGAGGCUCAAAUUAAGCAAAGCUGUAGAAAAAACAGUGCUUUUUUUUUAUACAUAUCUAUUUCUAUUGGUUUUGAGAGUUCGUUAGAUUUUGUUGCUUAUUCUUAGUAAGCAGUUCGCUUUUUCCCGCGCGACCGCACGAUACAGCUUGUCGGUCGCACGUGCGAAGAGACAUGGGCUAAUGGAAAACUUUUACAUAAAGCCAAGUUUUUUUCCGAGAAAAAAAAUAUUUUUUCACUUUUCUAUCUAUUUGAUUCUAAAAAAAUAUAUAUUUUUAUGAAUAUUUUCUCAUAUUUUAUAAAAAAAAUUAGUAUUUUUUUCAUAAAAUAUGAAAAAAGGAUUUCUAAAAUACUUUUUUUUUUCAAACCAAACAGCUAAAAAACUAAAAUGAGAGUUUUUCAUGAAAAUUUUUGUUCUUACAAAAGUUUUUCCCAUAUUUUUCUGAAUAAUCAAACAACCUAUUACUUAAAACGUCUUCCCCUUCAGGUUCUCUGAAAUUUUUUUUUUUUUUGAGAGAUAGGUAGGUUCACUUAAAUCUUUUUUUUUUAGACAUAGAUAACAUGUUACUCGCUUUGUUUAUUUUAUUUAAAAAUAAACUUUAACUGAAAAUGUGAAUCAACUAGGAUUCAAACUCGGGGCUUCGGAUACCAACGAUUCAACCCUUUGCCAUUUGUGCUAAAAGGGAUGAUCGGUAGGUUCUCUGAAAUCUUGAUUUUCUUUUAUCUUCAAAUCAAAAUGUAUGCCUCAGAAACUACUUUUGUUUCAUGCAAACCAAGUACUAAGAACUAUAAUUUUCCUUUUAAUAUUGUUUCCUAAUAAAAUUAUUCAACUAGUUUUAAUAGUUUUAUAAGAAAUAGAAGCACCAUCUAAAGCUACAAAUACUUUUAAAAAUACUAAGGUAACCCUUGAUAGUUUUUUAAGAACUUUGGGCAACUUAGGCCAAAAGGCAAUGAAAAUAAAGUUUUUAGCAAAUUGAAAGUCUGAAAAGUGUUUUUUGUUUUAAAAGGAAAACAUCAAAACCGUUAGAAUUUUAGUUCGCCACAAUAAUUAAUUAUCCGUACCAAAAUUGGUAAUAUUACUGUUCUAAAUAGAGGGGACACAUAAUUAAAUCUGAUUUCACUGAAGAGCUCGUUAAUAAAAACAUUUAUGAGAUGUUACAGCGAGUCAUUAAUACACUCCAUAUUUUGAAAACUUUAAUAAAAGAUCUGUUCCAAUCUCAAAGUUUAGUGCACGAAUCUCCAGGCUGCUUGGGAAGGGCGGAUCCGGAUUGGAUGGUCCAUCGGAUGAUGUGGUGGACCGAGUUCAAUUACAGUUUGCAUCCACGUGUGAUGUAUUUAGUUUCCAUACCAUCCUUUCAUGCAAUUAAUAAUAAAAUAAAAUAAAAUUAAUUAAAUUAAUUAAUAAUUAAUAAUUAAUAAUAUUCGGACUGGGUAAAUCACCUAAAUUUGAUUCACAUAGAUCUCGUGAAAAAAUAGGAAGCCCCCAGGUGGGCCCCACCCAUCCCUUAGUUGAGUCACAAUGAGUGGUCAAUUUUUAUGUCCCAAUAUAUCGGUCCCAGGGCUAAAGUGACCUAUUCUAGGGUUUGUGAACCUCGACCGGCGCACGUUUACUCGAACCGGCGUAACGACCCGGUGCCAUUGUCCUAAAACCUGGUCCAGUUUCAGACAAUAUUGACCGUUAGAUCAAUAUCCAGGACACGAUCAACGGUUGCUAUUGGUUGACUUGUCCCGCGGGACACGCGCUGAGCCGAUCAUGCGGCCCACGGCGCAUUAGAUUCUGACUCGGACUUGCUAACGUGAGCCCGGUGGGGCCCAGUCCUCUGUACUACUCCCAAUCUCUUUGAGAAACGGUUCGGUAGACUCGGUUUAGUGAAUCAUCCGUAAACCAAUUAAAUCUGCACCCUCCAUCAUAGCAUCCUUUGAAUCCAAACCGUCGAGAUAACUCAAAAUUUGUUAUGUGAAGAAUUAUUUUCUUAAAAGUAGAGCAAAGGACAUUGCGGUCCAUAGGGUUCAUGGUGGACCGUGUCCAGGGGAUUAUUUCUUCGUCUCAUCCUCUUUCUUUAUAGGCUUAUAUUCCCCACCCCUUCUCUCUCUUCCCCGCGCCCACUCUCUCUCUCUCUCUCUCUCUCUCUCACUCUCUCUCUCUCUCUCUCUCUAUAUAUAUAUAUAUAUAUAUAUAUAUAUAUAUUCAAGCGAACGAGUUAAUUAGGGUUUCUUCUCGCCUCCGAGCUCCGCCUCCGCCUCCGCCCAUGGCCGAUCGCAACAAUGCCGAUUCACGCCGCCACCUCGCCGUGGUGACCCCGCCCCCGCCCCCUAUCCCCAAAGGUUUACAACCCAUGUCCCCUAUACUCCGAUCUCUCUCUGUGAGGAAAACCCUAGAUUUCGUCCAGGCUCUUUUUGCGUGGAUUCGUGGCACGAUUUAGCCAUAUAUGGCGCGAGACGUUCGGAGGCAGGGUUGUUGUUGAUCGGUGAUGGGGGUUUACGGGUUUAGGGUUUGGAUUGAUUCUUUCUCCUAGUUUUCCUUUUGAAAAGAAUCGUUUUUGGUGCUAAUUUGGGGAGGAGGAGGGAUUUUGUUGCGCUGCGCUUCAUAUCGCGUCCCCAUUAUGGUUUAAGGUGGCGAUUUUUAGAUUCGUGGCGAUUUUUUAGGGUUUGAUGUGGAGAUGUUCAGCUUUCGUGGGCAGAAUCUCUUGUCCUUGCCAUCAUCGAAGGAAAAGCUAUCUUCUUUUCACGGGACAUCUACUUUAUCUAUUCUCGUUUCUUAUAAAUUGUCUGCUACUUCUGGAAAAAUUCCUGAAGUUGUAGUUUUGGUGUUCAGCUCAGUAGGAUUUAAGGUCCUUUUAUAUAUUUCUUUACUACUUCUGUGCAUUCCUAAAUGAUUAUAGCAAUGUUAUCUUGUUGACUAUAUUAUUGUUCAAUAUUGAGACAUUCUAUUUUGGCAGAUGUUUUCUGAUUUUUUGCUUAUAUUGGUCACCCCUUUUUUUUGGUUAUGAGAAAUGAGAAUAGGGUCAUUUCUUCAUAUUCAUGUUUUGUUGAUAGAUGUAGAUUAUAAGCUUUGCUAACAAUCAUUAUGUUCCUUUUAAGUUUUCUUUUCAUGCAUGUCCUACUGGCAUAGUUCAUAGUGAUUUUAAUGAUUCAUUUUCUUUCUUAUGUUCCACUGCCAUUGUCUCUUCUCUUGUUAGUCGAAUCAAUCCUACUGUUUAAGAAGGCAGUAGGCAGGAAAGAUAGAGAGGUAGAGAGGGUAGUUUUCUGUCAGAAAUGCCAACAGCCACUGAGAUUUACAAGAGAGGCCUUAUGGGUGUGCCUUUUCUUUCUUUUACUUUUUAGUUUAACAGUUUAUCAACCAUAAGUGUUGUCGUAUUAGCUUUUUGCUUUUGCCUUUUUAAUUUGACGUAGAUAUAUUAUACCAGGUAAUUGCAUUGCUUUGUCUUUCUAUUUUUGUUUUUUACUUAUUUCCCUGUUGUACAUCUUGUUGUUCUGAUGAUCUCUUUUGAUCUUUGCAGACGUACAUGGAACUGACAAUCUUCCUCUUUCUCCUCAGUGGCUUCUGCCAAAACCUGGGGAAAAUAAACUUGGGACUGCACCUAGGGUAAAGAAUUUCUUUGUGUCACCUUGUCUUAUUCCCUUCUUACUCUAAAGUCUUGUGCCGGUUAAGCAAAAAAUUUUUUUGGGUCAUGUUGGAAAAAACAAAAUCAUCUUUGGUCGUGUUGGAACUAUGUACCUCGCGUAGUUUAUUUCCCUGUUCGGACAUUAGAUUUUGAUCCCUGCUGCACCUCUGGUCUAUGUAGGAUUUCAAUCAAUAUGGUACUCAGCCAGAUACUGUGAAAAAUGGUGAAGACCUUAACAAUACUGGAAAGAGAAGGGAUGUUUUCAGGCCUUCAAUGCAUGAUGGUGAAACUGGGCGCCACGAUCGGUGGCGUGAUGAAGAAAGGGAGCCAAACUCUGCUAUUCGUCGAGAGCGCUGGAGGGAUGUCGAUAAGGUUGAACGCUGGUCGGACAAUUCCUCUAGACAUUCUGGUGAAUCUCGCCGUGCCAUGUGGAGUGAUUCUGGUAACAAGGAAGGCAAUUAUGAUCAACGCCGUGAGAACAAGUGGAACACUCGUUGGGGGCCUGAUGAUAAGGAGCCUGAGAGCUGGCGUGAGAAGUGGGCCGACCCCUCUCAUCUUUCAAGUCACGGAAAGGACACAAACAACCUUCAUGAAAAGGAUACAGACAGAGAAGACCAUUAUUCUCGGCAAAGGAGGUCAAACUAUUCUGUCAGCCGUGGCAGGGGAGAUCCUGUUUAUCCCCCAUCUCAGACACCACAGAAACCGUCCACUGUGUUUGGCUAUGGUAGAGGGAGAACAGAAAAUGAGAGUCCUGUAACUAUUAGUGCUCGUGGGAAGCUUAACUCUAACAGUACUGUAAAUAGUGGUUCUUCGCGGCCAUUUCACCUAGGUUCUGCGCUUGACAAGUCUGAUAGUGCGCCUGGAAAUCCCUGUGUUAAAUAUAGUAGGAUGAAAUUGCUAGAUGUAUACAGGGUUACUGAUCUUAAAAAAGUUAGAGCAAAUCUAGAUGGUUUCAUUGAAGUUCCUCCUUUGACAGAACUGGAACCAUUGGAGCCAUUGGCACUUUCGGCUCCUACUUCCGAAGAAUCAGUAAUUGACUAUGAUGUUGCUUUAUUAUCGUAAUUCAAUUUUUGAUGUUGCAUGCUUCUUACUAUUCUGCUUUAUUGGUAGGUUAUUUUGAAAGGCAUCGACAAAGGUGAUAUCAUAAGCAGUGGUGUACCUCAGGGUUCCAAAGAUGGCUCUGUUGGCAGGAAUAUCUCUGAUGCAAUUCCACCAAAACAAGCUAAAUUAGGUGGAAAGUUUUUUCUGAUUUUAUUGAAUUGUGAUCUGAAGGUGAUCGUCUCCUUAUUGCUAAAUGGCCUGCUUUUAAUUUUAUCAGGUAGUAGGGAAGAUAGGCCUGCUGCCAUGGAUGACUAUAAAGAUGACAAUACUGACAAUAUGAAAGGUACCCAUUUCGGCUCCUUUGAGAGUUCAUUAGGUGAAAAACAAUUACAGCACCAUGGCUCUGAACAGAGAGUGGGAUUAAAUCUGAGGCAGUACUCAUUCCAGGAGAAAACACAGAAUGCUGACGGUAUUGUCUUUGUGCCUUUAGAUGCAUCUCAUAAACAUUGUUUCUAUUUGUCAUAACUUUUCCCUCGAGUAAGUACAAUAUCCACAUCCAUAAUUUACGUAAAGUAUCUCGCAUAUGCUGAAUCCAGCAUUUAGUUAUUUGUAUGCUUUGGUCUGAGAUACAUUUACAGAUUUACUAGCACCAAAACCUCUGCAAUGAUUGCUUUUGCCUAUUACACUGGUUACUAUUUCGGUCAUCCACCAUAGCAUUUUGCACGCUGACAUUCAGGCUACCAAGAGAGAGAGAAAAAAGAGAUGUUCUUUGCCAUUUGAUUUUGUUUCGUAACUUUGAAACUGAUUGGCGAUCAAACAUCCUAGCUUAAAUGUAAUCUUUUUUUUGUUUAAUAAUGUUUACUUGACAUGCAUGUGCUCAGCUUCUUGAACUGAUGGUUAGCUAUCAUGUCACUUUGUUUACUUCAUCUUCUCCUUCCUUCUUUUAAUGUGCUUUCCUUUUUUGCCCCUUAUUGCAGUUUUUUUGAACGUGCGAUUUUAAUAUUAUCAGUUGCACCACAUAUCCUAGAAUCUCUAAUGUCCCACCCUUUUUUUGCUCUCUUUAAUGAUUCAAUAGGUAUUCUUGAAAACCCUGAUAAGCCAGCCAUUAUAGAAGCAUCUAGGCCGGAAAUUUCUCCAUCACUUUAUGUUGCCGGACCAAGGAGAUCUCAAUCGGUUGGAGAUUAUGCACUGGGCUCAUCUCAUGAUUGGAAAGAGUUCUCUACUGAAAACGGACCACGGACAUCUGAAAUGAGCUGGUCUCAGUUACAAAAGGAUGAAUCUCACUGGCAAAAAGAUGAAGGAUUUGGUCCACAGCCAGACCCAAAAAAUGACCCCAAGAUUAAGAGGCAAUUAUCUGAUGUCUUGAAUAGAGAGGGUAAAUCUAGUAUCAUGCUAGGGCAUGAAGACUCUUAUAAUAGAAGGUUGCAAGCACAUCCUUCUCCAGAAGAGCUUUCUUUAUAUUAUAAAGACCCACAAGGCCAAAUUCAAGGCCCUUUCUCUGGAAGCGACUUAAUCGGGUGGUUUGAGGCGGGGUAUUUUGGUAUUGAUUUGCUAGUUCGGCUGUCAAGUGCUCCACCUGAUGCUCCUUUCUCUUUACUUGGGGAUGUUAUGCCCCACCUACGAGCGAAGGCAAGGCCCCCACCAGGCUUUGGCACUGCUGCCAAGCCUAAUGAAUUGUCAGAGAUUUCCAUUCCCUCAAAAUUUGCUGGUUCUACAAAUAUUCAUGCGGGCAUGGGGGAUGUUGAUAUUCUCAACAAUGGGUCCAGAAUCAGGAAAGAUGCUGCAACUGAAGCACAAAACCGGUUCAUAGAGUCAUUAAUGUCUGGCAGCAUAAGCAGUUCCCCAUUAGAGAAAAUAGCUCUUACUGGAGGUUAGCACUUUAUAGGAAUGUUCUUUAUGUUUUUUAACAUUAUUUAUAGGGGAUAUUACAUAUUUUCAUCUCUACAGAAUCUGAGUUAUCAUACAUCAUUUGAAAAUUCAGAUUCUUGCAAGUUACCUUAUCUUAAGCUGCACAGUCAUCUGAUGUGGGGAAGCGGGUUUUGUUUUAGAAAAGGGUUUUUCAAAGAAUAUCAUCCUUGAAACUACAAAAGGUGUAUGCAUAGGAAAUUAAGUUAUUGGAGGGCAUAUGAAAUUUCUGAUUUUUCUAGUUAUAUUUAUAUGUAGUUAUAUAAUCUUGCUGGGAUACUUACAUGUAAUGCAAGUAUUCUAAAUUCUAAUAUUUCUUGUGUUAAUUUGGAUAUGAAUUCUUGACAAUAGGUGAAGUCUCUGUCUUCUUAGGCUGCCUAUACAUGCAUGCGUUCGGUGCUUACAUAUUUUCUUUUAUCCGGUUCAACUUUUUUGAAUCUAUAGGUAUGCAAGAAUAUGGUGGGAGCAGUGCAGUGGGUGGUGAAAGUGAGAAUGAUGUGAAUUAUCUCUUGGCCCAGAGAAGAUUGUUGGAAAGGCAGAAAUCUUCAUCAAAUUCUCUUCAAUUUUGGCCAGGAAGAGAUGUCACACAGAUGGUACCAAAUAUAAAUGCAGUCUCUGAUUCGUCUCCUUUGCACUCGAAGUUGCUUCCUCCCAUGGGAGACGCUUCUCGCCAGAUCCUUCAAUCUCCUCAACAAGUGGACUUGCUAUCCAUCCUCCACUCAGCAGCAGAUAAACCUCAAAACCCAGCUAUAUCUGGAUUACCUUUAUGGUCGAAUUUCCCCGAAGCUCGAAACAUGAGUAACACAUUACACGGUAAUGGCAUGGGAAUCUCUCAGAACCCAAUAAGCAUGCAACACAAUCUAAAUAUACCUCCACAAAUUGGGGUGGGUAAUCAACAGCAAAGGUUGCUGCAACAAAACCAACCACCUUUGCCUCAUUUAAGCCCUCAACCUAUUGAUAUUGCUCCUGCCUUGCUUCCACCAGACAAGCUACCCUCUGAAAUUCCUCAAGAUCCACAAUUAUUAAGCUUAUUGCAACAGCAGUAUCUUCUGUCACAACUGCAGAUGCAGGCUCAGACUUCUGUUACCCCUCAGCUUUCUUUGCUGGAUAAGUUCUUAACGAUUAAGCAGCAGCAGGAGCAGCAAAAGCUACAAGAGCAACAGAAGCAGCAGUUGCUGCUGCAGCAACAGCAGCAGCUGCUUUCGCAGGUUCUAUCCGGGAAUCAACAUCUUCUUGAUCCUUCCUAUGGGCAAAUAGGUAAUUCUUCUCUAGAUCUUCUAGCGCUUCAAAGAGCGCAAGAGGCUCUUCAGAUCAAUCAACAGAUGUCUAUACAAAGUUUGCUCGAUCCACAACCACCUAAUCGUCCGGAUGUGAGUUUGGGUAUUUCGCCUGCAAAUUUGCCCCAUCACAUCCUCAAUCAUGUACCUUCAAAAGAAUGGGACACUUCUCUUCCACAGCAGGCUGAAAAUAUUGUGAAUGCCGAUACUGCAACAGUAUCAGCAAUGGCUGGUAGUUUGCCUCUGAUGAAAGAUAUAGAGAGAGAUGAACAGGAGGAUAUCCUGGAAAAGAACAACCAAGGGUUGGAAAAUGCUGGAGCAGAACAUAAGACACUUUCAGUGUCUCAAUCUAGUGAAGUCAUUGCCCCAGCUUGUUCUGAAGCCAAGGACACUGCUGAAUCUAAGGCCAAUGAUCCAGGAUCUUCCGAUCGUUUAACUUAUUUAUCCGAUCAGGUUCAUGAUAUGAAGCUCUCUUUGAAAGAAGUUUCAGAGCAAAUUCGUCCUGAUUCAUCUUUGGCGAAAGAAACAAAGAGCGUAGAGACACCAGAAGUAAAGAAAACUUCAGAAAAGAAAUCAAAGAAGCAAAAGAACUCGAAGGCACAAUCGGCAGCAGAUGCUGCUGGGAAAGGACAAUCAAAGACAACUCAAUCUAAAGUGGCCUCUGAAGUUGAGGGUUCAGAUGCUGUUGUCACUGCUGCUAAACCAGAAAUGCUGAAUGAUACGGAGGGAUCUGCAGCUGGGGCUUCAGUGGAGGAAGGUGAACUGGAUUUUAUAAAAGCUGAGCUACCUUCUUCCAAAAAUGAUAGUGUUCGGAAUGAAGUUGAUCGUGGGGAACUUGUUAACUUAUCAUCGAAUGCACAAACCGCUUCUAGUCAUCGCGCAUGGAAGCCUGCAUUUGGGCUUAGACCUAAAUCACUGUUGGAAAUUCAAGCUGAAGAGCAACUAAGGGCGCAGAGGGAAGCAAUGCCUGCUGAAUUUGCCAAACCAGCUGCUCCAACCAGUGUUUCAUCCUCGGUUCCUUGGAGUGGUGUAGUGCCCACUUUGGAGCCUAAAUUCAAUCCAGAUGUCACUCAACAAGUUGUGGGUAGCUCAGGAAAUGCUGCAAAUUCAAAGAGCAAGAAAAGCCCUUUGCAUGAUCUAUUGGCAGAAGAAGUCUUGGCCAAGUCAAAUGAAGUUGAAAAAGAUCUUGGUGGCAGCAAUACUAAAACAGACAUGGUAGUUCUUGAUGAUGAUGAUUUCAUCGAGGCUAAGGACUCCAAGAAAAACCGUAAAAAGGCAUCAAAGGCUAAAGGUGCUGGACUCAAGUCCCCUUCACCUGUUGGUUCACUUGAUCAAACUGCCACAUCUGUCCGUACAGAGAAGGGCAAAUCAACUCAAAAGACACAAGAGAGAGAAAUAUCACCUGCUCCUCCCUCUGGUCCAUCUCUUGGUGAUUUUGUUCUCUGGAAGGAGGAUCAAACUGUCUCUGCACCAGCUCCAGCUUGGUCCGCCGACCCUGUGAAUCUUCAAAAGCCCUUGUCCUUGAGAGAAAUUCAGAGGGAACAGGAGCGAAAGGCGGCUUCAAUCCAGCAGCAAAUCCCUAUACCGUCUGCCACAAAACAACAGCCAACGCGUGGGAAUCGCGGAAGUGGGUCUUCGUGGCAGUUUUCUGGGUCAUCUCCUUCUAAUAAGGCUGCAGCUCCCAUCCAGACCAGUUCACAUGUUUCUUCUGUUUCAAAAUCUAAAGGUGAAGAUGAUUUAUUCUGGGGUCCUCCGGAGCAGUCCAAACAGGAAGCAAAGCAGUAAGUAGUAGCAUCCACUUUUUAUAUUGAUUGUCUGUCAAUCCAUUAUGUUGCCCUUCACUGCAUGCGCAUCAUAUUAAACACUAAAGCCUCUGUUUAGCAUAUGACUAUGUAUGGAUUUGAAAGAAGAAACAACUUUUGCAACACAUGUCGGAUAUCACCUAGUUUCUUCCAGGUCUUAUUAUGCUAGCUUCUGGGCAUCUUAAUCUCCACACCAUGGUGUGGAAUAGAUGUCUCUCAUUUAAUCAUCUUGAGUUAUUCUUUUUGCUUGCCGGAUGCUGAAAUACAAACACAUUGCUGAUUUCUUUGUUGGAAGCAGGCUGACUUAGCUGUCUCUUUCAAAUGGGUUAUAAAAGUACUUGCUUGUUAUGCUGAAUAAUCUGAGGGGUUUGGAUUGUUACAAUUGAAACUAUUGAGGAUGGAAUUGAAAUCAAAAUCAAACUACGAGGGCUAAAUUUGUAAUUAACCCCUUAAAAAAAAUGGAGAGCACAUACUGAAGCAGAUUUUUUACUGAUGUAUAAACUUAGUAAUGGUUUUGAUUGGAUUAAUUGGAAACAGGUCGGAUUUCCCAUCCCUAUCAAACCAGAGUGGCUGGGGAGUCAAAGGCAGCUUCGCGAAAGGAGCACUGUCAGUGGCACCGAGUCGUCAGAAGUCACAGAGUGGUAAAUUGCCUCUUUCUUCCCCACCCACCUCCUCUGGGUUGUCGAUUGCAAAAGGGAGCAAAGAUGCAUCAAGCAAGCAAUCAGGUUAAUCUUAUAAGUGUCAGUUUCUCUCGACUAACUUAACUGAAUUUGCUGGUGAUUACAUUGUGUUUCUAAGAUUCUGUAUGCUUGCAGACGCUGUGGACUUCAGGAAUUGGUGCGAAAGCGAGUGGGUCAAGCUGACAGGAACAAAUGGUAUUGAGUUUUAACCAAUCUGGCUUUUUUUUUUUUUAUGCUAUACAGAUACACACAGCCUGCAUGUAUUUCUGAAAACACUGGCUUGUUCCGUUCCUACAUUGGAUCUGCUUUGAUACCCAUGCGCACACAUUUUGAAAGACGAUUGUGUGGGACUGUUGACACGGUUACUUGGCACUUCUCUUGAAGCACUUGUGAGCGGAUCUUGAUUCUUGACUUGGAUCUGAUGCGUGAAGUUGGAAACACUUGGAAACCAGUGCUUUUAGAAGAACCCUACUGCAACUACACAUAACACAACACGCACACACAAUGAUCAUUUUGCGUCUUUUGUGCUUGUGAAGCAGAAUAAAAUCUAAUGCGUUCUUAUUAUAUCAGAUACCAGCUUCUUAGAAUACUGCAUAAAGCAGUCGGCAUCAGAGGCUGAAACACUCCUGAGAGAGAACCUUGGCUCACUGGAUCGCAACUACGAGUUCAUCGAUAAGUUCCUAAAUUAUAAAGCUUUCUUAUCAUCCGAAGUUGUGGAGAUGGCCUUUCAACUUAAAAUCUCACGCCCCACGGGCGCGGACGAUGCUGAUACGGAAGCCGGAGCUGACGGUGCAGCCAAAGGGGGCGGCGGAAAGAAGAAAGCGAAGAAAGGGAAGAAGGUGAGCCUGUCGGCUCUAGGGUUUAAUGUGGUCAGCAACCGUAUUAUGAUGGGUGAGAUCCAGAACGUCGACGAUUGAGGCGGUGAGAGCGCGGGGGAGAGCGCGGGGGAUGAGUGUAUAUACAUUAUCUUUUGUUUACCCUUUCUGUAAAUGUUCAACCUUUUUUUUCUUUUUCUUUUUUUUCCCCCUUUUUUCGUGCUUUCCUGGGACCUUUCUGUCCCCAAAGGAGCCCUUCUAUAGAGCAGUAGUUGCAGGUCCGAUGUGUCAUCAGCUGAAGCGGUUUUGUGGGAACUCAUAGCAGCUCUUAAUGCUUAUUUUGAGAAAGUAAGCUUAGAAGAGGGAUUAUUAAUUCUAUUGUGUGAGCUGUUAUUUUUGCUUAUUUGCCUGUUGAUUUCGGAAAUCGCUCUGCUAAUGAUAGAAUACAGGAUGAUAAUCCAGAUGUUAGUAUAGUGAUGCACCGGCCUUGCUCUGUAUAACAAAUUUUAUAUAAUUUGAUGUACUGGUAGAUGGACUUAGUUUUAAAAUUGAGAAAAAAAAUAAGUUACUGUUUACUUGUUCAGUUUUUCUGUAGUUGUUGAAUAAAUUUGCAGAGACUACAGGCUGUGUAUCAUCCAUUUGUAACACCAUCAAGUAUAACUAUAUACUUCUUUUAGAAAGUAACAAUUUCACAGAGGCCAUAAAUUAUAAUUUAUAAUAGAAAAAAGCAUCAACCAGUAACAAAUUUUUCCAAUUUUUACAUACAUUGACUCGACAGUCUUAUAAAUUGUAGUAGUAAAGGGUAAGUAAACAAAGCAUAUCUCCAAGAGUAAUGCUUAUCUAUACACCCAAAAAAUUGUUUCAAGACUUGCACUCUCUCGUCCAACAAUUUAGACACUCUUUUUAUAUUAUUGAUCUUUAAAAAAAUAAUGACUAGCAUGAAAAAGAGUAGUCUUUCAAUUUGUUAAUAUUUAAAAAAAUUAAAAAGACUAGUAUAAAAAGAGUGGCCUAUGGAUUGCUAAUAUUAAAAAAAUUAGUAAGGCUAGUAUGGAAAAAGAGAGUGGCCUAUGGAUGAGAGGAUAUAAAAUUUAUAGCGACUUUUUCGUUGUACAAAUAACAUUUCUCGUUCUCCAAGUUUACAAGUCACAUGUCAUAAGAAAUUCUCGCGAGUUUACAAGUCACAUAUCAUAAGAAAUUGAUCCACUACUAGCAAGCAAACAGCUCUUGAUUCUCCAUCAGGAGGAAUUCUACACUGUCACACUUGCACCACGUCAUCAAUAACAAGCCAAUCAUAUUCCUUCUUUUCAAACGAAAGUACAAUAAAAACAUUUUUUUACAAUAAUGAUGGGACAUAUACUCUUAAAAGAAGACAUUUAAUUGAUUUGUUACGCCACGUCACCAAUAUACCCGUUGUAUUUUAGAAUUUUUCCUCCACCAGAGGCAGCUCCCUAUAAAUAGAGAGAGGUCUCUCUAUCUGUUUAGAGAUAAAGGGAGGGGGAGAGUUUGGAGUAGAAUUACUCAUCUCAUAUUGAGUCUUCUCUGUAUUUAUUAGUAUUGACAUAAUAUAUGCAACAAACACAACAGUAGAAAAUAUAUAUAUUAAAAAAAAAAAUUCCUUGCCUUCUAGCACCAGUUAACUAUGAUAAUGAUGCAGGCCAGUUCUUACUCCAUCUAGCUUUUUUAUUUGACUAAUCAAUCGGAACCACAAAGCCAUCGUUUAUUUACAUCUAAAAUCUUUAUUGUGCAAAAAUAUUAGCUGGUCACUGCAUAGCCCUAAACUGAGUCCACUAAUAUCCACACUGGAUUAUGUUCAAAACAACUAGAAGAUCACAGCUUUGAUCAUCACUCUGUCAGGUUUUUAUGCAAAAUUUGACCGAAAAAAGGAACCUUUCAAAAAGUUGUCUACCAAGUUCACUGGGUUGUACUUAUUAACCAGGCUGGCUCACUACUUGAUCCUGAAGCUUCAGUGAGCAUGUGCUGUGGCUUGUCCUGAUUUCCUGCCCAAAUAAAUAACAACAUCAACAAAUGAAAUGAGAACUCAAAAACUACAACAGUAGAAGCUUGAAGUUACUUACUGCUAACUAUGUUUGCAAAAGGAAACCUAAAAUGGAAUGCCAGCAUAAGUGGGAGUUUUUUUUAAUGCUGUUGUUGAGAUUAACCGACAUCUCAUGUUGUUUGUAUAAUAGCACAUUAACAGACUGCUGGUGGGGUGAUCAAUAUCUCCACUCGAGAAAAGAAAAGGAAAAAGAGUUAUCACGAAAUAGUUAAUUAAGAGUUAUCAUAAAGUUACCAGAAUUACUAACUAUGAUGAAGCUCGCGCAACUAAUGUUCAAAACCAACAAAAACAGAAGUCAAAAUAUUAUUCAACCCAACUUUGCAGAGUAAAUUGGAAGAUAUCUCGGUGUCCACAUCAAACUUUAGUUUUUAAGACGAAAAUAAACGGGCCUAAGCUCAUCGAUGAUUGCAUAAUUAGGUCAUACAAAAUCAGACUAACAAGAACUAAAAGGGAUAAUGGAAGCAAUUUUAGUAGAUGUUAGGGGGAUUCAAUGCACCUAGAUCUGUGACGGUUUGAAAGAUUGUAUUAAAUUAUAUUUGGUAUAUGAGCAGAAGCCUCCAAAAAGAUAUUAACAGUUUCAACAAAGAUAUACUUCAUAUUCACAUUUGCAACGUUAGCAAAUCACCCAAGCAUAUAGCAGUAAGUAGUUAUCUAAAUUCUAGUUUCUUAACUAAUAAAAUCAACCCUAUGAUGCAACGGUCAAUGGGCUUUUGGAAACAGAGGAAGCAAUCCUACAAAAUAUCUGCUCCUAGUAUUGUACAUAUGGUUGCCAGUGGAAUUAGUUUAUUUUUCUUUUAAAUUCAAACAUGACAUUUAACAGGUAGUCAAAUAUAGAAGAGUAAAGCAAUCGGUAAUCAGCAUGGAUAUAAAGCUGACUUAGACAUUACUCUUGCAAACAAUGGUUUCAACAAACUUAGAUUGAAGAGGACUACAGGGAUUAAUGGUAGCAGUUCUGGGGCCUUGUAAUGGGGAGUCAAUAUACAACAAUUAAGAUUAUAAGAUGAUGUUGAUAAAAGAACAGCGAUGCCAAUAAAGCUAUGUACAGACAAUUGGCUUAAUUAUGAAAAGGGAGAGAGAGAGAGAGAGAGAGAGAGAUUGUUCACUAAAUUGAGGAUAGAGUUACUACAUUAUUGUCACUGUAGUCUCAGAGAUAUGGUAAAGUAAUAAAAGAUCUAUUUAAUCUCAGAAUUAACAACAAAUUAGUAAUAGGCAUGUAGCCUACUUAAAUUAUAGCCUCGUCAAACAAUCCCUUUCAAUCAUGCUUAGGUUCAAAACUUGUACAAAAUUUAAUCACAAAAACUGCCAAAUCAACAUAUAAAAUGCAGGUCGUAACUUACUUUGUUAAAUAGAGAAAUAUAUACGAAAAAAGAUUAAAUAUCAAAGUUCGAUUUUAUCGACUCGAAUGUUCCCAAACUAUAAGUGGUCUCAAAAGGAUACUUUGUGAUGCAACGCAAAUACAUUGCAUAUAUUUACUUCCCACAUAAAGCCACCUACAUAGUGCAAGUGAUAUUUAAGCAGGACACUGUAAUUUUACACACAUUUGAACACAUCUCCAUUCUAUAUGCUGAUAAAAACAGUCAACAAUACACAUGUUCAGCAUCAAUUCCGAGUCCUAAUUUACUUUGCAAAAUAAUCAUGAAAAAGAGAGCUAAAAUUGUAUGGAGGACCCCUCAACUAUAGCCCAUUCUCAAACAAACCCCUCAACUUCAAUUUUUUAAUUAUGCCAUUACACUUUGUUAAAUUCAGCGACAAUCAAUUAUUACCAGUUAAUUAAUCCAGCUAUAUUUGUUAUAAAUUGAUUAAAACUAUUAAAUUUGAUAAAAUUAUCAAAAAAAAAAAGCAAAGAAGGAUAAAAUCGUUAACUUUUUUCUGGGUUCAAAUCUCUUAAUUCCAAACAAAGCAAAAUUUCAAAAAAGGUGUCAGUUUCAGAAUAGGCUACAGUAGAGCGUCUCUGUCUCUCUACAUUUAUUAUUAUUAAAAUUUAAGCUAAAACAGUAAAUAAAAAAAAACAUAGAGAGGAGGAGGAGGCUAAUGAGCCCUAGUAUGAUCUUACCCUUCGUCUUCUUCCUCCUCCUCCUCCUUUAUCAAGGGGGAAUCCUCCUCCUCGUCGAGCUGGUUCAUGGGGAGCACCGAGGCGAGGGUGUUGAUGUGCGCCACGUACUCGGCCUCCCCGGGGCUCGGCCUCGGCCCCGCCGCGGCGAUCACCCGCGCGCGGCGGCUCGCCACGUCCACCGCCACCACGUCCCCCCGCACCCACGCCACCACCUCCAUCUCCGCCCCGUGCGACCUCAGCGGCCUCGGCCGCUCCCUGAACGACCCCGCCGCCGCCCCGACGGGGAUCGACCCCACCUCCGCCCACUCGUCCCCCUCCCCGAGCGUGUACGCCACCGCCGCCUCCUCCGUCGCCGCCACGCAGCGCAGCGCGGCGCCGCCCCCGCCCCCGCCGAGCUCCCACCACUCGUCCCCCUCCCAACCCACCGCGGCGGGGCAGGGGAAAACCCUAGCCCGGUCCGCGGCGGGGUCGUAGCCCACCACCGUCCCGAUCGCCGUCCUCCAGUACGCUCCGCCGCGCGCCGCCACGCCGGACCCCGCCACCAGCCCCUCCGCCGGCGCCGCCGCCCCGCCGGACACCCACCACCCCCCCGCCGCCGACGAGAACGUCUCGAACCCGUACACUCCCGUCCCCCUCCCCGCCUCGAACGCGCACACCAGCGCGUAGUCGCACCGGAAGUUGUAGUGCGACGGGUCGAAUAUCAGCACCAGGGCGUGGGCCCGGGGGUCGAAGGGGAGGAAGCGCGGCGGGGAGGAGGACGCGUGGCGGCGGUCGAGGAGGAAGAGGCCGGAGGGGCGGGAGAGGUGGGACCCGGCCUGGGAGUGGGCGAAGAUGGGGGACGAGAUGACGGCGGCCCAGGACGGGUGCACGGAGCGGAACCGGAGGAGGGCUGCAGGCGGGAGAUAGCGGAGGGCCUGGUCCCGGAUCACGGCCGCCAGGGGCCGGUUGAUCGCGCCGAUCAGAUCGCCCACCCGCGCCCGCAGCCGCUCGCGCUGCGCCGCUCGCCUGGCGCGCCGCGCCGCCUGCAGCGCGAUCGCCUCCUCGCCCGCGUCGCCCAUAUUGCCCACCGAUCGAUCCACCCCGUUGAUGCUCUUGCUCUUGCUGUUGCUGUUUACUUGUACUACUACGACUACUAUAACAACAACAACAACAACAACAACGGAGGAGGAGUUGUGUGGUUUAUGGAGAAAAAGAGGAGAGAUGGGGAGAGUGGAUCGUGGCGAUUAACGACGACGACGACGACGACGACGACCUCGCCAAAGUCUACAUGGGAAACAAUAUAUAAAUAAAUAUAUAUAGGGUUAGAACUACUGUACUAUCACAAGCAUAAAGUAUUCGAUGCUUUUGAUUUUUUGACCUUUGGAUCAAAAGUUAAAUGGUUGAGAUGAUUGCGGUCCUCUCCAAGGUUGAAUAAUAUUUCUAGGAUUAAAUGGUUUCCAUAAAGUAAUAAUAUUAAUCAAAAAAUUUAUAAAUAAUUAAAAAAAUUGAUUUAAUAUAUAUAUAUAUAUAUAUAAUUAGACUAAAAUACUAACAAUAGCACCAAAAGUUAUUGAUGCUAUUAGAUUUUUAACCCUUAAAUUGAGAAAUGUACGGUUAGGAUGAUGUGGGCCCUCUAGGGUUGAGUGAGUGGUUGGUUUAAUAGUAUAAUCUAACAGAUGAAAAUAAUCAAAAUGUUAAAUCUAACGGUGAAAAACUCGACAAUACAAAGUUCUUGAUACGGCAGUUGGAGAAGUGAUCUCCUAAGAAUUGGAAAAAUAACUUUUGAAAAAUUAGCCUACCGCCGCCCCUAACACAAGAGACAAAUGACUUGAUUGAUACUUAAAAUUUUAAAUUCGAAUUCUAAAAUUAAUUCAUUUUUUCAUGACAAAGUGAUUUUUAUGAAUUAAUUUUAUAACGUUGUUUUGUAUUUUUUUUUUUUUUUACUGUUUGUAAAUAAUAAUUUUUUUAACUAAGUUUUAUUUUAAAAUCAUUCAAAAUUUAAAUUUAAAUUUUAAAACUUAAAAUAUGAAAUUUAAUAUUUAAAACUUAAUUUUCUAAAUUUGAACUUAAAUUUAAAUUUGAAAAUUUUAAAUUAAAAUUAAAUUUGAAGUUCGAGUCCAAAAUUAGAAACAGAUUUUAGCUACUUAUAAUUUUAGGCCUUUAAAUAAGAAAACUGAUUCUUAAAAAUCAGAGUCAGAUUUCGAAAUAGAGAUUACUAAAUGCUCAAUUGGGAGAAAAAUUAUUUUUGGUUCGAAAAUUACUUUCUAUCGACGUAGAGAUGAUGUUGGAAUUUUCAGAUAUUUUCCUAGAAAAAUAGUAAAUUUACAUCGCAUUUUUCAGAUAUUUCAGAUAUUUCCCUACAUAAAUAGUAAAUUAACCUAGAUAUUUUGGAAAUAGGAAAUAGUAUUUAAAGUUUACACAAAAACUUUUUGAAGAAAAUAAUAUAUUUGUCAUUACUUUUAUCUCUUUUAUUUUUCUAUUGUGUUUUUUCUUUUUUUUGAGGUACGAGAAUGUAGGCACUUUCCUAGAAUUCUUAUUAAUUUCCUCCAAAAUUUAUAAUAAACACUAAACUUUUUGAAGAAAAUAAUAUAUUUGUCAUUACUUUUAUCUCUUUUAUUUUUCUAUUGUGUUUUUUCUUUUUUUUGAGGUACGAGAAUGUAGGCACUUUCCUGGAAAAAAAAAAAAAGUUUAGUGUUUAUUAUAAAUUUUGGAGGAAAUUAAUAAGAAUUCUAGUAGUAAAUUAUGGGUCGAAUGAGAGAAGUUAAUUAAAAAUAAUAUAUUCAUUAUUAUUUUUUAAAAAAAUAAAGAAUAUAUUCUUAAAAAUUAAUUAUUUUUGGGAUUAAUAUAUUGGGAAAAAUUCAAAUAUCCCUCUUGUGGUUUCACUUUUUCUCACUUUAGUAUCAUAUGGUUUAAAGUGUAUCAAGUUAGUACCAUGUGGUUUUGCACUUUUUUAUUUUAGUAUUAUAUGGUUUAAAGUGUAUCAAGUUAGUACCCUAUGGUUUCGUAGUUUAUCACUUUAGUAUCCUGUGGUUUCUCACUUUACCACUCCAGUACUCUGUAGUUUAAAAAUCACAGGAUACUAACUUGCUAUAAAAAUAAAAUCACAGAAUACUAACUUGAUACAAAAAUAAACCACAGAGUACUAACUUGAUACACUUUAAACCACAUGGUACUUAAGUGAUAAAGUAAGAAAACAUAUGGUACUAACUUAAUACACUUUAAAUUAUAGGGUUCUAAGAUAAAAAAGGUGAAAACACAUGGAAUUUUUUGAAGUUAGGGAAAACUUUCCUAAUAAUAUUUGAAGAAACGUGACGUUCAAGGAAGAUAUCGUCAUAAGUCUACGUUGGAAAGUAUUUGUAAUUGGAAAAUUUUAUUCAUUUUUAAUGAUAAGGAGUAUAUUGUAUAAGGAAACUGGAUUUAUUUGGAUUAAAAUAAUAUAUAAGUGGGCCCUCACAUAAAAUAGUGAAUACGAUGUCUAAGCAGUAAAUGGUACUGUUUUUUUUAUUAUUAUUAUUUUUUAACCAAAAAUUUAAAAUAGUGUUGGUGUUUCAAAACCUGCUGGUGUGAAUAAAAAUGUUACAUGUCAAAACCUACACCUGAUGUAUAAAUACCCUCCAUACACUAUAUUUAAUAUUCGAUAACAAAUAUUUUAAAAAUCCAACUCGAUAGAUUAAAAAAAAUCAAUCGCGAGAUAAAAAUAAAAUAAAUUUAAUUUAAUUAAAAAAAGUAAAGUUCGAGUUCCUAUUUCAAAAUUUCAAAAGUGGUGUGGGGUCUCUAUCAUCAUAAACUUUUGAAGAAGCACCUUUCACUAACGCGGUAACACACAAAUGCACGUAAAAGCAGAAACUUAACGCCCAAGAAUUCAACGUAGGAUGGUGCCCAAAAGUAAGGUAACAGCUUUAUACUUUAAAAAAUUUUAAAAAAAACUUUAAAAUAUUUUUACUUUUUUAUUUUUAUACUAAUUAUUAUAAUAAUAACCAUCACGGAAAAAACAUAUGAGCACAAGGAAUCUCUUCAACAUAUGAUAUACAUCGACAUAAACAAGAUAUUACUAUAUCUUAUUAUUCAUAUUUGCCUUGAAAAUAAUUGAAGAUACACUAUUGAAAACUUAAUAUUAAUUCAUUUUACAUCAUUUAACCAAAACUCUGACCCAAUUUUAUUGGCUUUAAUAUUAGGAAAAUAAUAUGAUAUUGAGUUUAAGGGGGCGUUUGGAUUGAACGAAUCUGUAGAUCCAACAUAACUCAUGUGCAGUAGUAUAUGAGUUUUUCUGAAGUGCGAUUAUUUUUUUAUUGUUUGUUUUGACGUAACUUGUACAAUUUGAAAAUUAAAUUUAACUACUUCUUUUAUUUAUUUUGAUGUAAUUUAAUACCGGUAAAAUUAGUUUUUUAAAAUUAUUUAAUAAUUAUUUUAGAAAAUAAUAAAUAUUUUAGAGAAAGCUAAGUGUGAUGGAUGUUGAGUUCAACACUUUAGGAAAAAAAAAAAAAAUCGAAAGAACAUAAAAUGAAGAUCUAACAUAACUUGGGUUAUACUAUAACUUGAGUUAUACUAUAUUUUUGACUUAUAUCAAAAUAAAUAUAAAAAAUAAUAGAAUUUAGGUUACAUCCCUCCACUUAAGUCAAAAUAAAGUGCCCUAAAUGGUUGAAAGUAUUUAGAAUAGAAAUCAAACAGUAUCAUUGAAUGCUAAACUUUCAAAAGAAAGUAAAGAAAAAGGAGAGAGAGAGAGAGAGAGAGAGAGAGAGAGAGAGAGUCAGAAAGAGAAGUACUCCCACACUGGGAAAGACCAUCUAACAAAGAAAGUAGGAAGAAGCUAAUAACUGAUGCUGAAAAAGUGAAAAUAUAUCAUAAGUCAAACCAAGCAUUUUGUCUAACAUAUAAUCAGCAGAAUAGUCAAUUAAUACUGCACCAAGAUCUCAACAGAUAACAUUGCAUACACUUCUUAAUCAAAAGAAACAAGCCUUAAUAGAUGAAGAUAUGGAAAAGCAGGCCAAUAUAGAGACCUUUUUCUUUUUCUUUUUUUUUUUUUGGAGAGAGAGAGAGAGAUAGGUAGCACGCUACCCGCUUCGUUUAUUUGAUUUAAAAAUAAACUUAGCUGAAAAUAUAAAUCAACUAGAAUUCGAACUUAGGUCUCGGGUACCAACCACCAAAUCCUUUGCCACUUGCUCUAGAGGCUUUUAUUAAUAAUAUAAUAUAAUAUAAAAUUUAUCUGAAAUAUAUAUCAUUUUAAUUUUGAUACCCAACAUUUCAAAAUUUUAAUUUUACUAUCUAAUUUUUCAAUUCGUUUUAUUUAAAUCAGUUUAACUUUAACUUUAAAAUUUAAGCUAAGUACGUACUUUAAUAAAUUUAUAAUUGCAAAAAUUAUAUGAAAUAUACUAACUAUCUAUAAAGAUAAACGACACACUCAAAUUUAAAGUCAAACUCAUUUAAAUCAAAUAAAUUGAAAUGUUGAAUAGUAAAAUCAAAAUUUUAAAAAAACAGAUGACCAAAUCGAUAUGAUAAAGAAAAAAAGAGCUACCGUAUAUCUCUAAAUAAGAUAUAAAUUUUACACCUCAUCCAUCCGAGAGUCGAUACUCUUUUGCUAGUGUUGUCAAUUUUUUUUUCCUAAUACUAAAAACACUUCAAAAAAAUCUUAAACACUUCAAGGAGUGAAUGUAAAAUUUACACCAUAAUGAUCUACCACAAGAAAGCACUAAGAGAGAGAAACAGAGUUUUACCAUAAUAAUCUACCCAAAUAUUCCAACUACAAAAAAUAAUGCAUGGAUAAAUAUCUUGUAUUCAUCUUCUAUCUAUUGAUUGAGGUAAUCUAUAGAUAAAAAAUGUCAUUUAAAAUUAAAAAAAUGCUACCAAGAUAAACACCAAAGCUGAAGAAAACCUCAGUAAUUCUCAAAACAGUAAUGUUCGCUGUACUAUGGAAGGUUGGGCAAAAUAUUACUGAUGAUUCGGGAUUAUUUGCGUAAUCGUCAGUUGCUUUAGCAUUAUAGGUUCUUCGCCUUUUCUGGUGUGGUAAUUGAAAGUUCAAAUGCUGAAUGCGAACUCACCAAUAAUAUUUUUCGGAAUCUUCGCAUAGCAAAGCCUACAACAUUAGUACCCAUCUUUUUCAAAACGCUUUAGUCUACAUAUUAAGUACCCAUUUUUCAAAAUGUUCAUACAUGUUCAACCACUGGUGGUGUUAAGGGGCCUCGAGCUCUCAUUACUCUUACCAUUAAUAUUACCUUCUUCAUCCCUCUUCCUCUUAUUCGGCGUAGAGUGUGGAUUUGGUGGGGCGCCAUUGCAGCUCUGAUCUUUCCCGUGCUCAUCAAGCUCUUCGCCUUCACUUUCUUCUUCAUUGCUCUGAACGAAAAGUUUCGGAGUGAAUAGAGAUAUGAAAUAAUAGAAACAAACAUGAAAAAUAGGAUAUGGAAUCACAUAAAGAUUAUAUCAACCAAAACAAGAACAAUAUCAAUUAAAUGCACCCUCCCCAAAAAAUAAAAAGAAAAAGGAGAAAAUAGCUGACGAAAAAGAAGAUGAAAGUCCCAAUUAUCUGAAAAGUUGCGAGUCUAUAUGACGACUUUUUAAACAUCAGGUGCACUAUAGAUGUGUGUAAAGUUACCAAUGCGAACUUCACCUGUUGAAGUACAAAGCAAGAAUCCGGUGAAAGUUAUCUGAAAUAUGACAUAUUAAAAGUAACGAAAAGAUAUUCCAACUCAAAACAUUGUGGCAACAUAGGAGUGAGAUCUGCCAAUUAUCUAAAUUUUCCCAAACGAAUCAAUUCUGCAUAUCGGCUCAAUUCUGCAGUUCAUCAUAUCUUUCUUUACAGUUCUGCCCUAGUCAUUAGGGGCUAUGGAGAAGGUGAGAAGUGAAAACAUACUAUACCUGCAUAUUUGUUCAGCUUCCUACUCUAGUUUUACUCAAGUCAAAUUAGCACCCCAUUCUAUGAUAAGUGGGAUCAGCUGUUCAACCUCUUUGUUGCCUUCAAAAAAGUUUUAGAUCUUGUCAAGUUUACCUAAAACAACCUGCCUUGUCUUUUAGGCUUAGGACAGGUUGUACAGAAGUAAAACCCAAUCUGAUGAAAGAAUGGAACUACAAUAAACAAAUAUGAACUGAAAAAAAUCACAUCCAAAGAGCAAGCUUGUUAGAUUAAGAGCGGCGGCAUUACCCAACAAUAGUUAAAGAAUCAAAUAUAUACUCUAAUUGUUUAGCCAUAGAUAGCAUUAACCUAGAAAGAACUACUUUAGCGUAAAAGGAAUUAGUAAAACAAGAGAGCAUUAAAACACUGUUUAAUAGUAAAUUACCAAAUUGGCUAGCCAAUCCAAACAAGCGAAGAACACAUGACAAUUGUGGAUGGUGGGAUCUUGUGUAUUUGUAAAUGGGAAAUGUCAGCAUAUGAAGUGAACAUCUGCUAAAAGCUGAACAAAUAAGCAUACAACUAUUGCUACUAGUAAUAAUAAACAUUUAGGCACAUCACAUUAUAAUAAAUUCUACCAGUUUUACAGUAGAAAAUUAUAUAGAUAAUUUGUUCUUCAUGAUUAUUUGGUAUAUCAAACGAGUAAUUAAUUAGCAAAUGAACUUUAGACUGAAGGGAAAAAUGAAAAUAACGAACCCUGGAUUUUCUGGGUAAAUUAUGUUGUCAAAUACAUGCAAUAGGUUCACACAAUGCAGCAAUGAAGGACUAAACUAAACAGAUCCGUAGCAGGAUCAAAUGCAGCUAAAGAUAGUUAGAUAGAAAAGAAAACUAGAUCUCACCUCAUCGUCUUCGCCUUCUCCGUCACUCCCCUCUCCAUCCUCCUCCUCCUCCUCCUCCUCAUCCUCUCCUUCCUCCUCGUCGAUCUCCUCUUCAUCCGCCUCUUCGUCCUCUUCCUCGUCCUCCUCCUCAUCGUCCGAAUCCAACCUCUCCUUCCCAUCCGCAUCGAUCUUAUCCAGGUACUUCAACGACGGUAUCAUCCCGAACACCUUGGACCUGUAACCCUCGACCCUCGUCACUGGGCACUCGUAGAGAUCGAGGGACUCGAGCCCCAGCGCCGCGAGGGGGGCGAGGUCCUCGGCCGCCGCGAUCCGGUUGUUGGAGAGGUCGAGGUGGCGGAGCGCGGCGAGCCCCGCGGCGGCGAGCGCGGCGAGCCCUCCGGCGACGCGGUUGUCGGAGAGGACGAGGCGCCGGAGCCGCGGGAGGCGCGGGAACCCCUCGAGCGUGCAGAGGCGAACGUUGGCGAGGGAGAGGAGCUCGAGCGACGGGAACCGCUCGAGGAGCGGCGGCGCGGGGAGGCGACCGUUGGAGCACUUCACGGCGCCGUCGAGGGUUAGGGUUCGCGGCGGCGGCGGCGGCGGCGCCGCGGAGGUAGAUGGCUUGAGGGCCGCGGCUACGGCGUCCUCCCACGCCUUGUCCAUGGCCGUGAGGAUGAAACCCUAACCCUAACCCUAACCCUAACCCUAGUCGAUGGCGGCGCAGUUCACUGAACACUGACGAAGCCCUCGAGCGUCGAGAAGUAGCCGCGGAGUGUUUUGGUGCUGUUGUGUUAAAAUCCGAAGCGCCUUCGCUCCUCGUUUUUGAAGGUGAGCAUACUCUAUACACUGUAUACACUGUAUAUUAUAUUAUAUAGUACAUUAAUAGGUAGCACAAAAGUAACCAAAUUUUAAAUUUUAAAGUUUCCAAAAAAAAAAAUUUAAAUAAUGAAGUUUAGCACCUUUUUUCAUGUUCUUAGUGAAGCUUGUAUUAAUUUUGGAUUAAUUUCAUCCUCAGCCUAACUCUUUGAUUAGAAUAGAGAAUAGAAUUUUUUUAAAAAAUUAGAAACUUUGUAAUACAGGAAUAAAUUUUAAAAAUUUUAUUUAUAAUUUUUAUUUAAAAUUAGUAAUUUGAAGAAUUUCAAACCAAAUUUUAGCUGGGCGAACAGUCACCCUCCCCCACUUCAAGCCCGCUCACUUCCCGCACGCUUCCCACGUUUCCCGCCUCGCCAAUUCCCUUCUCCGACCCGUGGACCCCACGAGGCUCACACGCUCCCGCCUACAAUACCCAAAACACCCCUCCCUACUCCCGUAGUCCUCGGCUUACUCCCGAACAAAUCGCAAGGUCAUUUUAGACAUUUCAUCCCUAACUUCCCGCUUUCCGGGUUCCCAAGAACUCCAUAAAACCCCCACCCCGCCCCCCCCCUCAUUCACCCACUUCCCACACCACUCCGCCAUGGCCACUGCCCUAACCCUCCUCCUCCCCUUCUUCUUCUUCUUCUUCUUCUUCCUCACCUCCGCCAACGCCGUCUCCGGCGACGGCGGCGCCUGCGCCGCCGAGGCGGCGGCGGAGAGUGGCGGCGGGUGUCAGGACUCGGCGGCGGCGCUCCGGCUCAAGGUCGUGGCGAUCGCGUCGAUCCUCGCGGCCAGCGUGGUCGGGGUGUGCCUCCCCCUGGUCUCCCGCUCCGUCCCCGCGCUCCGCCCCGACCGCGACCUCUUCGUCCUCGUCAAGGCCUUCGCCUCCGGCGUCAUCCUCGCCACGGGCUACAUGCACGUGCUCCCCGACUCCUUCGACGAUCUCCGGUCCCCCUGCCUCCCCGACGAGCCCUGGGCGAAGUUCCCCUUCACCACGUUCAUCGCCAUGCUCGCAGCCGUCGUAACCCUAAUGAUCGACUCGCUCAUGCUGAGCUGCUACAAGAUCGGCAAUGGCGGCCACGGCGCCGCCGAGAUCGCCCUCCAGGGGGCGAGGGAGAUCUCCGUGAUCGGCAAGGAUGGUGUUGAAAUUGAAUCGGAGCGGUUGCGAAGGAAUCGCAUUAUAGCUCAGGUUAUUAUACAAAGAAUGAAGAGCACUUAGUUUUCAAGCUAAAUUUCUCUGAAAUAAUUACCAAGUUUAAAUUAAUGAUUGAUUUGUGCAGGUACUGGAAAUGGGAAUAGUGGUGCACUCUGUGGUGAUAGGGCUUUCCAUGGGAGCCUCGCAGAAUCCGUGCACCAUUAGGCCCUUGGUAGCUGCUCUUUGCUUCCACCAGAUGUUCGAAGGAAUGGGCCUCGGCGGUUGCAUCCUCCAGGUACCAAGUUGUUCGGAGAACUAAUUCCUACUGCCUCAAUAGAAUUUUUUUGGAAUGAGUUUCUGAGUCUCAAAAGUAAAAACCAAAAUCUGAUCAACUAAGAACAUGAUCAAACUGUGCCGGAUAAGGUCAGAUCGAAUCAAAGUAAAGAAAUUGAUGACCUGAAUCUAACCCAAAUUUCUGCAUUGGGCUUGACCUAACCAGUACUGUAUUGGGCCGGGCGGGCCUGGAUUUUUAUUUUUUCUAGGGUAAUUGCUCAGAUACAUGCAAUUUGAAUUUGAAUUUUUGAUAUCCAACUUUUGGUUUGCAGGCAGAGUAUGGAAUGAAGAUGAGGGCCAUCCUGGUGUUCUUCUUUGCCACGACGACCCCGUUUGGGAUCGUGCUCGGCAUCGCGGUGUCGAAGGUGUACAGCAGCACGAGCUCGACGGCGCUGAUCGUCGAGGGCGUGCUGAACGCGGCCUCGGCCGGGCUCCUGAACUACAUGGCGCUCGUCGACCUCCUCUCCGUGGACUUCAUGGGGCCGAAGCUCCAAAGCAGCGUCCGGCUCCAGCUCUUCAGCUACGCUGCGGUGCUCUCCGGCGCCGGCUUGAUGUCCCUCAUGGCAAAGUGGGCGUAAAAAUGAAGAACUAGCACGUUCAUGAAGUUUUGUUUUUCUCAUUGUUUCUUAUUGUUUCUUACUGCUUCUUUUGUUCUCUACACGACCAUUCCAGAGCAGUGUGUGGAUAGGAUAAAUAUAAAAAUAAAAAAACAAUUUUUGAUUAUCAACAUUUGACAAAAGUCAAAACAUUCAUUAAACAACACAUUCAAUCAAAUAAAAAUUUUAUUUCUAACAAAAAUUUUCACAAUAAAUACAGAACAACACUUUAGUAGCAUCUGUGGUACAGAUUUGGUGGUGGUUAAUUAUUGAGUUGUUUUUAUGUCGCUUUCAACAUUAAAAUAAAAUACAACAAAUGAAAAAGUUUGGGUGGAUGGGGGUGUCCUGCAAAUUUUUAUUCUUUUUUCUUUUUUUACAAAUAUUCCAACCUUAGAUUCUCAAAUAAAAAAUGCUCAUACGGAUAAUAAUGAUAAAUAAAUAAAAGCAAUAAUAAUAAGGUAAUGAAUGGGAAAACCCAUCCGCAUCAAUGGGGGAUCGUUCUCGGCCGCUGAUCGUGGCGAUGAAGGGCCACCCGGGGACGGGCAAAUCCACGCUCGCCCGCGGCGCCGCCGCGGCGCUCCGCCUCCCCCUCCUGGACAAGGACGACGUCCGCGACUGUACCCUCCCCCUCCAACAAUCCCCAUCCCCAUCCCCAUCCCCAUCCCAAUCCCAAUCUCAAUCACAAACCCUAGGAGGGGGAGGGGGAGUGGGCGCCGCAUCCCUGAACGAGCUCUCGUACGCGGUGCUGUGGCGCGUCGCCGAGACCCAGCUCCGCCUCGGCCUCUCCGUCGUCGUCGACUCCCCGCUCUCCCGCGCCACCCACCUCGCCGCGCUGCGCCGCGCCGCCGCGCGCUGCGGCGGCGCCCGCAUCGCGAUCGUCGAGUGCCGCCCCGGGCGCGAGCUCGAGUGGCGGCGCCGCCUCGAGGAGCGCGGCGCCGCCGCCGCCUCCGCCGCCGCGGAGGAGGAGGAGGAGUUGGGGGGAGGAGGAGGAGGAGUANAGGAGGAGGAGGAGGAGGAGGAGGAGGAGAGGGGUGGCACAAGCCGAGGACGUGGGGGGAGCUGAGGAGUCUGGUGGAGGCGUACGAGGGGCGCGCGGAGUACGAGGUGGGCGACGACGUGGCGCGGCUCGUCGUCGACACCACCGAGGAAGGGGUCGCCGCCGACGAGAUGGUCGCUCGGGUUGUGGACUUUAUCCGCUCGCUGUAGCCCGUGGACCCGCCCUACCACGUUGUCCAUGAGCCCCAACUCCUUUAUUUCAUUUUAUUUUAUUUUAUUUUAUUUUAUUUUUUUCUGGGUUUAUGUAACUAUAAUGCUUUUUUAAUUCUCUGUGGCAUGAAGGUGUAUAGUCCAUUCUCUUUGAUAAGCCCAUAGAUAAAUCAACAGCAAAAUUAAGACUUAAUCUUUUUGAAUACCCAACUACUAGCAUAGUUAGUGUACAUAAUUUUUUUUUUUUUUUAAGAGAUCAGGAUUUAUGUUCUUAGGGGUGAUGAUUCACAAACCCUUAUCACAUAAACCCUCCAUAUAAGUCAUUUAGAAAGUUGAAUACUAUAUCUUUAUUUUAAAACAAACAAGCGAGGAUUGAAUCCUAACCUUAUUAUCUCUCAUCUAUUUAUAAAUUCUUUAUCGUUUAGAUGUCCCCACUGCUACUUCGCUAGUCGAUUCAUAAUGGGGCCCAAAUGAGUUAGUCGCAGCUGGUUGGUGAGAGAGCUCUUAAUCCCUAGCAUUUUAAAAAGUGUUCAUUUUUCUAAAAAUAAUAAAAUUGUCUUUUUUCUUUCGAGAAAAAGAUAAUAUACUAUCUGCUUCGUUUAUUUUUUUACUGAACAUAUGAAUCAACUAGAAUUCGAAUUUGUAAUCUCGGAUACCAACCACCCAACCUUUUGCCAUUUACGUUAUGAACGGUUGAUAUAAAAAUUUGUCUUUAAAAUAAGAUGUAGAAGGAAUGUUUUAGUAAAAUAAAAUAAUUGAAAAAUGUUAAAAAUGUCAAUUAAAUGUUGCUCCAAAUGAAACCUUUUAAUUUGCAUUUCAACUCAAAUGAAAAGCUUUUAAUUUGCUAUUACUUUUUCGAUAGAGAUAUUAUUUCACAAGCUAAAAAAUGCCGUUUUUUAAAAUUAUUUUAUUUUUAUUUGUAGCACUAAUUAUUUUUUUAUAGAAUAUUCAGUAAUAAAAGAUUUGAAAAUUUGCAUUGAAGGAAUGUAAUGUGCCGCUAAAGUGCAGCUAAAACCUCAUUUUUUUUAUAAAAAUUGCUGAAAGAAAAUAUUAUAAUAUCUUUAUUAAUUUUACUUUUUAAAUAGUACUUUAGUAAAAAAAUAUAUAUAUUAGGCUAAAUUACAUUAAUGUUUGUCCUCAAUCUAUAAGCCGCGAUCGGUCACACUGUGGUCCUCAAAUAUUAAUGUAUUAUAAUUUCUAACUUAAAUUUUUAAUUGUUAUAAUUAAGUUUUAUAAUUCAAUUUAGUUAAUUAAAUAUGAAAGUGAUUUGUUGUUGUGAUCAUUGUUGUAACAUUAAUCAUAAUACUGAUAUAUCACUAUCACAUUAACAAUAUGUUGGUAUUUAGACAGCUAAAUUAUAUCACAAAACUUAAUUAUAAUAAUUUAAAAUAUCUGAACUAGAAUUUGAUUUAAAUUAAAGUUUAAGAUCAAAGUUUUUUAGUCUAGGAACGUCGAUGAACACGGAUAUCUGAAAUUUUAUCCAAGCAGGAUUAAUUUAUCUGAUGCUAAAUAGAUAUAGUUUAAAAUACAUGUAUAAAAAAUAAAAAUCUAACAAAUUUGGAUUUGGAUAUGGAUUUUAUUUGUAUUCGAUCCGAAUCCGAACUCGAACUCGAAUAAAUUUUACAUUAUAUAACGUAUAUAAAUAUUUGACGUUAUAUUUAAAUUUAUAAUUAAAAAAUUUAGAUUUAGUGUACUUUUUUUGAAAUAUGGUAAAAUGAAAUAAUCAUUUUCGGUUUGAAUGUUCGGAUUCAGAUUCAAAUUCUUAUUUCAAAUUUGAUGGUGGGUUCCCAUUUGUAUUUUUAGAAACUCGCAACGAAUUCGACCAGUUGACAUCUCGUAUUAGAAGUGGAGAACCAAAAUUAAAAUUUAGCCAAAGUAAUCUACCAAUGUACCAACCAAACAGACGCUAAAUAUUAAAUGUCAUUUAAUAGUUAAGGGUUUUCCGUGCGAGAAACCAAAGUAGUGGAGAUACAUAAUAUAUAUGAUUAACUUCAUACAUAUCCCUGUAAACAUAAUAAAUAGUAAAUAUAUCUUUAUAAAGUUCAACUUUUAUAUAUUGUCUCUGUAAAAAUCCUGAUAUUUUCAAAUAUGUUUUUGCCGUUAUAAUUCGUUAAAAAAAUUUAGUUAAUCAUAGAUUAAAUACUUAAUUUUAAUUAAUUUUUGAUAUUUUUACCUCUUUAUAUUAUACUGUUAUGAUUUUUGGAGGGAUAUAUUUGUGAUAACAAAAUUAAAAAUAUAAAUAGCUCUCUAAUAUAACAAAUCAAAGAAACAUAUUUGAAAAUAUCAUGAGUUUUGUAUAAAUAAUAUAUAAAAGUUAAAUUUUAUAAGUAUAAGUUUGACAUUCAUUAUAUUUGCAGGGACGUACAUGAAAUUAUCCCUACUAUAUAAAUCACACCACUUAACAACUUUCGUGAGAGCCUUCUUCUAUUUGGGCGUGGCAUUUCCCUCGUGACUCCUCUUCUUCUUUUUUUUCCCUCUUUUCUUCUUUUUUUCCCCCCUUUUUUUGGCUUUUUUAAGAAAAUUUGUUGUGAUCCGUUGAUGUGAGCAUGGCCACGGAGUUCGCUCCCACUAUUCGGUAGCUUCUUCUCCAAAUCCCGUUCCCACACUCUAAGGUAAUCGCUCUUUACCCAUUUCUCUCCCUCUAGAUCUUCGUUUUGAUCUAUGAUAUGAUGCGUUUGAGCCAUUAUUGCUUCGUGAAUUAGGGCAUUCCCCAUUUUGGGUUUGUUUUGGAGGAGAUUUCUCUGAUUCCGAUCUUUGUUUCAGGAUUUAGGUAUAUGCUUUUUUUUUUUUUGAUUUUUUGGUGGAUUAUUAGAUCUUGUGGGUUUUGAUUUGCUUGAUCUGCAUGGGGUUUGUGCAUUUUAGAGUUGUGGUAUUAGGAAAUUUGAGCUGAUCAUUUGCAAUCUGAGUAUGAAUGUGUGUUUUGGAUUUGCAAGGUAGAAAAUAUAGGAGAGGACCCGCCUAAUUUCUUAAAAUUAGGGAUUUUGUUAAAUAUGAUGGUGAUUCUAAUGUAUUUAAUUGCUGUGAAUGUUUCUCAGCUCAUGGAACUGCGAAUUUUGUUAAAUGGUAAUGGUUGAUAGCUAAUGGAGUAAUAAAUUUUAGUGAAUUGCUCAUAAAAAUUUAGAGUACUAAGUUGAGGGAGGUUUCCAUGCAAAUUUUUUUUAUAACCGAUUCUUUCGUUUUUUGUUUGAGAUGUAUGGUAUUGCUACUAUUUUCCUUUCCUACACUGAUUAGACUCUUCGGUACAGCGAUAUUCUAUGAUGCAGGGUUUUAAGUCUUCGGUCAUGACAAUUAAGUCAUAUAAAUACCAAGCAGAGGCACUGGUCCGGGACUACUUACUAGCAGAUCCAUUUGUUCCAUACACCUCUGUAAUGAGUGGCAUUUUCAUGUGCAAGGUGGUAAGUUUCGGUUUCAUUUAAUAUUGGUGUGAGUCGUAUAGCUUGAUUCUUAAUGCAGGAACUGUUAAUACAGAGGUAAACACAAGAUGAUGCGGAAAUGGAGAUAAAGAAAAUGAUUCUGCAUUUCAUUCUUGCUUCUUAUAUUACCCUAACUACUUUAAAUUAAUAGAAAAAGAAUUUCUUAGGACUUUUCACUUGUUGAUGCGACAAGCUAUCAAAAAUUAAUUGGUUGGUUAGCAGUCUAUUGUUUGGUAUCUGCUAAAGAGUUUGUUUAUGAGAAUUGAAGUAAUCUGCGAACUUACGACUACCAAAGGAAGCUUGGUGAUUAAUGGAAACAAAUAAACUGGUUGGAGAAAAACUGCUGUAAAUUGCUUCUGAAUGCCAAUGCAAGUAAAGAGGAGUGACCAAAUUAGCCCUAUUUAUUUUUCUCAAUUCAGACUAAUGGAAGCAUAAAUACUAAAUACGAAUGGCAAGGAAUACAAUAAUGAUUCAUCACAAUUCUAAUGAUCAUCAUAUGAACCUUGUAAUUUUUUACUGGAUGGUUAUUCAGUUUUCCAUAUAUAUAGCUAGUUUCAUGUUGAUCUGUUUGGUUUGAUAUGUUGUUGAUUGCUAGUCAAGUUCUAGUCGCCUUCCAGUAGAGAUACUGCUCUAAUUUUGGCUUUCAUUUUUUCCGAUUAUAAAGUUUAUUUUCUUCUUUCUCAGGUGUACGAUUUGACAAAAUUAGUCAGCUCAUUUUACUUCAAGGGCUAUGAUUCCCUUAUGAAGAUCCAACGAAUGGAGUGGAACAAUAGGUGAGAACAGAAUUGAUUACUUUCUGCACUCCACACCUUAUGAAAAUCCAACACUCUUUAACUUACAUCUGCUUGUACCAUUUUGCAGGGGCAUGUCCAGCGCUCAUGCCAUUUUUAUCACCAUUAUGUCAUUUUACCUACUCUUCUUCUCAGAUCUGUUCUCUGAUCGCCUCGAAGGACCAGUUACAUUUCGAAGUUCGAAUAUCUCCACUUUCUCGUUAGGGGUAAGAGUUGCCUUUCACUUUUGUUACAAUCUUUUUUUUUUCUUUGUGUCUAUCUUCGGUUUGUCUUCCUAUGCGAUGUAACAAUUUGUGACAAGGCAUGAAAUCUUCUUUUGGAAAAAUGGGGGCGUUUUUGGGAGUUCAAAGGUGUAUCUAAGAACUAAGUUUAGUAAGGCCUAUUAAUGCUGAGAUACAUUACCCAGUGAUAACUAUGCAAUAUCCAAUUUCUCUUUUCUGAUUGCAGUCUAGGAGUUUGAUUUUAAUUUACUGCAAAGUCCUUUCAAAUAUGUAUUUUUUUUGCUUUUUGUUUUUUGUCAUAAUGCAUUUAACCUGAAAUGUGAUUUAUCAUAUUUGGAUAAACAUGACUCAAUGGCCGUUCAUGUUAUCCUCUUAUCUAAAUUUUUAGUACUCCCCGGCAGCUAAUCACCACAACCUCUUGAGUAAACAAAAGAGAUGCUGAACAAGAUGUUCAUGCAUCCAAAGUCCGAGCAGGCCGUGAGCAUAUAUAUGAAAUUCUGAUUUUGUAGGGAUAUAUAUAUAUAUAUGGAGUAGAGCUACUAUACUCUUAUGAGUAUAGAGCUCUUUGUACUCAUAGGUUGUUUUUGAUGAUGGAGCUUCCGAAUCGACGAUCCACUCUGUUAAAUAUGAUCGAGAGUAUUUGAAACUUCUAAUUUGUAAUUUUUCGAAAUCAUAAUAAAAUCCAUCAAGCAGGCAUAAAAUGAAUGGUCAAAAUAGAACGGCGUACUAAAAAUAGAUGAUCGGAUCCUUCAAUUUAAGAUCGGAGUUAUUGAUCUUUAUCUAGAUAGUAAAUAGAAUUUUCUAUCAAAAAUUCAACUGAUUUUGAUUCUUUUACACCGUUAAACUAGCAAGUAUCUCAUACCGACCAUUAAAAAUUGUCAAUUUUGAGAUCUUUUGAUCAUAAGGUAAAUAAUGUCAAAAAAUUAUAAACUUUGAUUUCUAGAAGUUUUAAAUGCUCUAGAUAAUAUUUAACGGUAUCGAUCAUCAAUUCGGAAGCUCUAUUAUUGAAAAUGACUUACGAGUAUAAAGACGAUCGUAUUCAUAAGAGUAUAGUAGGCGGACUCUCUCUCUCUCUCUCUAUAUAUAAAUAGUUUAUUUUCUGGGGCUAUGUGAUGCUGUUUUUUUUCCUUUCCCUCGAUGUUACGAGUGCAAUCUGAUUUCCGGCAGGUUUCAGUUGGGUACUUCAUCACUGACCUUGCAAUGAUAUUCUGGCUCUUCCCUUCGCUCGGCGGAAUGGAAUAUGUUAGUAAUCUUCUUCGAAGCAUCAUUUAGCAAUGAGUGUAUAAUCUAAUUAGAGUAAUAUUUUAUUCCUUCCCAUGUAAAUCCUUUAUGUUUGGUGCAGUUAUAAACUUAUAAUUUAUACAAAUGGUUUUAAACAGUUGAUUGUAACCUAUUAUUAACCAAUAUUAUUAUAAUUUUUAAUACAGGUUGUCCACCAUAUGCUUUCCACAAUUGCAAUAGUUUAUGCUAUGUUGUCGGGGGAAGGACAGUUGUACACUUAUAUGGUUCUUAUCACGGAGACAACCACUCCAGAAAUAAACUUGAGAUGGUAUAAGGGGAUAAAACAAAUUACUAGGGCAACCAAACAGAUGCUUCACUACUAAAAAGUUAUUUUCACUUGUAACUUAUCUGCUUGUUUCUAUCUUGAAGGUUUCUUGACACGGCAGGAAUGAAAAGAUCCGUCGCCUAUCUAGUUAACGGCAUAGUGAUGUUUAUCACAUGGCUGGUAAGUUGGUUGUUGUUUUUCUUUAGUCUUUUGUUGUUUGAACUUUAAGAUUAUGUCAUAAGCCAAGUACAAGAAAAAUAGCUAGUAACUGACGUAAUUGAGAUUUAAUAUUUUUGCACCCAUAUAAGAUGACGUGUGAAAAGUCAUAUAGUUUUACUGAAUCGGACAUUUAUUUUUCUGCAUACUUGCGGAUUUGGGACUGCAUAUUAUUUAUCAUGCUUUAUAAAGAAUGCUUAUAUAUUUGGUGUUCUAAAUUUUGCAGGUGGCGAGAAUACUGCUUUUCGUCUACUUGUUUCAUCACAUCUAUUUGCACUAUGAUCAGGUACUUGAUCUUCACUCUUCAUAUGAUGUCGUGAAUAAUAAUACGCCAAAUGUUUGGAUAACCUUUGUGUUAUUAUUUUAUAUAUUUCCGACAGGUUCUUCAGAUGCAUAUCUUUGGUUAUGUGCUGACAUUUCUGGUGCCAUUUGUGCUGUUUGUCAUGAACACGUUCUGGUUCGGAAAGAUCUUAAAAGGACUUAAGAAAACAUUGUCCAAGCGUCGUUGAGGAUCUGAGUUUGUCCCAAUCUAUGAUCAUUCCUACGCGGUUUUACUUUUUCUUUUUUUUUCUUGUUCCUGUGUAAAGUCGAUGGAUAUAUAAGGUGGGGGAAACAAAAAGAGAGGUAAAUAGAAGAGGGUUUAGCGUAGUGUGGCUUUGUGCUGCUCUUUGUGGCUUAAUUGCUGUAUAUGGAUACGAAUUGCGUUUUCUUUCGAGUAAAAUUCCUGUCGUAGUUGUUGUAUUUUUUUUUUGAGAAAACUUCAAAUACCAUCCUGUCAUUUCGCAUUUUCUCACAUUAGUAUCCUAUGGUUUAAAGUGUAUCAAUUUAGUAUCCUGUGGUUUUAUUUAUUUAUUUUUAUUAUCUGUUUUACUAAUUUUUUUUUGUUAAAUUAUUAAUAAAGUUAAAACUAAAGGGUACUAAAGUGAAUAUUCUAUAAAUAUAGGUAGGGUAUCUGAAGUUUUUUUGUAUAUAAUUUAAUAAAAUAUUAACGGUGGAGCUGACGAAAAGAAAAAAAAAAUGAAAUCAUAGAGUACUAACUUAAUACACUUUAAAUUACAUGAUAUUAAGUGAGAAAGUGUGAAACUGUAAGAGUGAUAUUUGAAGUUUAUUAUUUUUUUUCAACUUAUGACAAGCUCUUUGAUCGAUUUUCUAACGGCAACUUUGGUGAUCUCUCUCUCAAAAAAUUUUAGACUAAGUAUUCAAUGUUUGUAUGUAUACAAAUUUUUUAUCUAAUAAUAACUAGAUAUGUUCACGUGGUAUUAUUUAUGGAAAUGAAUAAGAUAUAUUUUUUUUAUCCUACAAUAUAUAUUCUCUAUAAUUUUCGAUGGAGCCCAUUAUCUCCAUUGGGAUGGGGAGAGAUUGUAUUAAGCUUAAUAAAAAAAUGUGAUAAAAAAUAAAAUUAUAAAAAAAAUAAUUAUUUUGUUUUUAUAUGUAGUAUUGUCUUUUGGCAAUAGGCAGUUAAAAUAUAUUUUCCACAAUUUUAUUAAAAAUUUAAAAAUAGAAAAAAUAUUUUUAUAUAUUUUCAUUCUAAUUUAUUUUACCUAUUAAUAUUAAAUAAGUCUUAAUCAAGAAUUAAAAUGCUUAUCGGGAUGGACUGUAUCUACUGUGUCGUAUCAUGUCAGCAAAAUAUCGGCACGAUACAGUUCCUAUACCGAUGGCAAAAUUCAAAGCCCUCUUUUUUUGAAAUUAGUUAAUAAUUUUUUAAUAAAACUUAAAAAAAUUGAUAAAAAUACGUAAUAAAUAAUUGACAUAUUUAAUUGCUAAAUAAAUAAAUAUUUCAUGUCACGAUUCGACACGUACUAUGCCGAUAAGUUUCGGACGCGAGGCUCUUAAAUCCUUGGUCUUAUGAUAAACAGCUCAUGUGGAAUAAAUGAAUUGCAAACUAUACUUCGUUACUUUGGGGUACAUUCUGGGAAACCCAUAAAUCUACUCUCCUCGUCCAGCGAAUCCGACACUCCAUUUCCAAAACCCUUCCCUCGUCACCCCUUCCUCCUAAAUUUACGACCCCAAUCCACACCAAAACCCUUAUUCUCUUCCUCUACUACCCGAAUUUCGUCGCCUCCCCCUCUCCGAUGGCCUCCAAUGGAGCUACCGCGGUAGGUUUUCGCCAUGUCAAUCACUUCACAUUCAGAUCAAAUCCAUGCCAUUGUCGUGGUUUUACCAAAAAGAAAAAAUUGGUGUUUUUAGAGAGUUGGAGACGCGGAGAGUAGCUUGGAGAAGAUAAAGCGACAGCUUACUUCAUCCUCAGGGAGGUAUCUGCUCCAGGGCCCGCUUCUUAAGCGAUCUGAAAUGGUGAGGCACCCGAUCCAUUUGCGUUUCGUGGGAAUUGGAUUCAUCAGGUUCCUUUUGCGGGAUUUUUAAGAUAAAAUUUUGAUUUUUUUUUCUUUUUUAUUUUUGGUGCUCUAAGAUCCGUGAUCUUUCUCUUCUUCUCGCUUCUGGGGAUGUGUUUGAUGCUAUUGAUCCCUCCUGGGGUAUUAAAAUGAUGCUGUAGUGGAGUAUCAGAGUUGUUGGUUAUGAAAAUGGUUGCUCUUUGAUCUCUAUGAAUCAUUAAGUAUUCAAAUGACACUGAGUUCAAACAAAAUUUAUUCUGUGAAAUUGAGUUCCUAUUGGGGUUCUUCUUUGUGUGAAAUCAAUGAAUCAUGCUCACAGAAAGAUGAUAUGCUCAUAAUUUGACCUCGCACGAGAAAAAAAACAUGAAAUAGUUAGCAAAAAUAUCAAUUUUAACAGAAGUAAAUGGAUUAAUAAGUGCCUCAGCAGCAGUAUGUACCAACAAGAAGGUACAUGGGAGGAAAAAAAACUUACAAAAACUGCUGUAUAUUGGAAUUGGAAUUGGAAUUGGAAUUAAUUUCACAGCAGUUGUUCAUUCUUUCUGUUUAAUAUCUGAUAUCUAGAAGGGGAGUCUAAAAGCUUCUCCAUUGUUGUUACGUGUGCGAAUUGUAGAAACACACUUUUUAAUGUGAGUUUAAAUUGUACAUAUAUAUGACCCUCGCUGUAUCCUCAGUAGUUGGAAUCUCAUGUACUUGUUUUUUUUUUCAAAAAAAAUUUUAAUACAGUAUCCCUAUUCAUCUAACUUUGAAAUGGGUCUUAUUAAUUUCUCCCUUUGGAUGCUAAAUAUAGCAAUGAUUGGCGCUCGCUGUUACAAUUCCAAUUUUUAGUUGCUAAAUUUUAUUUCUUUCUUUUUUAAUAGCUGAGGAAGUGGAAUGAGCACUGGGUGAUCUUAGACCCCACUAGUGGGAAGAUGGAAUACAAGUACGGCAUUCUGGGUGCAUUUUGUUUGGAAGUUCUUAACUUGAAACUUGGUGAAUAUUUGAUCUUAUUUAUGUCGUAGGACUGGGAGAAAUGCAGCAGUUAUUAAGGGAAAUAUCAUAUUUGACUCAACGAGCACAAUCACAUUGUCCCCUGUGAAUUUCCAGUAUGCAGUUGCUUCUUUGCUCGUCAUAUUAGAAUUCGUUAUUGCUAUCUAGCAAAUGCCAAACGGCCUUUUGAAACAUUCUUGUUUAACUUGUGCAGUGGAUCGCCGAAAUAUGAUGGCUGCUGUUUCUGUAUCCAUAUGCUUUGCCUUCUAAAUGGCUGGACUUUGUCUCUGCUUUAAUCUGUUUGUAUUUAUGUACCAUCCUUACAUUAUACUAAUUUUUUGUAAGAUCGCCUUUCUGGUAUCUCUUAACUAAAUUGCCAGAUAUUGGAACUCCACAGAAAAAUGAUUAUUUCCUUUGCGCUGAAACUCCCGGUGCUGCAAGAGCUUGGGUAUCCACUUUACAGUAAGCUUGUGUAUCACUUGUGACUUUUAUUAUGUUUUACAAUGCGCUGUACUGUAGUUUUUGUGGCUUGCAAGCUUGUUAUGGGCAUAUUUUCUUUGCUAAUAUAUGUUGUAGCUGAUAAUCCAUUAUCUUUCUCUAGUUUCUGAGAUUCUUGCUUGUCAAACAGUGCGACUCAGUUGGUACUAGAGGCUCAUAAAGAGGCAGUGAAUUCAUUGUCCGGGAGUGGUUCUUCCAAAUUUGGAACAGUUACUACCGUAAUUGCUGCUGCUAAUGCAACUGCAAGGGAAGCAUCGAAGGAAAUAGAGGCAGCAAUGAAGAUUUCAAUGAGAGCAGCUGUAAACUUUGUGACAAAUAAGACAUGUGAAGGUCAUUUGGAUGAUCUGACAAUCAUGAAGGUGUGCCUUUUCUUUUAACUUCAUUUAGAUUAGUUAUUACCUAAACAUCUUGCACUCAAAUUCAAUUUUCUUUAUUUCUUGAAUACUGAGUAUUGGAUCAUCGUCUCAUUAUUCUCCAUGUGAUAAUAGUGCCUGUUGGGUUUGGCUUCUUGUACGUCUUUCAUACUUUUGGAAGCAGGUGAUUGGUAGUUUCUUUAGCUUUUUAGGUCCAGAAGAAAAAACUCCAAUUUGAAGCUUUUGCUUCUGUUGCAUCAAAAAGUGGUAGAUAAGGGGUUUUUUUCUUUUCUUUUCUUUUUUUUUGGAAAAACUAUUACUGCUUUGAAGAGCUGUACUCAAACAAAAAUUUUACAGAAGCUCGACUCAACCCAAAAACAGGCCUUAAGUGGAAAGCAAGUAGUUAAAUGGACAUUCUGAGGAUUGGAACAUCUUUGCUUGUUUUUGAAGGGGCUCCUAAAGAGUAAGCAGAUGCUGGACGUGUGAAGAAAGGUGGAUUUAUUUAGUUUGUGGAAACAAUUUUCUUGAUAUAUGCUUUAUUAAAUUUAUAGUCAUUCGGCACUCCAUGUUGUUCAUUGGCUUCAAAUUUUCCUUGGGAGGAGAAACUGGAAGCUAACAACCAAGCUAGUUUUAGUAUUAGUUAGCUCUUAGUAAGCAGCUGACAUCAUGAAGUGAUAGGCCUGAUUAAAAAUGCUUCCGUCAAAAUUUUUGUGUGAAUUUUGGUGCUCUAUAUUUAUUUUCUACAGGAGACCAUUAGAGUGAAAGAUGAGGAGUUACAACAGUUAUCUAAGGAUAUUCGAGCUCGAGAUUCCACCAUUAGAGAUAUAGCUGAUAAACUAAUGGAGACCGCGGAGGCUGCUGAAGCUGCUGCUUCUGCAGCUCAUUCAAUGGAUGAAGAGAGAAAACUUGUACUCGCACAUCUUGAGUACCUGAAAAAGGAUUUGCAUCAACGACUAGAGUCAUCUUCAAUUAAGGUGACAUACAACUUAGUCACUAAUAGAAGAGGCUUUACUUGCAUUUUUCUACUUUGUGUUCAAGCAAAUAAGUUGUGCUAAUUUCUUGUGUUUGUACAUGAAAGAGAAUGAAUCUUCUUAUGCUAAUCACUUUGCUACUGUAUUUUCAGUUAAGAGAGUUUGAAGAAAAAGCUAUAGUCCUUAGUAAAGAGAAAGAGCUUCUGCUGAAAGAAAGAGAUUCUGCCGUUCAAGAAGCACAUCAGUGGCGCUCCGAGCUAGCAAAAGCUAGAGAACGUGCUGUGAUUUUGGAAGCAGCUGUCAUUAGAGCUGAAGAAAAAGCUAGGGUUGCACAAGCAGAUGCCGAAACUCGUAUUAAGGAAGCUGCAGAAAAACUACAGUCUGCAGCAAAAGAAAAGGAAGAACUACUUGCCCUAGUGAAAGUUUUGCAAUUACAAAUCGAGAGGUUUGCUUUAUGAUUUCAUGUACUCUAUUGGAUUUCUUUUGCUUCUAAAGUACAAUUCAAACUGUCUCUAAGUUCUAUUUUUGUACAUGUAGAUUGCAUGGAUAGAAUAAUAAAUAUUCCAUCUUUGAAGUUAAUCAGAACUAGAUUACAUAUUUCUCGACAGACAACAAAGUAAUUCAAGACAGAUCUGUGAAGAGAGAUCCGAAUUGUGCUCCUACACCGAUAUUUCUCCUUCAUCAACAAAAUGUGCGGACUCUUCAGAGGAUGAUGUGGACAAAGCUUGCGUAAGUGAUUCGAGAUCGGUUUUAGUUUCUGAGGAGGAGAGCGCAGUCCAGUUUGCGGCUGAAGGAGUUGAAAUACGUACAGUUGGCGAUGCCGAGUGGGAUAAUCUUCAAUCAUCAUCAAAUGUAAGGAUUGCUGAUGUGAGGGAAAUAUCCCCCGAGGCCGAGGGAAGCAGCUUGGAUAUUCCUGUUGUAACCCAACCAGUUAAUGAUGUUCCUCAUGUUGGGAGCUCUUUGUAAUAGUCAUGGCAUCUUGUAAUGCUAAAACAAGGAGAGAAUUCUUUCUGAUUCGAUUGUCGAGAAAGCGAAAGUCAAUGGGUGUAGCUUGGAUAUGCUAAAUUGGCGGCAGAUCAGUUCAGGCUACUGAGAACAGAGGUGGUUCUCUCUUAACUUUGAUGCUCUUGUAGCCUAUUUAUUGCCACAAAUCUCAUUUUGCCGACUAUCGGGAAUUGCAGAAUAAAGGUGUCUGCUACUGUAUGAGAUUCUGAAAACAAUAGAGGUUUCUGUUGUGAGAUGAUUUUGUGAGGCAGCUAUUUAUGUAACUUUUAUUUAUAUGAAUGUAAUUGUGGAUGUGUAGAAAUUUUUGUUGCCCCCCCUUUUAUUCUACUGGGUACUUAACAUGUUGCAGUUGCAUCAUUUUAAGAAACUGAUUCAAAAAUCUCUUCUUUAAGCAUCAUAUACUUCAAAUUGUAAAAUUCUGCCUUCUCCAAUGUUGCUACAUUCAUGUUCUUUUAAGUCACGUUCGUGUUUGAGUACGGCGCGUAAUAUAAAACAUGUUAACCAAUUUAUUCUUAUUAACCUUAACAUUACUGGUUGAUUAGAAAAAAAAAAAAAAACAAAAAAAACUAGGGAGUUUCUAGGAGGGGAUUUAUGUAAAAUGAAAGCGGCAAUUCAAGCUCUUGCGCCAUAAAAUGAAAGCGGCAAUUCAAGCUCUUGCGCCACCGACUUAAAAAUAUGUCACGGAGUCGCAGUAAAAACGGCAAAACAUCCUUCUGAUCACCGACUUCUCCGACUAGUGUCCAGUAGAGUAUCGCCACGUGUUCAGUUGUAGCAAGUUUGUACGACUGAUGUCGUAGGAGAAUUCGCUCCCGUUGUCCGCGAAAUGAUUUUCCAAGAUAUCUGAUCUUCGUACGUCCGUCCGAUCCGAGAUCAACGGUCCAAAUGUCUUCUGCACCUCCUCCAAAUUUCCUAUUUCCCUGUAACUCAUUUCCGGUUCCCUGCAAGAUCCGAGAGGCGGCGCACACCGCCAAUUUCUUUUUCUUGGAGCCAAAGCAAAAGCCUACAACGGUCCCUGUUAUUAAAAAUAAAAACCCCACCUUUUCUCCUCUUCUCCUCCACAACACCUCUCUCUCUCUCUCUCUCUCUCUCUCUCUCUCUCUCUCGGGGAGUUUAAGGUAUUCGAUCUCUCUCUUUUCGAAAUUUCGAUUAGCUUUUGAUCACAUUAUGUUGAACUAAGUGCUAUUACACGAAGUUUGUAGCAUCAAAAUUGUGAUUUUUAUUGGCUUUUUAUAAGCUUUUCUUCAAGUUUGAGUGUACAUGCAAGCUAUUUUUCUCUCUUUGUGCGUUUUUAUUGGUCUAACUUGCGUCCUUUGUUUGCAGCUACUAAGAUUUCACGGAUUGGUGUGUGGAUUUAGCUCAGUUCAUGGUAAGAUGCUUCAAUUCUGAGUCUUUUAAGUGGUGCAUUUUGUGUUUCAUUGCAAUGCCCACUAACUGUUUGAUAGGGGUUCAUAGUGUCUACUUCGAUUGCUUUUAGCCAAUGUGUUAUUCUUUGGUGAUUGUGGUAUGAUUUAAUUAUCGAUAAUUCGUUGCUUAGCUUUGAUAAAAACCAUACCAUGAUUUUAGUUUUUGCUUAAUGUUUAUGAUGAUGUGCUUGGCAUUUUAUGGGCUUCCGUAGUUGGUCACUUGUAGUAAUUCCCCUGUUGAUUGUAUGUAUCUGAUUUGUAAAAUCAUCUGUAUAGUUUUGAUGUUGGGCUAAUACUUGUAUAGAAUGUUGAAGUAUUGAACACCUUUAGAUUGUUCUUCUUGUAGUUCAUUAUCUCAUUUGUCAUGUUAUUUUUCCUUCAUUUCAAAGUAAACAUGUAGAGAAUUAGAGAUGAAGUGAGGGGUAGCUCAAUUCCAAAGUUUUGAUGAAUUAGUAGUUUCUGCAUUAUCCUAGAAGAAGUAAAAUGUGACAUGUUAUUGUGUCUUUCUAUGCUAUUUCCUCUAUCUAUCUUAUGAUGCAUUCUGUUUUGUGUUUGUGCAUGUGCUUUGGAUUGCCAGAUGACUUAAAAGGCACUUUUUAGUUGGAAGAAAAUCCGGUACUACUAAUGCAUUCAUCUUCAAGAUGUGCUACCCCUCACUUUGUUUCUAGUUUUGCACUUCACCGUUUAGUUUAUUCCUGCAAUAUCUGAAAUCAAAUGCAAAAAAAAAGAUUUUUUCUGGGUAAAAGAAGUUAUUCCUCGCGCAAUGUGCGAAAAAAUUCUUGUAUAACAUCCUUUUCUGACCUCCAGUUUUUCCACUGUUGGUAUCGUCCUGCAUUUCUUUAGUGAACACUUUCUUUGGCAAUCUAUCAUUGUUUGGAAUCAUCAUUCAUUUUUGCGAUGUAAACUUACUAAUUUCUUCUCUCUUCUUUCCUUACCCCGCCUUUGCCAAUUCAGACGACUCCUUUAGUUGCUGGUUUAACCGUAGCAGCAGCUGCUUUGGGAGGCAGAUACAUGAUUCAGGCAUGGCAAGCAUUUGGUGGUCGUGCAGCGGUUCCUCGGGUACGGAGGUUUUACCCUGGUGGAUUUGAGCGGCAAAUGACUAGAAGAGAAGCGGCAUUGAUCCUUGGCAUUAGGUAUAUGUCUCUCUAAAGCUUACGUCAAGUAAAUUGAUUUAACUUAUAUUAACUACUUUUGGCUCCUUUGGGGACAAAUUUAGGUUGGAUAACUUUUAUAUCUCCAGUUUAUCCUGAUAUCCUGGAAUAAUCGAUCACCAAAAUAGUUUUACGUUUGCUUUAACAUUAGUGGGUUAAUUGUAAUGACUCUGAAUAAAUGAAACAAAGUGAGGGAUUUUAGAAUAACACGGAUGGACCGGAAUUUCUAUUUCUUCUCAAAAGUGUAUGUAGCCUUUGACGGACGAUGGGAUAACUUGGGUUUUCCUUUUGCUGUCCCCUAAACAAAAUGCGACCUAAGCCAAUAAUAUAUUAUGAUGGAUGUAAUUAGAACCGAGUCUCGUUCUGUUGUUUCAGGGAGCAUGCUGCAAUGGAGAAGAUCAAAGAGGCUCACAGGAGAGUGAUGAUUGCUAACCACCCUGACGCCGGAGGAAGCCAUUAUCUCGCUUCGAAGAUUAACGAGGCAAAGGAUGUGUUGGUCGGAAAAGUAAAGGGUGGCGCCUCCGUCUUUUAGUCGCAGCAAGGUGACAUCAAGAUUACACACACUUAUUUCUUUGGACUAUAGAGAAAUCACUAUAAAUUGGAGAUGGCAACAGCAUGACAUUCUUUUCAUAGCUCCUGAUUAGUUGUCCUGUAGUCAGGAACAGGAAUCACCAUUAAUGAUUAUAAAAUGUUUAUCAUCUAUGAUUUAGAGCAGUGAGUCAUUCUAGUAGUAACCAUGGCACAAAAACAACAAUUUAAAGCCUUAACUACACUUGACUACAAUGGUUCUCUCUUUAUCUCUCUCUCAAACACACUUAUGCACACACUGUGGAGAAUGUGAAACAACUAUUUUCUGCUUGAGGUAUUUGAGAAAAAUGAUUGUUUUAUAUGCCAUCGUAAUCUGAGGUUUCGAGUUCAAGACCAUUCAAGCUUCUGGUCUCAUUUAAUUUUUUUCGUGUAUUUGAAAAAAUAAUAAUAAUUUGUGUUUCACAUGGCUUCAUAUCAUUCUAUGUUCUUGGUCUUUAAGGUAUCGUUUGGUUCGGAUAUAAAUAAGAACUGUCUAUUUCAGAGAUAUGUAUAAGUUUAGGUGUAAACAAGAAUUAAAUUAAUUUUGUAUUUGGAUGAAAAUUGGGUUGUUUCCUGGAAGAAGAAAAAUAAUGUUUGGAUAGAUAAGAUAGAAUUAAAAGGAUAGUAGAUAGUUAUAAAUAAAAAAUAAUUAUUAUAAUAAAUUUAUAAAUUUUAUAAAAAUGCUACAUAAACUUAAAUUUAUUAAAAAUAAUUUAUUAUAAUAUUUAAAUAUGAUUUAUUAUAAAAUUUAAAUAUAAAUAAUAUGUAUUAAUAUAGCAUAAUUAAUAAUUUUAUAAUAAAAAUAAUAUAUUAUAGUAUAUAACAUAUUAUAUUUAUAUAAUUUAGUUUUAAUUCAAUUUAUAAUUUUAAUGAAGUUUGAAAGAACUAUUCCACUAAAAUGGUGGAAUAGUAAAUUCCAAGCUAUUCCGGGAUAGCUGGAAAUAGCAAGAUUUGACCGGGAUAGAAUAUUUCGGCCAAAAAUCAUUUCGUUUAGUGGAAUAGCGGGGAUAACUUUUGUUAUCCUGUUUAUAUUCCGAACCAAACGGGGCCUAAACAUAAGAGGGAUAUAACUUAUAAUCUAUAAGCCUGAUUUUUAGUAGCCUAAGUAUACGUAGAUAAAAGGAUUGGUUUUACAGAGAAAUGAGAAAAAUUUAUUAUGGGUCUUUCUUUCUUUUGUUUCCCUUUUUUCUGAGUGAAACAUUGUGCAAGUUUUGCAUAUUCCAAAUGGGAAUAAGAAAUUGUGGUUAAGAGACAAUAAAUUUCUACUAUGUUCUGUACUCAAAAGAAUCAAAAAAGAAAAAAAAAAAAAAAGAAUCUGAUAAUGCAAUGUAGGGAUUGUUGUAGAACAUGAAAUCCAUGCAAUAGGAAAUUUGGCAAAUAAUAAAGUGAAAAUGUACUUUUGUAUUAUGUAACUAAGUAUAGUUGGGCCCAAUUUGAAGUAAAAUGAAGGGUUAAUUUCAUAUAUAUUCCUACAAAUAUAGUGAAUGACAAAUAUAUCUCUACAAAGCUUAACUGUCAUAUGUUGUCCCUACAAAAAUCUUGAUAUUUUCAAAUAUGCCCCUUUGGUUUGUUAUCGUUAGAGAACCGUUUAUAUUUUCAAUUUUACCAUCAUAAAUAUAUUCCUCCAAAAGUUAUAAAAGUAUAAUAUAAAUAGGUAAAAAUGUCAAAAAUUAAUCAGGGUUAAGUAUUUAACCCAUGGUUAACUAAAAUUUUCUAACGGAUUCUAACGGCAGGAGCAUAUUUGAAAAUAUUAGGACUUUUACAAAAAUAUUAUAUGAAAGUUAAACUUUGUAUGGAUAUAUUUGCCAUUUAUUAUGUUUGUGGGAACCUGUAUGAAGUUAAUCCUAAAAUGAAUCACAGCUGCACCACUAAACUAUAUAGUCUGCAGGCGACUAAAUUAUUCUGGUAAAUCACACAAUUAUGCCAAAACUUAAAAUUGAAUUUCUGAAAGAAGCAUAAACCUCUGCCUGUGUAAAAAUUAACUUUUUUAUAAGCUCCAUUGAUUGGAUGUAAAUAAACCCUUACAAGUUACAAAUUUAGAGUCAAGUUGAACCCAAAAAGAAUUAAAAAAAAAGAAAAAGAAAAAGAAGAAGGCUCUUUAAUUUGGAGUCCUUGAAACUAAUAGUGAUAAAUUCUACAAUUAUUAUUAUUAUUAUUACUUGGUCAGGAGUUUCGUCUCCUACAUCCCCUAACUCCAAGUUCUCCCACUAAAUUCAAACGCAAGCUCUAAUAUUUUCAAAUUUUUCUCCAUAUUUAUAUUAUUACUGAAGAUCCCCGUGAUUUGACUUUAACCUGCAAUCGAAGAUUUACACUUGAAAAAUCGUUUUGGAUGAUGUCGGAAUAUUGAUCUUAUAUAACUUCAAUCUGUUAUCUUUUGCUUUCAUCUAUUUGAAUUAAGUUUAUUAUAAAUGUUUAAAUUCCUAUACACACACAGACAUGCCUAGUCUAGGAGAAACAAAAAAAAAAAAAAAAAAAAAAAAAAAAAAAAAAGUACUUAUUUGUCAAGAGUAUUACUCUUCUAGUCUAUGAUACAUAAAAAGGCCAAAUGAAAUGGUCCUGAUCAUCUUGGACUCAAAAUGUGGCUAAACCCAGUCAUGGUCUAAUGGGAUGGCUAUGAUAUAUACCAAAAAGACAAAAGAAAAAAUCAACCCUAAAGAAUAAAAUCCAUAUGAAAGAAGAAUUAACACACAAGUCAUUUUAUCACUACAUGCCUUAUUAAAGGAAGCAAUUAUAUAUGUAUUAUUAUUAUUAUUAUUAGGGAAAACUUCAAAAACCUUCCUUGUAGUUUCACUCUUUCUCACUUUAGUAUCAUAUGGUUUAAAGUGUAUCAAAUUAGUAUUCUGUGGUUUUGCACUUUCUCACUUUAGUAUCCCAUGGUUUAAAGUGUAUCAAGUUACUAUCCUGUGGUUUUGCAUUUUCUCACUUUAGUACCCUAUGGUUUAAGUACCCUAUGGUUUAAAAAUCAUAGGGUAUUAACUUGAUACAAAAAUAAAAUCACAGGGUAUUAACUUGAUAUACUUUAAACCACAUGGUACUAAAGUGAGAAAGUGCAAAAUCACAGAGUACUAACUUGAUACACUUUAAACCAUAAGGUACUAAAAUGAAAAAGUACGAAACCACAGUGGGAUUUUUUUGAAGUUUUUCCUUAUUGUUAUUAUUAUUAUUAUUUUGGUUCAACAAAGUCAUGAGUCAUAUAUGCUCAUAUAAGAAAAUUAACAUAGCCGGGGUUUUUGACUGUUCGAAAUUAACCUCACUUUUCUUUGCUUAAUUGUGCAGUUAUAAUAAAUUAACCGCACGCUAAGUCGCUUUAGCGCCAUCACUUUUGAAAAGGAAUAUAUCUACAAAAAAGAACUUCAUAUUUCUUCAUAUUGAUCAGCAUUUGAAUACAUGAACUUUUAGCACAUUUAGAGAGUAUUAGUUUUUCAUGAACAUGAAAAAGUGUUCUUUAUCAAAUGACUUUUACUUGCUGUGCAUUGGAGUUAACUUAGUCUUCAAAUUCUCAAGUGGAUGAAGAAAAAGAAAGCAUUGCUAUAAAGUCACAGUUGCCAUAGAAAAAGAAAAGAAGUGAAAUUACUGUUUCAUUUUAUCACAAGAACAUCUUUACAAAAAAAAAAAAAGAAAAAGAAAAGAAAAGAAAUUAUCACAAACUAUUUAAAUUUGGAGGCAAAAAUUAGAAGAGAGAGAAAAAUAAUUUAGUUAUGGGUAUUAAUUUUAAUUUUUCAUGUAUUUUAGGUGAAAGAGGCAACACAAUAAUUCUCACAAGAAGGUUAAUUAGCCAGUCUCAAUCAUACUGUUAAUUUCCUUAUAUUUUAAGUUUUAUAAACUAACUAAUAAAACUGUUCUAUGGCAAAUGAAGUUUUAUUUUUCUUUCAUUUUUUCCAUCCUUUAUGUUCCCAGCUUCCUAUCUAGUAAACUCUUGUAUUACAUCAAUUUUUAUAUUGCUCGAGAAUUAAGAAGUUAGCAAUUUAGAAAGAGAUUCUCUCUCUCUCUCUCUCUAUAUAUAUAUAUAUCCUAAAUCAACUANCUCUCUCUCUCUCUCUCUCUCUCUCUCUCUAUAUAUAUAUAUAUAUCCUAAAUCAACGAUUCACAUGCUGAUUUUCGAUCUUAGAAUGUUCAUAUCAACGAUUCACACCGUUAAAACUGAAUUAAGAUAUUAAAAUUUUUAUAAAUAAAAUUUUAUAUUUUUUUAACAUUAUUUAUUUUAUGAUCAAUUUUUUUUUUUAAAUUGUCAAUUUUUAAUGGCUACUAUGGCAAAUUUGUAGUUUAAUCGUAUAAAAGAAUCUAAAUUUAUUCAAAUUUUAAUAAGAAAUAUUUUAAACAUUUAGAUCAAGGUUAGCAUCCUUAAUUUUGAAUUUAAAAGUCUUAUCCUCAAAUUUUAAAGAGCGUUUAAUUUUUUUCGUUUAUUUAGAUAUAAUUCACUUACUAGAAUUUUAUUUGUAAGAACUUUAUAUAUCCUAAAUCAUAUUUAACAAUGUGAAUUAUUGAUUUAAACAUUCUAAGAUUGAAACAAAAAAUCUAUAUUAUUAGAGCUCCAGCACUAUAGAUUGUAUAGUAGCCUCAUUCUAUAUAUGUAUAUGAUGAUCAUCGCCACAUUGCAUGUAUAUAUAAUAUUGCUUGCCAUUGUAGCUAAAAACAAAAUAACCAAAAGUUUUAAUUUAGUACUUUUAAUUUAAAAAUUUUACACUACCGCAUAGUACGAAUCAUACGCAAGCACUUUACAAAACAAUACUACAACUAAACAAACUAUAAAUAUUCAACCCCUGCUCCUUAAUAGAAAAACUAUUUCUAAAGCCAAGCAAAAUAACCGACCGUCCCUAGAGCAAGUGACAAAGGGUUUGAUGGUUGGUAUCUGAGGUUCUAAAUUCGAAUUCUAAUUGAUUCACAUUUCUAGUUAAGUUUAUUUCUAAAUGAAAUAAACGAAACGGAUAGCGUGCUACCUAUCUCUCUCUCAAAAACAAAAAAAAAGGGAAAACUUCAAAAACCCCCCCUGUGGUUUCAUGCAUUCUCACUUUCAUACCCUGUGGUUUAAAACGUAUCAAUUUGCCCCCCUGUGGUUUCAUUUUUCUCUUUUUGUUAUCAAUUUUAUUAUUUUUUUUCUUAAAUCAGUGACAAAAUUAAAAUUAAAGGAUGCUAAAGUGAAUAUUCGAUAAACAUAGAUGGUUAUCUGAAGUUUUUUGUAUAUAAUUUAACGAAAUAUUAACGAAAAAGCUUCUGAAAAGAUAAAAACGAAACCACAGGGGGGCAAAUUGAUACGUUUUAAACCACAGGGUACUAACGUGAGAAUGCAUGAAACCACGGGGGGGUUUUUGAAGUUUUCCCAAAAAAAAAGAAAAGAAAAAAAAAAAAGCAAAGAAAAUAAGAGCUAGGCUACCUACUUUCGAAAGUAGAAAGGCUCAGUAUUUGUAAGUUGUUUUUUAUUAGAACAUUCGAUUCGGCGAUUGAUUUCGUUAAAUAUAAUUUACAUUAUUGAAAUUAUUUAAAAUUUAAAAUUCUUAAUUUUUUGAUCUCAUUGUCUAGUAAACGAUCGGCCUCAAAAUAAAUUGCUGAAAAUAAAAUCUAAUAAAAAUAGUGAGAAAAGACUCAAAUUUCAAAUCAGCAAUAUUGAUCUUAGUAUUGAUGUUAAGUAAAAUUUUUCUAUUAAAAUUUCAUGUAAUUUGGAUUAUUCUACAACGUUGAACUUAAAAACAUGCCAUAUCGAUCGUUAAAAUAGUUAUUUUUCAGACAUUUUGAUCACUUAGUAAAUGAUAUCGAAAAAUUAUAAAAUUUAGUUUUUUGUUAGCUUCGAUAACAUAGAUUAUGUCUAACGGAGUCAAUCGUCGAAUCGAAUGUUUUAUCAUUCAAAAUAAUUUAUAGGGACAAAAAUUUCCGUACUUUCGAAUAGACUUGCUCAGCAAAUAAUAGUUUUACCAAGGAUAUAUAUUUAAUUUGCUUGGUGGAGUUGGACACGGAUGUACAAAAAGAGUCCCCGAGAGUAAGAUAAUUUUCCAUGUCAAAGUCAAAUGCCAAAGGUAAUGUCAAGUGAUCACAUCCAUACACUUGGAAGCAGUAUCUUUCUUUUUCCUUAUUAAUUUUUUUUCUUUAUUUUUAUUAUUAUUAUUAUUAUUAUUAUUAUCACACUCAGUCAAAUAUUAAUUGCAUAAUUAAAGAUGGCUAAGACUUGUUCUCUAAUCCCCAACUUAAUUCCACAACACAUGCAUGCUAAAGAAUUUUAAGCAACUCAUUUGAAGAAUAUAUAGCAGUUUUUUUGAACCAAAAAGAGUUGGACUAAGAUGGAAUUAGUUGUUAGUUCGCGAGUGUUAGUCAUGGAGCCAUCACUCAUGCGAAAAUGAUAUAUUUUCUGAAUAUAUUAUGCGUGAUGAGAAAGCACGAUUAAAAAAAAAUAUAUAUAUAUUUUAUUUUCAGUAAGUGAUAAAUAUAGUGUAUAACUCACACUGAUUCGACUAAGAUAUAAUUUUAGUGAUCUCACUAAAAAAUCAAUAUUUUAAAAAUUAGAUUUAACAACGAACUGAAAUAUUAUUGGAUCAAGAGUUUCUAUCAGUGAAUCAGAUCUAACAACGAAUUGAAAUAUUAUUGGAUCAAGAGUUUCUAUCAAUGACAUCAGCAUGACGCUUUAAAUACAUUAUUAUUAUUAUUAUUAUUUGGAUAGAAAAUAUAUAUUAUUAUUUUAGUAUUAUAUUUAAUUAUAAAAUACUCACUUUUUAUGCCAAAUUAAAUAGAUACAGGUUUUUAAAAUUUUAUUUUCCAUUAUAGAACAUAAAAUAUCUAAAAAAUCAAUUAAACAUAAAAUUAAAAAUUACACUAAUAAAGAAAAAGAUAAAAAUAAAAAAUAAAAAAAUCUAGCUGUUUUGUUUAGAACUAGACCGAUUUACUGAUUCGCCAGUUGAGCCAUCAAUUGGAAGGACUUUUUUUCAAAAUAACUCUAUAAAUUCUAAUUGGGUUAAUAACCCUAUAAAUUUUUUUUUUAGGAAACUAAUCAAAUUUUCUUUUAAAGACGAUGAACGAUUCACUGCUUUCUGAACAAUUCAUCGCCUUUCUAAUUUUCCACAAAAACGGUGAAUUAUUCAUCGUCUUUUACGUAUUUACUGUUUCUUUCUAUAUCUCAUAUAUAAUUCUAUCUACCACAUAAAAAUAUCAACUAAUCACAUAUAUAAUCUUAAGAACCUGAAGAUCCUAAUAAUUUAUUCGUACAAUUUUAUAUAAUUUUAACAACCUAAAACCCUAAUAAUCUAUUCAUACAAUCCUAAUUAUUAAAUAAAAAUUCUAAUAAUUCACGUAUAAUCCUAAUAACUUCACUUUUUUCUAUUUCCCAUAUAAUCCAUGUACAAUCUUAAUAAAUACGGUGAACGAUUCACCGUCUUUAAAAAACAUGAGAGUAUGCGAUGAACAAUUUACCUCUUUUAAAAAGUAUGAAAAAUACAGUGAAUGAUUCACCGCGUUUCGAAAAAAAAUCCUACGUGGUAAAUAGAGGAUUAAUUUGCCAAAUAUAAAUUUGACCGAAUUAUCUUUUAAAUUAUAAAAUUUUAAAGAGUGAUUUUAUAAAAAAGUCCGAUUCGGACGGUACUCAAAGUUGAUUUUUGACAUAUUCGAUUCAAAUGGUUAAUUAAAUAGGAAUGCUUUAUUAAUUCAAAGUUGUAUUUUUGCACACAUAUUAAACAAGACAUAAAUUUUAUGGACACCAUGUCCCCAUAAAUUAAUUUAGGAUCGCCAUGAAUGGAUGCCGCGUGGCUCCUGAACUUCUCCGAUGGGCGCCACGUAAACCCCCAUGCGGGGCACAUCGCCCCGCUGCUCGGCCAUUUGGGAGAGCAGUAGGGUUUUUUCUAGUGCACCCGGUGCACCGAUUUUAACUCCAAAAUUUUAUUUUUAUUUUUAAUUAUAACUUAAUAUAAUAAUAGAGAUAUAUAUUUUAUGACAUUUAAAAAUAUAUGUAAAAGAAUUUUAAUUAUAUAUAUAUAUAUAUUUAUAUUAUAUUAAAUUAUAACUAAAAAGUAAAAAAAUAAAAUUUUAUAGUAAAAAACGAUGCACCAGAUUUAUCAAAAAAAAAUCCGACUGUUCCCUCACGCGGCAGAUGCCACGCGGCAUCCAUCUAUGGCGUUCCCAAAUUACUUUCGAUGGACACAAUGUCCAUAACAUUUUUAUCCUACUAAACGGCCUUGAUAAGGAAGAGACGUCGAAUGAUGAGACAUUAAUAAUAAAAAAUUACGUUUAAUAUUUAUUAUUAUAAUUAUCUUAUACCUGAUUUUUUCUCUCUAAAGACAAAAUUGAUCAUAGGGUCCUCCUGCUCUUGUCCUGUACUUUUCAAAUUAAAUUAUAUAUAUAUAUAUAUAUAUAGAGUCCGGCUGAGGUACUAUCGUGGUGCUAUCGAGUUUUUCACCGUUAAAUUUAACCCUCUGAUUAUUUUUACCCGUUAGAUUAUACUAUUCAACAAACCACUCACUCAAUCCUAGAGGGUCCACAUCAUCCUAGCCACCCAUUUCUCAAUCUAAGGGCUAAAAAAUCAAUAGCACCAAUAGUUUGAUGCUAUUGAUAGUAUUCCAGCCUAGUUCUAUAUAUAUAUAUAUAGAGAGAGAGAGAGAGAGAGAGAGAUAGACUUGGACUGGGCUACUAUUAGUAGCAAAAUCCCAUUGUUGCUACCAAUUUUUUAGCCUUUGAAUCAACUCUUUUCAUUAUUUCUAACCAUUGAAUUAAAUACUAUAACCUAGUAGGGACCACUCAACCCUAGGGGGACUACUCAACUCUAAUCGACUAAUAUCAUCCUGACCUUACAAUUUUUCAUCAAAGGGUUAAAAACUUGAUAGCAAAAAGAGCAUUUUACUAUUAAUAGUAUUCCAGCCUAAUUCUAUAUAUAUAUACUCCGACUACUAUAUACUUUUAUGAGUAUUGACUGUCUUAUACUCAUAAAUUUUCGGCCCUUAGAUUUAUUUCAUUAAUCAUUUUCAUUCGUUAGAUCAUACUACUUAACCAACUACUCACUCAACUCUAGGGGACCACUAUCAUUUUAAGUGGGGACCACCAUCAUCCUAACCACACAUCCCAUCAAUUAACGGUUAAAAAUUUAUGAGUAAAAAGAGAUCUAUACUCAUAAGAGUAUAGUAGCCCCAGCCUAUAUAUAUAUAUAUAUAUAUAUAUAUAUAUAUAUAUAUAGUAAGGCUACUAUGCUAUCGGAAGCACGAAGCCUUCCGUGCUUCCAGCUCGUUUUCGAUGUUGCGACUUUCGAAUCGUCGAUCAGCUCCGUUAAACUUGAUCUAGAGUAUUUGAAGUACCUAGAAAAUAAAUUAUACGAUUUUUCGAUAUUAUUUACCUAGUGAACGAAGGGGCUCAAAAUCAACAGCUGAAAAUAAAAAUCUUACAAAACGUUAUAAUAUGACAUUAAAAUUUUAGAUCAAAGAUAUUAAUCUUGUUUUAUAUAGUAUAAAAAAAAUUUUAUCAAAAUUUCACGUGAUUUGGAUAUUUCUACACCGUUAAACUUGCAAACGGCUCACUACGGCCAUUAAAAUUAUUGAUUUUGAGUCCCUUCGAUCACUAGGCAAAUGAUAUCGAAAAAUCAUAAAAUUUAUUUUCUAGGUACUUCAAAUACUCUAGAUCAAGUUUAACGGAGCCGAUCGACGAUUCGAAAGUCGCAACAUCGAAAACGAGCUGGAAGCACGGAAGGUUCCGUGCUUUCGAUAGCGCGCGCGCCCGCACACACACACACACACACAUAUAUAUAUAUAUAUAUAUAUAAAUAUAGUCCGGCUACUGUUCUCUUAUAAGUACGAUCGCUCUCGUACUCUUAUAGAGUAUAGUAGCCCUAGCCUAUAUAUAUAUAGGGAGAGAGUCCGGCUGGGCUACUAUCGAUAGCACGAAACAUUUUAUGCUAUCAAGUAUUCUGCCGUUAGAUUUAUCUCUUUUAUCAUUUUCAUCCGUUUGAUUAUACUAUUUAACUAACCACCCACUCAACUCUAUGAGGCCAAUAUUAUUCUAACCGCACACCUUUUAAUCCAAUGGCAGAAAACUUAAUAGCACCAAGUUAUUGGUGCUAUUAAUUUUUUAGCCCUUGAAUUAAAAAAUAUGUGGUUAGGAUGAUGUGGGCCCUCCAGGGUUGAGUGAUUGAUUUGUUGAAUAAUAUAAUUUAACGGGUAAAAAUAAUCAAAGGGUUAAAAUUUAACGGUAGAAAAUUCGAUAGCAUCAAGUCCUUUGUGCUAUCAAUAAUGUCCCAGCCGGACUCUCUCUGUCUCUCUCUCUCUCUCUCUCUAUAUAUAUAUAUAUAGACCAAAAUUAUGAGAAUUAGGAAUGUUUCAAUGUUGUUAUUAUACAUACACCAUCGUCUGAUCCGAGGGGCCAUGUGAUGAUGGACGGUGGAGAUUAAAUGAUCCCUUCCCACGUUGUGGGAGUAAUCCUCUUGUGGAGUGUGCUCAUUGCUCAAAUGGGAAUAUGGUUAGAGAUUCGAAUUUUUUUCCGGGGCUUAAGAUGUCCCCCCCUUUGGGAUCUCUCGACCUUUCUUCGCACGUGCGAUGAACAUAAGAAAAAAACAAAAAAGGAGGGAAAAUUGUACGGAGACCCCUCAGCUAUACAUCUUUCUCAAAAGGGCCCUCGAACUUUCUUGUACUUAAGAAAUGCUUUUGCGUCACGCGCUCCUACGAUCAGGUCAAAUUCUCUAGCCCAAAUUAAAUCACAUCUAUAUCAUGUGCAUUUACGGUUGAGAGGUUUAAAUCUAGUUAUUAGUAUUAAAAUUUUGAAAAAAAUUCAAAUAUCAUUCAUGUGGUUUUGUAUUUUCUUACUUUAAUACCCUAUGGUUAAAAUGUAUCAAUUUCGUACCCUGUGAUUUUAUUUUUAUUUUUUUUGUUAUCCCUUCAUUAUUUUUUUUUAUUAAAUUAGUGAUAAAGUUAAAACUAAAGAGUACUAAAGUGAAUAUUCAAUAAACUAUAAAUAGGAUAUCUGAAGUUUUUGUAUAUGUUUUAACAAAAAGUUAACAAAGGGACUGAAAAAAAAAAGAAAUAUGAAACCACAUAUUAAAUUGAUACAUUUUAAACCACAAAGUACUAAAUUGAAAAAAUGCGAAACCACAGGGGUGGUAUUUGAAGCUUAUCCUAAAAUUUUUAUGAUCUUUAUAUUACCAUUUAAUUAAGAUAGGGACUAAUCCGAGAUUAAAACCCUAUCUAGCAUGUGUGAGAGAGCUACGAUACACACAUGAUCCCUUCUAUAAGUUUUUUUUUUUUUUCUUUUUCUCUAAUGUGAUGAAGCAAAUGGCCCUUUAAUAUAACAUAUCGAACGGCUAUAAUUCUCUACGUCGACCAAGCUCAAACAUCUUGACUCGGUCUGUUCACUUUGCUCUCAUUCUACAUCCCGAUUUUCAAAGCAUCCCCAUCACAUGACUUGUGCAUAGCUACAUCAUGCAUUUACCUAUCUAUAUAUAUAACCAUUAUGUAUGUUAUUUAUAAAUAUCCCCCUCCCCACAAGCUCACAAAGCUCAUAUAUUAUUAUUAUUACAUUAUACGCUCCUUUGUUUACACGCGAGAGAGAGAGAGAGAGAGAGAGAGAGAGAGAGAGAGAGAGAGAGAGAGAGAGAGAGAGAUGAAUAUGAAGAGUGGAAAUGGAGAUCGACAAGGUGAAGAGGAAUUGGUGGAAGAAGCAGUAGAAGAUGAGGAGGACGUGGAGCUUCCCGGGUUUCGGUUUCACCCGACGGAUGAAGAGCUUGUGGGGUUUUAUCUACGUAGAAAGGUGGAGAAGAAGCAGCUGAGUAUCGAGAUCAUAAAGGAGAUGGAUAUAUACAAGUAUGAUCCCUGGGAUCUCCAACGUAAGUAUAUAGUUGCACCAAUGAAUCUUUUUUGUUCUAUUCUACUAUAGUACCUGAUCAAUAUGUUCUCGGUUUCAAUAGUGAUUAGUAGCAUAUUCUUUAUAAAAUGAUCCAAAGAGAGCACCCAAAAGGUAUUUAAUUAGUAAAGAGUGUUACGGAAGAUCAAAAUGAGCGAAGGUAUAGUUUAGAUGUGCAUGGUAGAGAUCAAAUAGAUAAGGCGUGUGGAGAAUUAGAAAGAUGCUUAAUUUAUCUAUUCCUGUUUACUUAAGAGCAAAUGAGGUGAUGCAUUAGAUCGAUCAAUUUGGGUCCAGACGAUGGGUGUAUAUCGUACGAACCCUGACCCUAACUACACCAAUUGCAUCAGUCUAUUCUAUUUACUCUGGAGUAAACGGGAGUGAGGGUGAUAUUUAUAGAGACACCAAGCUUUAUUUUCACCCAUUAAAUGCUGAUCUUUUAUAUCUUUUUUUUACUUUUAAUUGCUUUUUAAAAGUCAGCUCAGUGGGCGGGGAGAAAGAAUGGUACUUCUUCUGCCUGAGGGGACGGAAAUACAGGAACAGCAUCAGGCCUAACAGGGUUACUGGGUCCGGAUUUUGGAAGGCGACUGGCAUCGAUCGGCCGAUAUGUUCUUUGACCAAAUCUGGCGAGUGCAUCGGGCUCAAGAAGUCGUUAGUUUACUACCGAGGAAGCGCGGGAAAGGGCACGAAAACGGACUGGAUGAUGCAUGAGUUCCGCCUUCCACCGGCCGACAGCAAGAAUGGCGACAAUACAAACCCUUCCCUGCAAGAAGCUGUAAGAUUUCUCGUACCUUAAAUUCUUAGAUGAACUCUUUUGAAUGUACAUACCAUGCCUGAAAAGUUUGUCAGGAGCAUGUUUGUGUUUGGCCGGACUUCUGAAACAACUAUUUUACUCAAUAAAUAAGCUAGCUUUCGCACGCUCUAGCAAAAGUGUGCUGCUAUAGUGGGUAUAGCUCAAGAAGAGAUUCUUGUUGAAAAAAUAAGUAGUACUUAUUUAAAUGACUCCACUUAAACUACACUUCUGAAGAUCCACCGUAUACAUUUACUAACAGGAAAUUUGGACGAUAUGCCGGAUAUUCAAGCGAAACAUUACAUAUAAGAAGUACCCCCAAGAUUGGAGAGAAGCGACGAGCAAGAAGAUCCGGAGCGAUGAUGCGAGCUCAAAGUCGAAUAGCUUCGAGUCCGAGUCCGGAGACGAAUUGAUCAGGUGCUAUAAUGCAGCCCCUGUGAUUUUGCCGCAGCAACAACCUGAUGAUCAUCAGCGUAAGGUGGCCUACAACAACUUUGAAGAGAAAAACCAAUACAUGUUCCAAGGACAAUAUUGGAACACAAUAACACCCCAAACUCCAUUAAUGGCGUUUCAUGCAAAUAAUAACACAUACAUUAAUCCUCCCAUGAAUGAGUUUGUGAAGGACAAUUGUUGGGAUGAGCUUGGGAGAAUAAUGGAGGUUGUGACAGAUCCAAGUGCAAUUUGUGGAUGGAGAUAUACUUAAAUGAGCUUAUUGUGUCUCCUCUUAUUUCCAAUUUCAUAUGUAAUUAACUUAUGAGCUCAAUGAGGGGGUAUACAAAUUAAAGCUUUCACACUGCUAGCUACGUACACACAUUAAUUAUGGGUUAGUUUACACAGAGUUGAGUGUAACCUUGUAAUAAUAGCUCAGAAUAUUUUUUUUUUUUUNAUCCUCUGAUGUAUGGAUAUAUAUUAAAGAGAAAAAUAUAAAGUGAUUUUCAUAAUAUUAUUUUCCUUUUCUCGCCCUUUUUUCCACUUUUUAAUAUAAAUGCUUAGUUUCUUUUUCUUCUUUGCGUUCAUCUCUUUCUCCUUUCACUAAGUAUAUAUUAAUCAAAUUAAAUUUACUAUUUAUAAUUAAAUAGGUAAACUUCAAAUACCACUCAUAUGGUUUUGCACAUUCUCAUUUUAGUACCCACUGGUUUAGAGUGUAUUAAGUUAGUACCCUGUGGUUUCUUUUUUUUUUUUUUCGUCAACUCCUCCGUCAAUAUUUUGUUAAAUUAUAUACAAAAAACUUCAGAUACCCCACAUAGAUUUAUCGAAUAUUUACUUUAAUACCCUUUAGUUUUAACUUUGUCACUGAUUUAACGAAAAAAAAUUAGUACUAUGGAUAAUAAAAAAAAAAUCAUAAGGUGCUAAAUGGAUACACUUUAAACCACAAAAUACUAAAAUGAGAAAAUACGAAACCAUAUGGGUGGCAUUUAAAGUUUUACCUAAUUGAAUUUAUGAAUUUUAGGUCAUUUAUGUUAAUAAAAAAUCUGCAAAAAUAACUCCUAGCCCUAACCCUACGUUAAUCCUAUAUUAGUAGAAGCACACAUAAUUAUCUACAAGUACAUUUUCUUUUUUUUUUCUAAUAAUAGAUUGACACGUAAUGCAUGAGCACUGGUACCAUGCGUCUUGAAAUUGAAGGACACAUAUUUAGUGUGAAAAUAGAAUAAGUUCGAAAAUGAUGGAUACUUCAAAAACUAUUGAAACAAUCAAUCCACGUGCCUAUCUUAUGAAAGUAAUAUGAGCAUAUUCAUUCCCUAUGAGACAAAAUAAUUUAAUAAAUUUAUAUGGCAAUAUCAAAAUGGAUCCAAAAAAUCUAUUCUACAUGCCUAUAUGCUAAAACUGGUUGUCACUUGUCAAAAGAGAUAAAAUUAAAAAAGGAAACUAUUCUCUCGUGCACACAUUCAAACAUUACAAUUAUUAAUUUGAAUAGUCAAACAGUAGACAAGUACACACUGGUGAUUCUGGUCUCGUCUCUCACUAUUGUGUUGAAAACACAUUCCAUAUGAAGACUUUUUUACGACAAGCAUAUUAAAUAUAGUAACUAAAUUUAAACAUUUUAGACUAGUAAUUUAGACAUAACGAGUUAUUAACGCUGAUAGGCGGAGUCGCUAUAGUUAGUAUCAAAACUGAUUUACCAGUCGAAAGUGUGAAAUGAGCCUCACAUUCCCAAAAGUGUGAGGUGGGUGCGAGAAACUUACACGUGAUGUGUGACGGAUGCACUAAAACUAAAAAGUAGGCUUAAAUAUUUUAGAUUAUCGGUUUGGGUCUAAUAAAUUAUCAGUGUUAGUGGGCCAGACCUUUACAUAGUCAUAGAGCUCAUCAGCCAAAAAUAUGUAUUGUAGUUAAAGGUAACCAAUCAAAUGAUCAAGCAUAACACUUGCUUCAUUUAAUGAUGAAUGUGAAAUUAUACACUAAAUCUCAAAUUUUACACCAUAGGAAAAGAACAUAACACUAAAUUAUCAAUAUCAGAAAAUGUGGUGGGGAUUGCUUUUGUUUUCAACUAGGAAAAGCUAUGAAAUCAAGUCUUAGUUGCGGAAUUUUACAGCAGUUUCAUUUUGCAUGAGUUGCGUGAGUUUAAUCCAUAAAAUGCAGAUUGGCCCACCCAGACAAAUCUCAUCAACCCUAGAUUAGCCGUUUACGAAUUGAAUUUGAAUAUUCCGAGUACUAAUCAGUUUGACAUGUACAAUCCAAUUCAAAAUGCACCAACCAACUUUGGAAGUCAAGAUAUUUCUACCAUGGGGUUUUUGAAUUCCAUACGUCGGCUAUUCAAUUCGACGGGUUGGGUAUAGUCUAGUCCAGUAUGCAUACAAAACAAAGGGAGGGUCAAGAAAAAGAAAAGUAAAAGCCCCUCAGAAUUCAUAGAUGCAAUACAACCUCUGAAGCAGUUAAAAUCAACAUAGUCGAAACAGAAACUAGAAUGAUCUUAAGCAAAAAUGAACUGAACUAGUAAUGCAUACCAGAAAACUAUUUGGCAUCAAAAGCAUUGAUGACUUCUAAGUUUCUUUUUGUACAAGAACAAGCAGCAAAAACUAAUACCUCAUUUUUUGAUGCUGCUGGUUGCUGAUGGCAGAAGUAAACUGGAAUGAGCAACAGAAACCACCGCUUGGAAAAAAAAAACCAACUAUUGCAACACUGCCUUAAUGACACAUCAAGAACUCGAAGAGCUACGAUCACAGACUAGCAACGACGGAGCAAGAAAUAUGACUAGAAGUUUCAGGAUGCUGCUGUAUCACUUUCCUCACCUUCAUCCCUGAACUCAAUUGAUUUCCCAUUAGAAUGUUUCCUAGAAAGAAAAGAACAAACCAGCAAAUUAAGUUAAACAUAAGGCGGAGAAGAGUGCUUUCGAGAUUUUGUUAUUUUUCCGGAUAGGACAAGAAAGCUUCGACAGUUGGCAAUAACGCUUCUAAGUAGUAGUUCUUAUACUUUCCAACUUCGUGCUGCUUAUGGUUAUCAGCAUGAAGAGCAGGAAAGUAUCCACCUAACAAUCUUUUUUCGUCCAAUCACCUAUCUGGUUUUGGGAAAUCCAACAAAAGAAAUGCAAAGAGUUCUUUUUGCUGACUAAUUCAUGUAUACUUUUGCAAAUAUAUAAGUACAAGGGAGUUGAUUGCUGUGACACAUUGUGAAGGAUAGGUUGGAUCAACUUUUGAUUUUUUUAUUUAUUUCAUUUAGAAAUAAACUUAGCUGAAAAUGUAAAUCAACUAGGAUUCGAACUAGGGACCUCAGGUACCAACCAUCAAGCCCUUUGCCACUUGCGCUAGGAACAGUCGGUAACUUUUGAAUAAUUAAGCUCAGAAGUCUAAUCCCUGAGAGCUAAUUAAACUAGGACGAAAAAAAAAUCAAUGGUGGAAAAAAAAAUAGCUGUAGAUAAUUUACAGUGAGAUUGAAAUCGUAUAUGUAAUUUACGGUAUGAUAAAAUUGUGAUUAAAACCUUUGGGACUGUAGUUUCUCUUCUGAUAAAGCCUUCUCUAGCCUCUCCUCAAACGGGGUGGCAUGCCAGCUUACUUUCUGAUCCUGCUCUUAUAAUGCAAGAUUUACUUAGAUACAACUCGGGUUAAUAUUCAUAGCACCGCAAAGGCUAAAAGAUGGGAAUGAACAUCCUACCUCUUUAUACUUGUUCGUCGAGUUGGGGAUGCCAUUUCCGUCCCACCACUUUGGAGGAACAGGAUCUGAUUCUUCCUCAUUCCAAUGUGCAGCAACCAUUCCGAUAAUAGGCCUGUCCACAUCAGAGCUCAUUCCAGAUUGAGACCUGGACUUUGGAGAUAUCUCGUACCUCCCUCCACUAUUAGCCACUGGGGGUUUCAACCAUUGAGAUAAACUGGGAACAGCAAGUUCUGGAUCAUCCUGGUUUAAUGGUCCCUUUGCUCUAUUGGCCCAAGGUGUCACUGCAUUUCUUUGACUCUCCCUAAAUGCAUGGUUUCCACACAAUUCUGAAUCUGUAUGUUCUGAAGCUUGAGAUAGGUUGUGUACAGGAUUUAAAACUGGAUACAUGUAUUGUGUACAGAUUCUAGCGUUUUUUCUGGUUUUGAGUGACUCUUGAUCAGCUGGAUAAGCAGUUGCUGGAGUUUGCAUUUCCUCAGUCAGUUUUAACAGCAUCGGAAAGGGUUCACAUUUAGAACCAAAGGAUGGAAGAUGGCUUUCUUUGCUUUCUUGCGGUGAUGUAUUCGAAGUUACACUGCCAAUCCGACACUUGAGACCAGAGUCAUGUUUUACCGUACUCUCGUGCUGCACUGAGGUUUGAUGUCCCUUGCUAAUAGAGCUACAAUGAAGCCAAAACAGUUCAUUCUGAAUAUUUUCCUGUUCAAUUAUUUGCUUAAACUAAUAGGAGAGGUAAGCAGAUAGCUGUACCUUCCAUUUUCUGAAACUUCAGCAACUUGUUGUCCUUCAGUAAAAAGUGCUUUACCAGUUAUACCAGGGAGCCAUGAGCGAACAGGAGGCACACCACCCUGAUCAAGAGUUUCAGCAUUUCCACUUUCAGAUGCUUUUCGAAUUUCUUCUGGUGUUUCUAGUAAAGUGCCAAAAGAUUUAAGAAACUUGGCCUGUCAAAACUUCUUAAUUCAGCAUAUGAAUGUCCAAGAGUUAACGAUUUGAAGAAAGAGUAGUAAUUAUAUCUGAAAAAGGUGUCAACCGAUCAGCCCCGAGAAGUAGAGAUACAUAAAAUAGUUCCAAAGGAAUUCCAAUUUACAUUCUCGCUAUUAGAUACAGGUAAUAACACUUUAGGACCUUAGCCUUAAACUUCAGAUGCAUGUACAUGCAGUCGAAUUGCCAGCAAAAUAAAAUAGCGAGUUACAUGCUAACUUGUUGCAAUCAGAUUUGGUGUAAUGAUCUAUGAAAAAUUAAAAUGGGUUUGAUACAUUUACAAACCGGUCUUAAUUAUAAUCAGUGUGUGCAAUCUAUUUUAAUAAGAGAGACAUGAUUGCUGGAGAAAUUUAACCACUUUAUACUACCAAAAUACAUUUUCUAUCCAAUGAGUGAACUACCAUCAGCAACAAAUGAGUGGCGUGCUUACCAGCUCGACGGAAGCAUUUAAGUUUUGUAUGGAGGGGCGUGAUAAUCUGAUGACAAAGAGGAAAAGCCAACUAUAUAUCAUCGAGUGCAAACUCUAGUAGAUGAUACAUGGACUAUCUUAUAGAUACUUUAAACAGGCCUACACUGCCGUUACACAAUGAUCGAUUUCCAAGCGGACCAAUUAGUACGAAAUGGACGAUUCUAAUCUUAUUAAUCAGCUCAAAAUAUAUUGAUUGUUUAUACAAUAAUGAUAAUAAAUCAUAGUUGGUAAAACACCAGAGGGAUAAAAUUGCAAACUAGCGGUUGCAUUUGCACUAAAACAAGCAUAGAUCAAUGUGAAACUCUUUCUGCAAAAGAUGAACCAUUUGACCAACAUAAACCAUCAAAUUAACAUAUACAUAAUAAUUGCAUUAAAAUACAAAACACAAGCACCACAAGAAACUUGUUUGAAUGGAAAAUUGAGUUGUGCAAACGCAUACCUCAUCCUUGAGUUCUCUAUCUGACCUCUCUUUAUCACGCCUCUCUUGUGAAUUUUGAUACAAGCUUUUUUCACAGGGAGAACCUUUAUCUUCACAUACGAAAAUUGAACCAAAAUAAAAAAUUAGCUACUAAAAAGCAAAUUUAUUACUAAUUACAACAAAAAAUCACACCAAAUUACUCAAAUUAGGCACACGAUCAUGAUCAUUACCUUCCCGUAAGAAAAUAGCUGCUAAUUGAUUCUUCGACACCAAUUUCUCCCCAUUAAUCUGCCGAUUCCACAACAAAAUAACCAAAAAUACACGCCUCAAAACAAACUCAUGCAAUAAAACCUUAAAAUAACACAUAAAUCCGCCACAAACCUUGUUCGCGGAAGCAAUCGAGCUGGAGAUGAAGUGAUCCCCUCGAUCAUCAUCUUUGAUCCGGAAACAACCAAACAAGCAUCCCAUUCCGAGCGGAGAUCGAAGCCCUAGAAACCUCCGCGAUCGAGCUAGGGUUUUCGCCGAGCCCCUUCGAAUCGCGAGCUUCGGAGAGCUCGUAGUGAUCGAGAGAGUGAGGAGGCGUAGUUUGGAAUUUGGUGUUUAUACGUGUGCGUUUUAAUUGAGGAAAUUUGAAAUUGAAAUUGGGUGCCACGAGUGAGAGAGAGCGAAAAUGAUUUGAAAAAAAAAAAUAAAAAAAUAUUGGGGAAAUUUUUUGACCGUUUCAUGGCGUAUUUGGUGUGGGGCCCCUUGUCUUAUCAAUGAGUGGAUCCGCAAAAAAUAUUUGACCCGCUCCGGUACCAAAGUACCAACUCAUAUAUAGUACCAAAAAUGGCAAAGAUCCUUUUUUUUUUUCUUGAGAAUAAUAAUAUUACAUUCAUAAUUUUUUUUUAAAUAAUGCGAUCUAAUACAUUUUUAAAAAAAAAGUGAAUAUAAUUCUUGCACUUUUUAAUUUAAAAGUCAAUAUUUUACAAUUAUUCUAGUAAUUUUUUUAAUAUUAAAAGUUUAAGAGUGUUGUUUACCAUUUUGAAUUAAAGUGUGAGAUAUGCACACUCAUUUUUUGGAUUUUUAUAUAGCAUUUUCUUCUUCUUCUUUUUUUACGUAUAUAUAUUAUAGUUGGUGUAAAAAUACAUAGUUCGGAUUUAUUUUUUAAUUUCAAAUUUAUGUGUUAGUUAGUAUUAGGAAAAAUUCAAUCACAUGCUUUUAAUGCUUAAGAAAAAAUAACAAUGUAUAAAACUUAUCUCAACUAUCAUUCAUUUUGAUCUGACUAUCCAACUUUUAAAAAUAUAAAUUUUUCUAUCUAAGUUUUUAAUUUAUUUGAUUGACUAUAAGUUUAAAUUUGAAUACAUCAUUUAUAUUUACAAAUUCAAUUAAUAUAUUUUACAUAAUUUAUUUAUUUACAUAAAUUAACUUAAAUUUUGUAUCUAAAGAUAUUUGAAUCAGAAAAUUUUAAAAUUUAGAUAAUCUAAUCAAAAUGGUGAAUAGUUCACAUAAGUUCUAUAUAAUUUUACGAAUAAAAGAAAGUGAUUUUCCAUAUUUAUAGGUAAAAAGUAUAAAACUAAAAGCAAACAACAAAGAGAGCAAACAAACUUGUAUCAUUUAAAAUUUAAGUUCACGGACUCUUUCCACUCCAUAAAUUUGCUUCAAACUCCCAACCUCAGCUGUUUUUGGAUCUAACCAUUUUAAUGGAAUUUAUUGAAUAAACAAACAAGAAGAGGGGGGAAAAAACAUCUUGCAGAAGAAUUGUAUGACUCUGCGACAACGACUACAAUUCAAAACAUCAAUGGAAAAAAGGUUGUAAGACGAAAAAUGAUGCAAUAAAUAAGAAAUUUCACUUGAUUUUUCCGAUUAUUUAGUUAUGUUAAAAAUUCGCAGAAAUCACUUCAAGGGAACUAAAACAAAAAAAAAAAAACAAAAGAAAAGAAGCAACAAUCGAUUCAACUGCGGUUCUUCAUCAACCUGUUGCGUCACAUAAUGCAUCUAUGAACAAGUAACUUGGUUCCAACUUACUUUCCAAAAAUGGUACACUUCUAAAUGCGAAAUUUAAGAGGAUAAAAAGGAAAUUGCUUCAUUACUUCUUGGAUAACUAUCCUCUUAACAUGAUCACCGUAUUGUAGGUCGACAAACUACCGUGGCAAGCGAGAAAACUCUAUUUAGGUGAAACUGAUUUCUCCAUUUCGCCCUCUUCGAGAAGCGAGAACUCUCAACCUUAUUCAUUGAGACUUUACAUUCCCCGGUUUCCACCCUUUUUGUCGAGCCCUUAAUUCCCACAAUGCGGUGAGCUUCUUCUGUUCGAGCAAUGUGGCCUCGGCCCUCUCUCGUGCCUCCUCGCAGGUGUCCAUUCCUGAGCUGCACUUGUCGGCUUCCUUUUGAUACUGUGAUGCCAACUUCUUCGCCUCGAGUAAUGUCACGUCAGCACGCUGCUCUGCUUCCGUCGCCUCCUCUUCUCUCAACUUCAAUUCUUCUGUGAGGAGGUCUGUGAAAUUCUUGUCCAUUUCUUCGCUAACCUCCGGGUCGCGUUUCGCACAAUCUGCGGAAAAGAAUUAAGUACUAAUAUAGUUGAGAAAACAAAUGAAGUUAUAAGAGGAUUUGGUUCAUCGGGGAUUCAUUUAAACCACUUUGUGCAAAGCAGGUCCAUCAUUGUAAGCACUAAUUCAUAAAGGGUCCGCUAUUAAAAUUCUAUUUCAGCUAUUUCGUUCUGAUUAGGACGGUUCCUUGCUAAACGAAGUGAAAUCACAUUUUUAUUACCAUUUUCUCAAUAUUAAAAUGCAAGAGAGGUGGCAAUGGAAGUUAAAAUGCAAGAGAGGCGGCAAUUUUGAUGGUCGCUUGUUUACUUCACCGAUCAACAGAUAGAUAACUGAUCCGUAUUGUAUUGGUACACCAAAUUUUCUUGUGUUUGAUGAUCGGUGAAGUAAACAAGCGACCAUCAAAAUUGGAAUCGUCUAAUGCACAUGACAUGAAGGUAACUGGUGUCUGAAGAAGCAGUGUACUUUGAGGCGUUUGUUACCGUUCAAGAGCAGCAGUUUCUGGUGAAUAAAAGUAAACCUACCUGUGAAUGUUCCUCAUGAUCUGAAAUUACCGUAAUCUGUAGGAAGGCUCAGAAAUAGAAAUUUCCUUGAGGUAGCUCCUGUCAAUAUCAGAUGAAAAAUCUUUUUCUCCAUCUUUAAGGGGAUUGGCACGCUAAUUAACCAACCUACUUUUGGAAUUUAAGCAGAUCAAUGGUGAAAAUAACUGGGAAAAGAGAACUCCUGUUUUACGUGACUCAAUUUUACCAUCUGCGCAAUUUUACUGAUAAAAAGUUCCACGAAAUUAACAAAAAUGCAAGUCAAAUUGAACUAAUCAAAUCAUGAGAACAGCAUAUAACCAGCAAAUUUGCACUAAUGACACAAAUUCAACAAAUAAAUAAGACAUUUGCAAUUGCUUUUAGUCCACUCGAGCAAUUAACCUCAAUAACUACUUGAUACCUCCGAAAGAAACUGGAAAUUGAAAUGAUAAUAACCUGUGAUCGAGACGUUGCUCAACUCUGCAAUCAGAAACAGGAAAUCAGCGUCAGUACACUCGAUCUAACAAAAAAACAAGUAAAAUUGGGGAAGAAAUGAAACUCGGAUCUCGCAGAUGCGCCACCGAUCUCGUCGAAUCCAAGGGAAAAUUGGCACAGAUCUCACAUCUUCGAAGUGAAAUCACAGGGUAAAGAGGAAGAGGUAAAAGGACCGGCACCUUCGGGGAGGGAGAGGAGGGGUUGGGAGGAGCAAUCGCAGGAGCAGGGGGGGCACGAGGAGGAGCCGCCGAGGGCUUCGACGAGGUGCCAAUAGAGAGGGGGCCCGACGAUGUACGCCGCUAACCCUAGCCCCAUCACCACGAGUAUCGCCUUCAACAGGCUAGGGUUUAGGGCCCCCGCCAUUAUCGUUCACCUCCGAGCUCGCCGAUCGAGAGUGAGAGAGGUGAGUGGUGAAUGGUGCGCGGAUUCGGAGGAAUUAUUACGAACCGCGUCGGUCGUGGUUAAAAUACGCGCCCAAUAAUAAAUGUUAGUGGGUUUGGACCAGAUUCGGUAAAUGGGUCGGGCGUGAAUUUUGCUCGGACUCGUUAGUGGAUUCGGACCGGAUUCCGGUAUUCUUUUUUUUUAAAAAAAAAUUAAUACCAAAAAUAAAAAUUAGGAAUUUAGGAUAGAUGUUUAUAAGAGAGUUUAUUAGGACAAAAAUUUGGUAGGCAUCUGUCCCCAAACAAAUCCCCAAACAACUGGACGGAGCCUGUGAGUGUGUGUCCGGACGUCCAUUACCACAGCCCCUUUCUCCUUUUUCUCCCUCUCUCUCUCUCUAAAAAAUAAAGCCCAGAAAUUUUUUUUUCUUUUUCUUUGCUGUUUCCGAGGGUUGCGAUGGACGCCGCGUGGUCGGCAUCGUCCCCAAACAAUUUUAUCUGGGGAUGAUGCCCAUCAAAUUUUUGUCUAAUUUACUAGGUGUUGUUGCAUAGAUUGUUUUAUAAUUUUUUAUUAUAAAACCUAUAAAAUAAAUCAAAUUUUAAUGAUUAUAUAUUUGAGUGUAAAUGAUGUGUAGAUAGUAUGAUAAUUUACUUAAAAAAAAAACGAAAAAAAGAAUAGCCUCCCAGAAUUCCAAAAAAAAAAAAAAAAACGUACAGAACUAUUGAUUAUUAUAAAUUAGCUACCUAAUUUUUUAAAAUUUUAAUUUUAAUAUUCUAAUUUGUUUUUUGAGUCAGUUUAAAUACUUUAACUUCAAAAUUUAUACUAGAAAUUUACUUUAAUAAAUAUACAGUUGCGAAAUUUACUUGAAAUAUAUUAACACAAUCUAUAAAGAUAAAUAAUAUAUUUAAAUUUUAAAAUUAAAAUAUACUGACUCAAAUCAAAUAAAUAAAAAAAAUUAAUAACAAAGUUAAAAUAUUAAAUAUUAAAUAACUGGUUUAAAAUAAUUCAUAAUUUAGAAAAAUUGCUUUUUGAAAAGAAAAAAUCUUCUAUGGGCCGUGUGCCAUGUGUCCACUAGUUUGGUUCACGCGAGGACGUGGUAGACCGGGUCGGAGAAAUUUGUGACACGACACUAGGGGUGUAAACGAGCCGAACACCAGCGAGCUGGGGUUAGCUCGUGUGCGGCUUGUUCAAUAAACAGGCUCGUGUUUAAAUGGGCCGAACACGAGCUGACUCGUUAAAGUAUCGAGCUAAAAAAUUCAGCUCGUAUUCGACUCGCUGAUAAACGAGCCGAACACGAACUGGCUCACGAGCUGGCCAACAAAUAAUAAGUUAAAAGAAUUAGAUUGAAUAUAUAUGUAUAAUAAAUUUAUAAAAUCUUAUCCAUUAGACUUUGAUCUAAUAGUUGAAACUUUACUUAUAAAUAAGCUUUUUUAUAAUUGAGCUCCCCUUGAUAUUGUUAUUUUGUUAAAAAUUAAAUAAUAAAAAUAUUAUAUAUAUAUAUUUAUGUAUUUAUAUAUAUAUAUAAAAAUUAUAUAAAUUAUAUAAAUAUAAAAUAUAUGUAUUCGAGCUGUUAUCGAGCCGAACAUGAGCGAGCUGACCCCAGCUCGUAUUCGGCUCGUUUAAUAAACGAGCGAUUCGAUCUCGAGCUAAUUUCGAGCCGAACACAAGAUGGCUCACGAACAGCUGAAUUCACACCCUUACAUGACACUAUUAACGUAGACCGUUGACCCAAAAGGCCGGUUAAUUCUCGUCCCGUAGACAAGCCCGGUCCGGUUCAGCGAACCUUCCAAGAAAAAAAACCCACAAAAAACCCAUUCUCAACCCGUCAACGAACCUCUCAAAAACGCACACACUAGAGCCCACAGUAGAGAGAGAGAGAGAGAGAGAGAGAGCGGAGGGGAGAUACAUCACCAACGAAGACGACGAGGACGACGACGAGCACUGCGCCAUGGCGUCGCCCCCGACCUCUUCCUCCUCCUCCGCGGGACUCUUUCGCCGCGCCCCGGGCUCGGCGCGGGCGCAUUCAGCUCCUCCGGAGGCCGUCGGGGCCGGGGCCAUCCGAGCCGACGUGGAUCCGCCGCCGCGGCCGAAGCCCAUCAUGCAGAAGCUCGCCAUCGGGGCCAUCGUCCUCUUGGGCUGCGUCCAGUUCUUCCUCCCCGCCUCCCACUUCCGCGACCCCUCCGACCCCCGCCGCACCUGGAUCCCCUACGACCCCAGUCGCUCCUCCCCCAUCGUACGCCCUCUUUUCGAUCGAGUUGUGUUUGUGUUUCGAUGCUUAAAUCCCUUUCGAGGUGGAUUUUGGAGUGUGAAUUUUAGGAUUUGGGGAGGGGAGUUCACGUUAUUUCAUCAAAUGAUGAUCUAAAAUUUGGUAAAUUGCGCCAUUACUUUCGGGAAAAAGUCUUUUUUUCUAUUUUUUUUAGUUUUAAUCUUGUUGAGUUAGUGGUUUGAUGCGUAAAUCCUUUUGGCAUGGAUUUUGGAGUGACAUUUGAAAAAAGAUGGAUUUUGGAGUGUAAAUUUUAGGAUUUAGGGGCAAAAUUCACGUUAUUUUCUUCUAAUGAUGAUCUAAAAUUUGGUGAAUUGCACCAUUACUUUCGGAAAAAAAAAGUCUUUUUCCUCAAAUUUUAUUAGCUGAACUUGGUUCAUCUUUGUGUUCGUGCCCUGCAAUUGUUUUUUCGUCCAUCUCAUACUUAAACUAUAGAAAAAGUUGCAACUCAAUAGAUGAUAACGUUGCGUGGUGCAUGAAUGUAGAGAGGCACCACGUAUAGUCAAUCGUCUUCCUCCGAUAGUAUUUGGCGAAAUGGUUUUAAGAGUUUAGAGUGUUAACUAUUGAACUUUAAAGUUUGGAAUUAAAGUGAAACUACGAGAAAAAGUUUUUUUUUUAACCCCUUUUAAGUACUUUGUUUUAUACUUUUUCACAAGCAAAAACCUCGUAGAAAAUUAAUAUGUGGGCCAUUUGAUGCUUUGAUUAGCAUUAUGAAGAAGUAAGUCUAUUUCAGCUUCAUAUUUCGUCAUUUUCAUGUGUUUUUAGUUUCUAAAUGUGGUGGAUUGCAAAAUGAAUUUUCAACCUAUUUUGUUUGAAUGCUGGUACAGAUAAUGCUCGUAGGAAACUUUAAAAAAGGGUAUAUAAAAGAAAUUGCAUGGUUGUUAGAUAAUCCCAAUGUCUUUGGUUUCUUCGAUUUCGUCGUUACCUUUUUGGCAGAAAAAGCCCUGCCAUUGUUUUUAUUGAUGUCAAGUAGGGUGUUUUAACUUAUUUAAGAGGCAUUGUAAAUCAUACAAAUGAAAACUAACUUGUCAACACUAAACAUAUUGUUUUUAGUAGCCAACCAUAUUCACUUGUGAUGUCAUCAACCCUAAAUAGUCAUUAUAUGCUGAUCCAACAGUAAAUCUCUUAGUUUAUUGGUUAUAUUAACAGAUCCGUGCAAUCCUUUUGGCAUAAGAGUACCCAAAUAGAGAGUAGAUGUGUGAGCGUAAUCAGGUUAAAUUCUUCAGCAAUAUAAAUGGCUGAAAAAAGAAAAUGCUUCUGCUUUCGAUUUAUGUGUGGCUGGUAUAAGAAUGCUUGCGAUAAUUGGCCUAAAAAGCUUAUACUAAAUAUCAUUUGUUCCUAAUGGGCCAAGAUAGGGAUUAUUGUAAAUUAUGAGGGGCAUUGAAUUAGAUUUGUUCAGGGAUUCUUGGGCGUCUUUUGGUUUCUUUAUCAGAUUAAAAUUAUGAAUUGCAUAAAGCACUAAGAAACUGAACAAUAGCAAGGUACAAAACCCACGGUUUCUUAGUGCAACAGACUAUUAAGCAUGAAGCUUCUUGAUAUUUUUUAGGGCGUGUUUGGUUGUCGGAAUAAGUAAUCUGAUGAUAACUUAUUCGAUGUGAAGAUUUUCUUGUGUGAUUGGAAGGUAAUAGUCAAAUUUUUGCUCAUUGAAAGGACUUGGCAUCCAUGAUGUGGUAGGAUAGUAUAUUUUACCUAUGAGAUGAUUUAAAAUAUUUCGAAAAAAUGACUUGAAGACCAAAUAUGCUAUUCCUUUCUAGACACUUGACCACACUCUUAGCUUCUAAUCACAAUAAGAAACCCCAUACUGAAUAGGAUAUCACUAGAUAAUUUAUUCCAACAUCCAGAUAGGGUCUUACUGUUUCACAAUAGAAAUUUAUGUCUGUUAGUACUAGUUGUUACCUCAUUACUCUUAAAAUUCUGUUCAUAAGACAUAUUAGAGUUCUGCUCUUCAUAAUCCUAAUUUAAUUUUUCCUUCUUUAACAGAGAGAAAUACUACUACCAUGCUGAAAUUCCAGAUGUCUAGUGUUAAUUAAGUAAUAAAUUGUUCAAAUGCAUAAGGUUGUUGUCGUUGCGUGAAAAUUACUCUUAUUCAAUUUGAUGCAACUUUUGUUAUUUCCAGUCCACAAAUAAAAGAAGUUUCGAGGAGGAGCAACUUGAUAUGCCAGUGAAGCAGGAGGCAGAAGUCCCAGGGACACAUAUCUUCUCUUGGACAGACUGUUUAGAUUUGCGAGUUCUUGCAGUCCUUGCCAACUCAACUUUGUCCAGCUCAAGGUCCUAUUUUUCAUGUCUAAUGAUAUAAAUGUAUGAUGCACCACAUGCUUUUGAAUGUUGCAAUGUUUUAGUGAAUUGGAGAUUGAAGUACACUUAUGCAUGCUUUUUUGUUUUCCGUUUUGUGUCUCAGAUAUCCGGAGGAUGUAUUUUUCCAUUUCUUCAUACCUGAACAUGAAGACGAGAAACUGUCCUUCUAUAAGCUAAAAGUAGUCCUGCCUUCCUCAAACCUUGGUAUAAUUGGGUAAGUACAGAGUUAUUGAACUGCUUUUAUGUAAAAACUUUGUUUUGUACUCACACUUGAUGUUUCUGCAGUCAGAAGGAUGUGAAGGAGAAAUUAAACAUUGCUACUCCUGAAGCGGAAUUUCUUUGGAAUUACCGUCAUGAAUUGGCACCAUUUUUCAUUUCAUACCAGCAUUUACCUUUGAACAAAUAUGUAUAUGUCUUACCAGACACCAUCAUAAAGGUAGUUGAUCAUGUGUUUACCAUCUUCGUAGUUCGAUUUGUUGGUGAAUUGACUAUUAUGAAUUCUUAAAGAAAAAUAUCAUCAUUGAGAAGUACUUUUAUCACCUUUGAUUGCAAUCUUGAUAAUCAGGCUGAAAACUGUCCAUGCUUCAUAUAAGAAUACUCAGAUUGUUUAAUUAUUACUACACGUGGCAAUCACCAGGCAAACUUUCACAAGUAUGCGUUUUAUGGCGUAGGAGAGACUGUAUAAUGUAGCGUACAAUUGUGCAUUUGUUAAUUCUAUGUUCAUGUUGAACCAUUCAGGAGAUCUAUUGACACACCUAUCUAUACCUUUUUAUGCUUGCAAAUGCUUAUGUUGUUCCUUAAUCAUAGUAAAUUAAUUGCAUUCCAUCUGUUAUCCCGUAAUAUUUUGCUCUGCAACUGAGAUAAAUGAUUAUUAGAGAGCUUUCUAAUAUGGCAUCCAAAAACAAUCCUACUAUUUAAACCAUAAGUCUGAACGAAGUAUGUGUGAAACCAAACACUUCCUACAUGAACAUUCCCGUUUUAAAGUUGGCUAGAUUUACAAAACCUCGUUAAAAUUAAUAUAAACAUAUCAAAAUGUGCUUAGAGCAUAGAUUUGUUACACAGAUUAUAACCCAACUACGAGAUUUGUAAUAAGAUUGGGCUUCCAUUUCAGUUGUGAAAUUUGAGAAGGAUAGUCCUCGGCAUGCCUUCCCUUUCUUUCUGUCUUGUUGAAACUUUCAUUAUUUUCUAUACACAUACUGCAAUGGUAAUAUUCAGGACUCGAUUUUUUGUUUUUUUUUUUUUUUUCUGUGCAGGGAAAUAUUGAAGAUCUCUUUAGUUUUGAUUUGGCUCCUUAUGCUAUUGGAGCCGCCGAAGACUGCAGCAAGAGGGUGGGUGAUUACGUCGAUAUCGAGGUUUUAAAUGCUAUACAGAGAACUGCUGCCAAAAGUUGGAUAUCUGACAAACCUUAUGAUAAAAAUGCCUGCUUACCUGAUUUCAAUGUGCUCUUAGUGGAACCUCAUAAGUUAGAAAGCACUCUACUCGAGUCCAUUGUGUGGUGGAACAAAGUUCUUGACAAAGGAAGUGAAAGGUGUGCCAUAUUUACCAUAUAACAUUUUUCUAUAUAUAUGCAUGUAGCUACUUUUUGAGACUAAUAUACGUAGAUGAUUACUUUCGAUAGGUUCAUGCAAAAGUGUACGAAAAUCCUGCUAACUAUAGCCUAUUUGGGAAUUGGUCCUUGUUUUCCAGUUCUUUAGCACAAAUAUUGAGAUGCUUGAUUUUAAGUAGAAAUUUCAUCAGUUUCUAGCAGUCUUUGUAACAUUUUUUACGGAAUAUUAGGGUACACUUACUUCAUAGAUAAUUUGCUUUGUUUGAUGAAACUGUUAGUUUACCUGAUGGAACUUCUCUUAAAUUAAACAACAACACAAUAGUUUGGGACGUGCAAAUUGUCGAGGAUCUGUUUCCUGAAAAAUCCUAUAGUUGGGCGUGUCAGUACAACUUUGUGUACAUCAAACAAUAAUCUACAAACUAAACUAUAAUAUUCACUAUGUAAUUUCAGGGGCAACCGUAUGAAGUUCGCAAUUGCUCUAGCUUUCUAUGACAAAUAUUUCAAGCUUCCCUCUACUUGGAAAAUCAGCUCUUCAUUGGAAGCUGAUGAAACUAAUGAAAUCAAAGCACUCCGUUUUGAUGGGCCGACAAGAGUUUGCUCCGAAGAUGACGACCGGGAUCAAGGACCAAAUCAUGGUGAUAUUUGGCAGCAAUAUCUUUCGUCAAACUCGGUCGCCGUAUUAAGUCAUUGAAGCACCAAAUUCCUUCCUAUUCUGCCGCUUCAUUUUUUUAAAGAGAUUACACCAAUUACAACCGGUAAUGGACCUUAUCAACGAAUGAAGUGGUGGUGCUUAAAUUCCUGCCGCAGAGAAAAACUGUGCAGUUUGAGGAUACUAUAUAGAAGUUUUUGAUACCACACAGGCCAAAUGAAACAGGGUAGGGUAGUAGAAAAGAAGUGUCAUAGGUCAAAUUAUCACCAUUUGUUGAUGUUUAACCAAACAGAUGCUUGUUUGUUGCUGUUGUUGUAAGUUUGUAAUAACAACAUAUGAUUCCGUCGCGUGUUCAUAUGUUUUUAGCCAGUUUUCUGUUCUAUUUGAUUAUCUUUAUGCAGUUUUGUUAUCAUGUCAUGUUUCUGUGAAAGACAGUGCAGACAUCUUCAACAACUCCCUAAUCAUCAGAAACAACUAAUAAGUGGAAGACUGUAUAACUAACUAAGUGUCAGUAGUAAUAAACCAAUGGAGUGAUUAGCAGCUAAGCAAUGCUGUCAGCUUCUUGUGUUAAUAAUGGUGUUAAGAAGAAAUUUUCUACAAACUAUAGGCUUUCUGCAGCUAAUCACUGAUUCACUCACAAACAUUUGCUAUUUCUUCUGGUUCAAAAAAAACAAAAAAGAAAAAGAAAAACCAAGAUCAACUGAGGGAAAAAAUUUAGAAUACAUCAAGUAUAUUGCUGACGUGACGUUCCCAACCAAUAGUCCCCACCAAUAGAAUUAUUUUUAUUGAAUUGAUGUCCCAUCAUAGUUAAUAAAAAAAAUAAUUUUAUUAUAUUUUUUUAGAUAGAGAGAUAUAAUUGACUUGUUAUUUAACAAUGUGAAAGUAUGAUACAGUAAAUUUUCUCCGACUGAGGGUCUAUCCAAGAAAAUCUAGUCAACCUCUUUCUAGCCACAAGCACCCAAACCCCCCAACCAAUUCCCACUCUCCAACUCACACUUCCCCUCCACCACCUUAUCCCUCCCCUCCCCCACCCAAAUCCUCUCUUAUCCCCUCCUCUCCCCCAAAACACCCUCACCACCUUAUUAGAAGAAGAGGAAGAAGAAGAAGAGUGUGAAAGAGAGAGAGAGAGAGAGAGAGAGAGGACACAACAAUGGCCCCCUCCUCCACCACCACCACCACCACCACCAAACGCCUCUUCCUCAUCUCCUGCUUCUCCUCCCCCUCCUCCUCUCAGGAUCAGAACCAAAACAAUCCACCAGUCUCGAUCUCCGCCUCGAUCAAGAACUUCUCCGCCGCCGUCGCGCUCUCGUCGAUCCUCCUCUCGCCGGCCGCCCUCUCCCCUCCGCCGGCGGCCGCCGACAUCGCGGGGCUCACCCCCUGCAAGGAGUCCAAGGCCUUCGCGAAGCGCGAGAAGCAGUCCCUGAAGAAGCUGGAGGCGUCGCUCAAGAAGUACGACCCCGACUCGGCCCCCGCGCUGGCCAUCAAGGCCACGAUGGAGAAGACGAAGCGGCGGUUCGAGAACUACGGCAAGUUCGGGCUGCUCUGCGGCGCCGACGGCCUCCCCCACCUGAUCGUGAACGGCGACCAGCGGCACUGGGGCGAGUUCGUCACCCCCGGCCUCCUCUUCCUCUACAUCGCCGGCUGGAUCGGCUGGGUCGGCCGCAGCUACCUCAUCGCCAUCCGCGACGACAAGAAGCCCACCCAGAAGGAGAUCAUCAUCGACGUCCCCCUCGCCUCCAGCCUCCUCUGGCGUGGCUUCAUCUGGCCCGUCGCCGCCUACCGCGAGCUCGUCACCGGCAAUCUCGUCGUCGACGACGCCGACGUCGGCACCUACUGAGCCACCCCUCCUCCUUACUGAGUAAGUGUUCAAUUUCAAAAUAUUUAAAGAGCAGAAUAUUCUGAAUUCGAGUUAUGUCGGACUCCUAUCUCUACAAAUUUAAAUUUUUAGCUAUCGUUUGGUUCAGGGUUAAAAAAAAAAUAGUUAUUCCAGGAAUAGGGUUAAGUUCAGGGUUAAGGUGGGGUUAGAGUAUUUUUAUAUUUGGUUGAGAAUUGGAGUUAGUCUAGGAUUAAAGAAAAUAGUGUUUGGUUGAAGUAUGUGGGAUAAGAAGGAUAGUGGAUAAAAUAGUGUUUUAUUUGGUUGGAAUAGUGGGGUGGGGUGGGAUUAGCUGGGGUUAGCUAACCCCAUUCCGAAUUAGCCUAUUUGGGAUGGGGUUAGCUAACCCCACCACCCUAAAAUCAUGUUUGGGAAUAAAAUCGGGGUUAGGAAGUUAUCCCAUCCCUUAACCCUGAACCAAACACAAGCUUAGAGAAUAACAGUUGUUUUAUAUAAUUUAGUAUGGUAUAAGAACAGAAGAUCCUGAGUCCGAGUAAUGUCAGGCUCCUAUUAACUCUACAAGUUUAAGCUUUUUAAAGAAAGAAUAAUAAUUGUUUCAUAUAAUUUAACAUGACAUCAGAGCAGGAGAUUUUGAAUUUGAGUUAUGCCAGGCUUCUAUCUCUACAAGCUUAAACUUUUAGAUAGAAUAACGGUUGUUUCAUAUAAUUUAAUAUAGCAUUAGAGUAGGAGAUUUUGAAUUCGAGUCAUGUCAGGUUUUUAUCUCUAUAAAUUUAAGAUUUUAGAGAAUAACAAUUAUUUUAUAUAAUUUAAUGUGGCAUUAGAGCAUAAGAUUUUGAAUUCGAGUCUUGUCAGGUUUCUAUCUCUACAAGCUUAAGCUUUUAGAGAGAAUAAUGAUUGUUUCAUACAAUUUAAUAUGGUGUUAGAGCAGAAAAUUCUGACUUCGAGUUAUGUCAGGCUCCUAUCUCUAUAAACUUAAGCUUUUAAUUAGAGAACAACAGUUGUUUCAUAUAAUUUAGUAUGAUAUCAGAAGAGGAGAUCCUAAAUUUGAGUAAUAUCAGGUUCCUAUCUCUACAAAUUUAAGCUUUUAAAAAAUAACGAUUAUUUCAUAUAAUUUAAUGUGGUAUUAGAGUAUGAAAUUUUGAGUUCGGAUAAUGUCAGACUUUCAUCUUUACGAGCUUAAGCAUUUUUUAGAGAGAAUAACAGUAAUUUCAUAUAAUUCAAUGGUAAGUAACAAUUAUUGCCUACCGUAGCAGCAAAGUCUUUGUGAUUUCGCUAUUUGAAAUUUGAUUCAUUUGUUUUGUUUCUGCAGUUGUAGCUGCUGAUACGCUGCUGCUACAUGAUGUGGAGAGCUCUGUUCUGUUGUAUUUAAGAACUGUAUCUGUAUUUGUACUUCAUCAAGCCAAAUGAUGAUUAUAGUUUUUAAUCUCUUUGACCAAUUUGAAGCACAUUUUGGAUGUAAUUUCUGGUUUUUUAUAUGUUGUCAGUGAAUGUAACCUGAAAUUGCAGUUCUUCUAGAAUAUCUUCUUCUUUUUUUUAAUUUACUGCAACUAUUUACUUGAUUUGGUGUGAUAGUUUUUUAUAUGUUAUCUUUGAUUAUUAGAAUUACCAUUCUAUGAGCAUCAAUAACAUUGGUUUGGUUCAUGAUUUGCUUCAAUUGUCCGAAUUAAAACUCUCCAUAUACUACAGUAUAUUGUGAGGAUAUUGUAGCGUCUGUGGCGCUAAUUGAGACCUUCCGAUUUAGAUCAUAUUUCUAACAGAAGAAGCUAUGGCUAAGCCAAACAAACUAUAAGAAUAUUUUCCUACUCAAGUUUCGAAUUGAGUUUAAACAAAUCACACCACAUUUGCUAAAAAUUAUGAAAUGCAUUGGGAAACACUACGAUGGUCGGACCAUAAACAAUUGCUCUCUCGACCACCAAACGAACAUGUCGACUGUAAUAUUUUAUUUUAUAUAAUCUAUAAACUAAUCCAAAACAUAAUGAAUAACUGCGGUGCUUAAGCUUCUGAUAAAUAAGGCAUUGGACAAUUUUGCUAUUCGACGAAACUUAAAAUAAUUUUUAAAACAAUCUUAAAAUAAUUUUUAAAACAAUAUUACAAAAAAAUCGAUAACUGCAAUUUAUGCAGUGGUAUAUGUAGUGUUUAACCUGAGAACUCGACCGUUGAGGAACAGUGGCACUCUCCGUUAUUUUCUACAACUCCAGGGCACAUUUUAAAAAUCCCCUCCCAAUUCGACCGUUACAAAACCCCCCAUUCAAGAACCAAAAUUCGACCGUUAACACCAUUCCAUUCCUCUUCUUUACUCUCUCUCUCUCUCUCUCUCUCUCUCUCUUUUCUAUAACACCUCUUCUCCUCCCCCAUUUUCUCCUUACCAUCUCUAUCUCUCUCUCUCUCUCUCUCUCUCUCUCUAGACCAAGAUGAUGAGCGAGGCAUCGAUGGAAUCGAAGCCGCCACCGCACCCGCUGCGGCAAAUUGCGGAGAGCGCGACCCACAAGCUACUUCUAAAGCAGUGGCUCAAGGAGGAGGAGCUCCUCCUCCGCCGCGUCGCCCUCAGAGAAACUCGCCUCGACGCCGCCCGUAGGGAGACCACCGGCCUCUUCUGCGCCUUCUUCGUGUUCCACUCCACCGCCCUCCUCCUCCUCUUCUCCUCCGCCUCCGACGCCCCAGCCCCCCGCACGUGCCACCGAUCGUGGAUCCCCUGCCUCCUCUCCCUCCUCUCCUCGCUGGGCCUCAUCUGGGCCGUGCGGUACAAGGGCGACACCGAGAAGGUGCUCGAGAGAAUGCUCGAGAGGGAAAAGGAGGACGCUUUGCUGCUGGGGAAGUGCGUGGGGGAGCUCCGGAAGAAGGGCGCCGAGUUCGACCUGCUGAAGGAGGUCGACGCGCUGCGGCGCGCGAAGAGCCUGCGGGUCGAGGCGAAGGCAGCGGCCGCAGUGAGGAGGUGGUCGGGGAGGGAUUUGGGGAUCAUGGCGCUCUUCGCGGCCGCGUGCGGGGCGGUGGCUCUCACAAGGUUCGUGCUUUGUAGCUAGGGUUUCUCUUUUGGGGUAUAAAGGAAGGAUCUUGAUUCCGAUGUGAAUUUCGGUUUUUUUGUUUUUUUUUUGUUCUUUGUGUUGUGGAGUUGUCCUGAUGGGAGAAUUGCAGAAUGUUCUGUUCUGCUAUUUUGUUUGGUGUUUUAGUUUACAUUUUUUUUGUUCUUUGUGGAUCAUUUUAAUGGAAAUCUUGUAAUAAGAUUGGUUAUAAAAUUACCAGUAAAUUUCUCUCAUUGACUCAUUUAUCUCCUUUUUUCUCCUUUUGUUUUGAGAAAAAGCAAUUCACUUAUUAUAGUCUAUCAAAUUUAUAUCUUUCGAUCGAUGAUGAACUCUAAUCAACAACAAAAUGAUAAGUUUAAGUUAGAACAGAAAAAAAAAAAAAAAAAAAAAAUCUUAUACUUUAUGGUGGAAAUGUUUGAUCAGAUGGUAUUAUUCUUAUAUAAGAAACACCUGUUACAAAAAAGAUCUCUUUUUUUCUUAAAAAAAUAAUAGCCUCAUGUUUUCUGAAGAAGUUGUUCAUAUUUAAAGGAAAAAUUAGAGUGAACUUGAGUUAGAAACUAACAUUGUUGUUUGAAUCACAAAUUCUUGCACACAAACUCGCUACACCGAUUAUUUGUUCCUCCUUUUAUAUAGCUUCUUACGGAUGCGCGAGUGUGAGAGGAGUACCGCAUUUCUCGAGUUUAUUCUAAAUCUCUAGAGUGGUUAGUGCCUAUUUAAUUUGAAAUCUUCUCUGCUCCGAGAAGCAAUUACACAUGUUCAAAGUACCUGUAAAAGCUUUUGCUGUGUCGAAAAGUUAAAAAUUAGCCUUCUGUUGCUCCUACAUUGGCAAUUAUUGGAAGUUUCUGAUUGAUUUGAAUAACUCUAUUCAAAUAGCACUUUUCGGAAACUCAAGCCCAAAUAAAGAACAUUAUCUGCAGUGGUCACAGUUAGUUAGGUAUGAGUUGCCAUCAUUCUUGGAUUGCAGGUGAAGGAAACAUCCAUUGCAAGUAAUGUGAGCAAUAGAAUCAAAGAAACUAAAAGCAAGUAAACUUUGGUACAAACAACAAAACCAUUUUAUUCUCUAUAUAAGAACAAACAAAAAUAACAAACAAAUUUAAGUUUACAUGAUCAGCCCAAUCAUACAUUCCAAGCAUACAACAAAACACCCAAAUUCCAAGUACAACUGCAUCUACACAAAGAACUGAAGCUUCUUCCUAAACAGUACUCUCAGGCCCUUCCUUGUUGACAUGGCUCAUCGGGGGCGGUGGCGACGAGACUACAACACCCGGCGGGGGCACGGGAGCGCCGUAAACCUGCGAGGCCAACCCCGCGCGCGCCUCCGCCCGCCCCUUCGCCCGGCCGAGGAAGUAGCACCCGAAGCCGAGCAAGAUCGCGAAGAGGAUCAGAGGGAGGGAGAUGACUAUAACCAAACCCAUAACUCUCCACUCUUUAUGCUCAGAAACUGUAGCCUGAUUGAGGAAUGAAGAAGAUGGUGUUUAUAUAUAGUGAGAAAAAGGAGGAAAAGAAUAGAUACAGUUAAGAGGGUUCUGAGAAACAGAAGGAAUUAAUGACAGAUAGGAAUAAGGAACUUGGAUUACAAGAUAAGUAGCUCUCUUUAAGGAUUUGAGUAUAAAGGUGGUGAACAUUUCUUUCAAUUUCCAGAAGAAUCUUUUAUGUACUACAGGUUUAUAUAGUUAUAGUGUAGUAAAAGAUUGAGAGAAAGGACAAGAAAAGAAGAAGCUUCGACACACUUUUCCCCUAGCUGGACCAAGCAAUGUGACCGUUGAGAGUAACGUUCAAAUUCGAGAAAAAAAAAAAAGAAAAAGAAAAAGAAAAGAAAAGAAAAGAAAAGAAAGAAAUUUUGAAUUUCAUCUUAGCCAAUCUCUCAGUUAUCCUUUUAAGAAGAAAUUGUGUUAGUUUUAAUCUGUGUUUUACUUCCCUCUUAAAUAGAUACCAAAAAUUAGAAUAACUGUUAAAUUCAAGUGUAAAAUUUAUAGGUGGGUGAUCAUGGUGUUUAUAUUUAGUUGAGUAGGACCAAAUAGAUUAAUUAAAUCGUCUAAUCGAGUCUCAAUUUUGAGCUGUAGUAAUAAAGAGAGAGAUCUCUUUUAUUUAGUUUUAGAUAAAUGUUUAGAUAAACAACUUAUAUGGUAUGCCUAACUACUUUUUAAGUUUUACAUCGGAACUUCAAAAGUUCACGUACUGAUUUGUCCUCUAUCUGGACUAGAUGUAUCUGUAAAAGUCGGGCAUCACAAUAUGAUCGGUCCUCUAUCUCAUCUCAUAGAUGCACGUACAGUUCACAUCGAACUUGCAUAAGUAUCAAAAGGAUAUGGUGAAGAAGUCCAUCGUGCUGUGAGCGCAUGUUCAAAUGAAAGUAGGGCGGGGGAAGAAAAGAGAGAGAGAGGAUUCUCGUGCGCACGACAUAGCUUCACUGCCCGUACUUCAUCACAUUACUGGAGCUCGCAGCGAUGGAGUUCGGAUAUGAUCAGCAAGGGGUCGCAUAGUGAUCAAUCUAAUUGCUCUCCUUCUUCCCUCUCUUGAUCUCUCCUACCCUCGAUGUAACAAGUCGGUAAGAGGGAAAGAGGUUUUUGACACUUUUAAAAAUGUUUUGGACAUUUUGAGAGGUUUGCGGUUAUCUACUGUGAGAUGUGUCAUUCUCAUGUUUUUCAUAGAGACCCAAAAAAAAAAAAAGCAUCACCAUCCAGGGAUUUUCUUGUUUCAUGUUUUUAUUAUCCGAAGGAAUUUUCCAAAGGAUUUUACGGUGAAUUACUUACAAUUAUUAAGUUACCAUACUCUUACUCAAGUUUUAAUUUUUUAAAAUAUAGUUGAUGAGUCAGAAAUGCAUAAAUUUAACUUUUGAAAUUCAAACCAGUCACCUUACAAAACAUUAACUCAAAAUCAAAAUCAAUCACCGCAAACAUACCAAGUUCGUCACACGAUAUCACAAAUGGUUUCGACGCAAUUGAGGAGGGAAAUUUUAUCUACCAAUAUCGAUGAAUCUUUUGCGAUGCUUACCCGUUAUAAUACAAACUUUAUAGUAAUGAGACUCUCUUCAACAUUUUCUCCUAACCCCUUUUCAUGUCAUCAUAAUCCUAUAGCAGCAACACUUCCCACGUAGCAAAAUAUUUGUUGACUAGAAAGGUCUACUAAAUCGCAAGUUAGAAAAAAAAAAUGAUCAAAUAUGAAUUGCAACAGCUUUAUACUCGGCCUUGGCUAAAAUGAGAUAAUCAGCAUACGCAUCAUGAGAUCUGCGGAUCACUAGAACCCUUUGCCCUCGAAGAAGCUGAAUCGACUGCGAUCCAAUCACUCAGAAAGGUGCGCCGAAACCCUUACUUGCUGUUACUUGGAACAGGAGGUUGAGAAAUUAUACAGCAGCAACCCUGAAGGGGUAAAAGGGGUGACGAGAAUCAGGAAAUAAUAUCCCGAGGGUAAUCUGCUUAAAGGAUGCAAUAAUAUUAAAAAAUUAUUUUGUCCUUAAAGAGUUUCGCAUUUGACAAUGCAAAAUUCAAUCUGAUAUGGCACUUAUAAUCGCCAUUUCCAAGAUUAAGUUGUCAUGAAGCCUUCUAAUCACCAUUUUGUUGAGGUAAAAUAGUUUAGGUCUCCAGCUAAAUUGCCAAUUGAGCAACAUAUUUACCACCAAUUUUGUUACUUCAAUCCGACCGUAUUCCGAGCGCGCGAACUCUGUAAAAUACUAGCGUAGUACUGGGUGAACGAGGCAUUUGAACCACUUUUCUCGAACUGCAGAGAAAGGCAUCAGAGAAAGAGAAAAGGGAAUGUUAGUUAGUAUUCUGAGACAACAGGAAUAAAGGAAAAAAAGAAAAAUGAUAAAGACCUGUAGGAAACUCUCUACAGAUUGUUGAUCAUUUGGAGAGAAAGAGACUUCGUCUCGCUUUCUCUGAAUAAAAUCUCUGUUCUGCUCAACCUGCAGACAAGGAAAUAGAAUACAAGAAAAGAAAUUGAAUUUAAAAAAAACAUUUUUUCCAUUUUUGAAAAUUUUGACCUGCUGUUCUGGGGUUUUUUUUUUAACAAUUUUCAUAUCAAACUAUGUUGUUAUGGAUCCACAUAUGCUGACUGAUAUAUCUAAUGCAUUUUAUUCAUCGGAAGGAGUUCCCAAGCUACUUCAGUCAACAUACGAAUAUUUCAGUCCGAUUAGGAGAAAAGAAGAUAAAAGUUGCAAAUUCAGACAAAUAGGAGAUACGUGUUAUUUUUCUCAAAGCAAUCUUUCUAAGUUCUAACUUUAAUGUGUGACAAAAUAGCUUGUAACUAAUGGAAUGAAAGUUUAUAGCCCUUUGCCCUUACCUGGUCUAUUAACCGCUUAACAGGACGACGGAGACCUUCGAUGCUUGUUUUUGCAUAGAAUCUUUUUAAGAGAAUGAGUGGAAUAGUAGCAAGUUCAGGAAAUGAAAUAUGAUAACUCCACUGGCCAAAAUGUGCAGAUAGAAGCUCAACCACUGAAAGAAUGCACUCCGUUUGGAAUUCUUGAGAUUUUAACAACUGCUUUGGAACCUGUGUGCAUAAUAUAAAAUUAAGAUAUCAUUCCAAAAAAAUCUAAAAGUUGUCCCAAUUGAUCAUCAAGCAGAUACAGAGGAGUCUACCUAAUGAUCAACGGUACCAAAGAGUAAACAGAAAUGAGGUGAAAUUGAAAGAAAAUAAAAUGAUGAAGACAUGAAUGAAUGUCAAGGAAUACAGUAGAUGUCCCACUAACCUUCAACAAAGAUGGAAAGUUCAUCCUUAUUCCACUAGCUUCAUUCAUACUGCUGAGUUCUCGAUAAUCUAGGGAGUCGAACAGCAACGAUGCAAUAGGAAUGAAAACUCCACAAGAAAGAGAGAGCUCAUUGAGCAUUUGCACGCAUUUAAGUCUCAAAGGUAAGUAACGUGGGCCAUGAAAUAAGUGAGCCACUGCAGUUAUGACUUGGAUAAGACAGACUAUUAAUUGCUGGAAAUCAUUAUCCCUGAAGUUGCACGUGAUAAACUUAACCCACAGUUUAAGGCAGUUAAUGUACUGCCAAUUGUGUAUCUUCCUGAGUUCUUCCUGCACCAAAAAAGAAAGAUAAGGUCACAAUGUACAUCAUUUAAACUUGUACCUACAUCACUGACAUUCCAAUUCAUAGCAAAUGCAUUGACAACAAACAUAGCCCAUAGGCAGGUCGAGCAGGAGACAUUUAAAUCGAACCCAAAUCUUAUUAGCGUAUACAGAGGUGAAUGUAAUCCUGUUUAAGAAUUAUUAUUGAUUAACCAUUACAAGAAAGAUAUGAAACCAGCCACAUAAACACAAUGCCAAAGAGAAAUAUUCUAAUAUAUUGGAAUAUAAUAUUUUUCGGAUAUUGCCAUUUAACCCAACAGACAAGAUAAAACUUGCUACAACAUUUUAUAAAGAGACAGCAGUAAAGCGAAAAGGAGUAAAAGGAGUAAACUACAAAAUAAGAAUUACCAACUAAUCCCUCAAUUUCUACUAGGAAGUCAAUCAACACAAGUAUCUUUAAUUGUUGUUGGCAUUACGUGAAAAAUCAUCUCUCGGAAUUAGCAGACAUGACACAAGUAAACCUAAGUUGUCGAUUUGGCAUAUUACAGAUAAUAAUGCAGUUCUUAUUAUUCAAUAUUUAUAGCAGUCAAGGUUUGCAAGAAAAUUAGACAUAAAGCAACUACUUGGUGCUACAAAAACUAAAAAUAAAAAGUUGAAUUACUUUACCUUUUUCUUUGUUUUGUAAGCCUGUCUCAAUAUACUAGCAAGCUGCUGCAAAGAAGUAAGUGCCCUUUCAUAUGAUUUCUCAAUUUCCAGGGAAUAUAGUUCAACUAGCGAGUUGACAAGAAAAUCUAUGUGCUUCAAGUUUGUAUCAUCUACAAACUUGGAUGAUGCAAUAAAAGACUUGUAUGUUUUUGUCAAGCACAUAUCAACAUAGUCAGAGGGUGACUGGGAGGCAAUAUCGUGUAUGAUAAGAAAAGAGGAAGAAGAGAGACUCUGAUCACCAGUGGCCCACAGAUGAACUGAAAUCUGCACUAGGAUGUGAAUUAGAUUAGAUACCGGCAACAUAUUUUACUAAAAAGAAUAUGCAACUUAUAAUAGAGUGAAUGAUGAUUGAUACAACAUGUUCUCAUUACUUAUAGGUCGUUAGACUCCAUACUCUCGCCCAAUAUGUGAGCAGACUGAAGUACCAGACUGUAGUAAACUAAAAGAGAAAUACACUGUGAAUGGUCUUUUGAUUCAAUAACUUUUGUUUUCAACAAUUUGAAAUUUCACUAGAACAUUAACUGCACAUGCAAUUAUGCAGAAAUACAAGAAGAGCUAUUGAUCGUGACAGAGUAUGACAUUAUUUCUUUUUCUUUUGAUUCCAAAAGAGAACCAUAUUAGAAAAAAUGUAAUGUAGAGAGUAAUACAAUGCCGUUGACCAUACUCUUAUAUUGACAGAAGUAACCAUGUUUAAAGUCAUUGUUAGUGGCUUUAUUAGGAAGAACUUUGACAGGAAGACCAAAAUUGAUGAAAUAAUCCACAACAAAUGAACCAUAGUUUCUACAAUUACCAAAAGAAGAUCUUAAGUGAAUUUUGCAACCUGAUGAAUGAUUCCCUCAGGUGCCAGAAUUGAAAAGCAACUGAUUUAAAGAUGAAGUACAGGAUCUUUAACAGGAUAAUAUUUAAAGCACCUUGAUGAGCCUCCUUGCUAUUGACGGGAAAGCAGAAAAGAACACAACUGAAGCCCUCAGUUGAGAUAAGACAAAAUUAAGUAUCUGGUUGUCGGUUACUUGAUUUAGAAGAUACAGUGAACUUCUUAAGUAAGACUUGAUUAGCGGACUUGCAGUCUUCCACUCUGGUUUAUUUUUCACUUUUAGAAGAUUUACUUUGCUCAAAGAAUCUGAAAUUCCCAACAUUCUGCGGAAAAUGCCAUCUGCCUCACAAAGAAGAAACAUCAAUAUCUUAGAGAACACUUCUCUACUUUGAAUUCUUCCAGCCAUAACUUCAUCAGAGUCAAUGCCAUAACGACAUGCAAAUUGAAACCCGCUAAGUAGAUUACGAAGUGCUGGCCCAUUUGGCUCUUCCUUAACUAACCAACACCAAACAUCUAUGGUCGGGCUUGUGAGGACCUUAUUAUCAGUGUCUCCUACUCCAUCUGGAAAACUUGUAUCAUCUUCUUCAUCUGAAUACUAUAAAGCAAAGAUUAUUCUGAGAGAUGUCAAAUAUAGUAAUAAUGUAAAGCAAAGCACAAAUAGGGGAAAAAAAACGUAGAGGAAAAUACAGCUUAAAUUACUCAACAAAGGCAUGAGAUGUGUAUUGUGACUUGAUGAAGAAUAAUAAUAGAAAAUUUUAACCAAAACGUGAAACAAGAAAACAUGAUAUACUUUCCUUAAUCAGUAAGCUUGUUGUUUCCUUUGGUUUCCAGAAAUAAAUUCCAGUUUCAUUUUUCAAUCUACUAAGUGUUGUAAUAAGUCUAGACCCACAAAGCGGGUCCAUGCAUAGAGCACGUCUAAGGUUCAAUUCAGAGCCUGACUCAACUUAAACAAAGCCCAGACAACGCUUGGUCCAAUACUAAUACUAAAUUUUCCAACAAAGAUCAAGUUGCCAUUUAUAUCUUCACAGAAUCCUUGCCCAGCAAAAUAGUGGAGCUUUACUAUUCCGAGCUAUGAUUUGUAAAGCAAAGGCUUAAUCCCAGAAUUCUGGGCCGUGCCAGUAAAGGACUUCAGCACCCCACAAACUCAAGACUAGGAAGUACAAAAUACUCCUCCAUAUUGGAGCCAAUCAUGCACCAGUACAGAACUGGGACAGGUCAGCUAUACCGAGCAAAAAUAUCCAGCUAACAUAUUGAACGAACAGUAAAUGACAGGGGUAUACAUUCGUGAGAGGGGGAGGGGGAGGGGGAGGGGGGGGGGGGGGNGGGGGGGAGAUUUUCGUUGCUUAUUUACUUUCAGCUAAUAUUCUUUCUUUUCUUGUCAAAGAAAGCGACAAAACAAACAAUGAACUCAUUUUGUAGUUUUUUUUUUUCAAACUUCAGAAAAAGGCAGUUCCUGCCAAUAAAUUGAGAAAUAUAGUGUAUGUGCUUUUUAGCGUUACCAAAUGUUAAGAAUCAUUUCUUACAAGUUCUUCUCUCCGGGAAAUUUCCAUGUCAUGUCGGCAUUUUUCCAAAAAGCUUGAGAAGUCCGGUUCCUAUAAAAUGCAAAAAGAGUAAAAAAGAAACAAAUUGUCAAAAGAUGUCAUUGAAAUUUAUUCUUAGCUCAUGCAACAGAUUACAAGUAAUCUAGCCUACGACAACCAGUUCUUCUUUUCCAUACAAAUUCAUCACCUUUUCUAUCAAACUGUCCAACUUUUUCUUUUGUUCCACAAGCUCCAAGACAAUUUCCUUGUUUUUUCUUGUUAAAUCUUUCUGACCACUCUCCUCUGCGCACGUUUUAACAAAGUAAUAUCAGUCAAAAGUAAAGUAGUUCUCUGAAAGUAAGCAGGCAAAAGUAUGUGCUUACCGGAAGAAUCAUUCUCUCUCUCGCUCUCAGAGAUAUAAGGGCAAUCAGGAUCCUGCAUAUUAGCCGAAAGAUUAACAACUAAGAAAGAAUAAACAGACAAAAUCAUAUGUAUCAUUAGCAGAUGCCCUUCUGAAGAGACGAGCAUAUUUUUACAUGUUGGUGAUGGCUUAGAAGUCAGUUUUAAUGCGUCAACUCAAUGUAGCACAUCUAAUGAUGAAACUUUUUCAUGGAUAUCAUUUGAUUUUUACUAUUUAGAUAUAAGUCUAGAUAACACAUGUCCAAAAAAUUAGAAGUUGGUAAUGACAACCAACUCUACCUGUGCUUUGAAUUACAGUCAACAACAUUAGAAAUUCACAAGGAUAAUGAUAGCAAAAUACCAGAGCCUAGAUGAUCAGGAUUACUUGUUUCACUCUAAAGAGCAUUACAAAUCAUGAUAGUCAAUUUCCCUGAAAAGGGACAGGUUCAGGAAGAUUUGAUUCCAGUGAUAUUCACAAAUUUGCAUCUAAAGAGACAUGAAAGACAAUUGGUAACUUAAAAACGACAUCAAUGAUAGACUAAAAGCUAUGGAAAGAGAAUAUUGAGAAGUUUGUUUCAGCAAAUUGUACAACAAAGUUUCUGAAACAAAUAGGUGCAACAAGAUUAGGAUGAUAUGUUCAUCGGAUAGUAAAAGAGGGCUAGCAAAAGAGUACCUCUGACAGAUAGCCAUCACUUUCUGAGACAUCUUCAUCCAAAUCUUCAUCAUCUCCACCAAACAAGUUCUCAAGAUAGUCAACAGAUGCAGAUCCACCUAAAGAUACAGCUUCAGCAUUUCUACAGAAGAUAAAAUUGAAGUUUAGUCAGGCUAAGGAAGAAAAAACAAACUAUUCAUUCCAAUACUAUAAUAUAAUAUCCAAACACAAGGAAAAUUGGUAAAUGCAAACUAACUAAACUUGGAGAAGGGUGGAGGAGUUUGUUUGUAGAAUCAGUAGCAAUAACAACUCCUGAGUUUGACGAUAGACAAGUUAAUCUCAUACUUCAGGACAUGAAAAAGUGUCCUAUUGCAAUAUGUUAAAAUGAUGCCUCGUAAGAUAUUUUCAAGGCUCGCUAUAGUUCGUAGCACAGCAGGGAAAACUAAAUACAAUAGAUAAAAUUGCAUUUUCCAAAUGGAAGGAAAAAUUGCAAUGUGUGAAAAGAUGUCUUGUACUCUGAUCCGCAUUUGGCAUGAAUAUAAUAUAAGUACAAGUAACAAGGCUACUAUAAUCCAUCCAGAGUAAUGCAAUUGUUGCAUGCAAAUUAUGCCCCACUAAAAGAUUAGUAGGUAAACAAUGGCAACAAUCCAUUACAACAACGACAAAAUAACUGAGAAAAAAAUUCUCACUCUUCUAUGUUCUGUUCCGCUUUCAUCUUCUCAUCUUCCUGAGAUCCAUCCCCCUGACCCACUGCAACAAAAAGAAAAAUCACAUUUUGCCUCACAAAUACAAAUAUUUAAUAGCAAAAAUUGCUAAUUAACCUCCCUCCAUUGUCAAAUAACAACGUGAUCACAUAUAUAAGCUAAAAAAGCAACGAAAGACAACUGUAUAGAUCAAUUUCUACUAGAAUUGUUUCCUCCAAACAUGAAAUUUAGGUCGCGAUUGGAUUCAGUGACACUAGAACAAACUUAAUCAAGUGAAAGCAUUAAAAGAUGAGAUUGAGACCUCUACGAGGAGGUGCUCUUCUCUUGAACGUGGAUUUGAGCUUGCGCCUCCGCUUGAGCACGGAUUGGAGGUUCUUCUUCGCGAACUUCCUCGCCUUCUUCCCCAGCUUCUUCGCCAUGGAGCGGUGGAGUGAGCGACGAAGCGAAGGAGACGAAGAUGGAGGAGAGGGGGGAGAAGAGAAAGGAGUAGAGCGGAGUCUAGGGUUUAGGGGGAGCGAUAAUGGAGGAAGAGGGGUUUAGCGACGGGGGCGGAGGAGGUGCCGUAUCCACCGUCCGAUCAUCUAGUGUUUGAUCAUCUUAGAAAAUCAGGCUCGGGCCGGAUCCGGGUAAGAAUUAACCGAUCGGGCCGGGUCGCACCUUUCUUUUUAUUAACACCCGGCCCAUUAAGGUGGAUCGGCCCAGCUCGAAUCUCCUUGAGAAAGAAAUUUGUGAAAAGAAUUAACUGCACCGGGUGUAUGAGCCCAUCCCAUACUCCGCGCUCUAAAAUCCUGUAUAAAAGAGAUCUGAAAAUUAGAAACUAAUUUAUUAGAAUGUGUUUAAUAAUAUUUAAAAGACCUACAAAUUCAAAUCACAAAUUAUAAUUCUUUUUUGUAUUUAUCAAGUUAAAUUUUGAUUUUAAAAUAAUUUUCAUUAAAUAUUUAAUAUAAUACUUGUAACUUACUUGAUUAAAAUUUUUUUUAAAGAGGUUUCAUUAGUUGAGAGUUUUGAUUGGUUAAGUUUUACACGUAACCAACGCAUAAGGUGUUUCUGACUCGGCCAUAUAUGGUUCAUUAAAUCAAAUCCAACACGUUAAGAUAACAUAUCAAAUGGUCGUUACAAGUGUGUAGGUUUUUUAUUCAAAUUCUAUUUAUUACAGAAAAUAAGAUGAGCACGAAUGCGCUCAAAUAAAUUUUAGUGUGUAUAUAUAAUUAAGUUGAGCUAGAAUAUUUUUAAUAGUAGUACAACAGUUGCAAUUUGUACUUCAAAUUGUUUCAUUUGCAAAAAAAGUUUUGUAAUACCAAUGUAACUAAAAUUAUAAACAACAACUAUUCCAAACAGAUAUUAAAUAAAUGCUGAAGGGGUGAUUAUUGCCCUCAAUAUAUCACUUGUUGUACUUAAUCCUUAAAAUUUUAAAAAGUGUACACUCAACCCCCUUAAUAGAUUAAAAAUAUGCAAGAAGAUUACAAUAUUAAAAUUAACAUUGUUAAAAGUAAAUAUUUGACAGAAUUAGAAAGGCAAGUUAGGGGAAAAGGUUAAGUGCUACACUGCUACUAGCGACAGUUUUUUAGAAAAUUAAGUGCGCAUUAUUUUUAGGGAAAACUUCAAAAACCCCCCUGGUGGUUUCAAUUUUUUUCACUUUAGUACCCUGUGGUUUAAAAUGUAUCAAGUUAGUACCUUGUGGUUUCUCACUUUUUCACUUUAGUACCCUGUGGUUUAAAAUGUAUCAAGUUAGUACCUUGUGGUUUCUCACUUUAUCACUUUAGUACCCUGUGGUUUAAAGUGUAUCAAGUUAGUACCUUGUGGUUUUGCAUUUUAUCACUUUAGUAUCCUGUGGUUUUGAUUUUGUAUCAAAUUAGUACCCUGUGGUUUUUUAAACUAUAGGGUACUAAAGUGAUAAAGUGAAAAACCACAGGGUACUAACUUGAUACACUUUAAACCACAGGGUACUAAAAUGAAAAAGUGUGAAACCAUAGAGGGGGUUUUUGAAGUUUUCCCUUAUUUUUAUUUUAACGGUUAAAUGUAAUACAUGAUAUAUAAGAAAGAGUAAAGUGCGACGCCUCACUUUUCUGAGAUCAUUCAUUCUAGAACUACUCUAGUCCUAACACGCUUAACUCUAAUCUUUAAGUCAUAACCACCGUCCAAAAUGCUAUAGUCGGAUUGAGAGUUAAGAGUGUUUAGUCCUAUUAUCUCUUAUAUGUAAGACUAUCUGGGAUCUCAUAUUUUUCUCUUCUUAAGUACUGUCGUCUUCCUCUAAGCCUCCUUAACCAACCUUAUGGGAAUACCCACAACAGCCAUCAACAUAAGAACCUCAUUCUUCCCGCUGUAUAAUUCCGACUCAGUUAAGACUUAUUUUAUAUUUUCGUCUGGUAAUUGACUCUGAUACUAACUGUGGUACCCCAAUUUUUAGAGAGUUAUACAUCCUAAAAUUACUCUAAUCUUAACAUACUUAACUUUUUUAACCUUUUAAACUUAGUCACUGUCCAAAAUAUUAUAGUAUAAUUAAGAAUUUUUAGUCUUACUAUCUCUUAUAAAUAAAACUAUCUGGAGUCUUAUAUAAAGUGUAAUCUUUACCUAAUAAUAAUAAUAAAAUGAUAAUGAUAAGAUCAAGAGAAAUUAAUAUAUUGUGUAUUUUAUCAAUCUAUUCAAAAAUGAUAUAUCAGCUACAUGGACGGAGACUUUUCUUCCGUAUUCAUUCUUUUCCCCCGACACAGAGCUAACUUUGGACGAGUCUCAUCACCAGCCGUCAGAUCUGAAGAUCACACACCACCGUCCGAUCGAGAAACCAUCACCUACACCUAGUCCACCCUAUCCUCCGUGGACUAGCUUUUUUUUUUUUUUAGGUAAAACUUCAAAAACCCCUUGUGGUUUUAUAGUUUCUCACUUUUCCCCCCUGUAGUUUAAAAUGUAUCAAUUUGCCCCCCCAUAGUUUAUUUUUUCUCUUUUUCUUAUCAAUUUCAUUAUUUUUUUUUCUUAAAUCAGUGAUAAAGUUAAAAUUAAAGGGUACUAAAAUGAAUAUUUGAUAAAUCUAGAUGGGUAUCUGAAGUUUUUUGUAUAUAAUGUAAUAAAAUAUUGACGAAAAAGCUACCAAAAAAAUAAAAACGAAACCACAGGGGGGCAAUUUGAUACAUUUUAAAUCACAGGGGGGCAAAGUGAGAAACUACAAAAUCACAGGAGAGGUUUUUGAAGUUUUUCCUUUUUUUUAACUUAUUUAAACAACCAUAGCUGGAGCACUUCUUUAAAAGUUUAAAUUACUGGAACGUAAAAAUACUCGAAAAGUCGAUAUUUAGUACAAGAAAUUUCAUAAGCAAAUUUUCGUUAUAAUUCAUGUAAUGUUUUUUUUUCAAAAUAAUUAUUGAGUACAACAGGAAAUAUAUCGAAUUUGUUCAUAUAAUUUUUACAAUUUGUAAUAGCAUUAUGAAUUUUAUGGUACCAAAGUCUCCUAGGCAUGCACCCAAAAUUCAAGUAGACCUAUGGCGAAGAAUAAUAAAGCUAUUUUAAUUAGUUAUGAUGUCUAAACAAUUAUUUAUCAUCUACUUAAUUUUAUUUU